This 156176-nucleotide long non-coding RNA is filed under the name Sorghum bicolor (sorghum). Its description in RNAcentral is "long non-coding RNA (SBIC_LNC013004)". Lineage: Eukaryota; Viridiplantae; Streptophyta; Magnoliopsida; Poales; Poaceae. The record is from RNAcentral.
AGAUCAGAUGAUAAGUUUUCCAAACGGAAUAUUGAAGAACCUUUGUGUCCGAGUUGGUACCUUGUAUGCCCCAGCAGACUUUGUAGUGGUAGAGACCGGUAAUGAUGAGAGGGCACCCAUCAUCUUAGGGAGGCCAUUCUUAAACACCUCGGGAGCUGUCAUCUACGCUAGUGCUGCCAAGAUCAGUUUCUACAUAAAAGGGAGGAAGGAGACGUUUUCCUUCAAGAACAAGACUACACAAAUCCCAGAUCAAUCCAGACGUGAAUCAAGGAAGAGGACCAACAGGAGGAACAGGAACAAGCAAGUGUCGACCGAGUCAGCUAAGAUGGUCACUGCAGUUCAUGGAGGCCAAGAUCAUCAACUUAAGUCACCAUUUCUGACCAAGAAGGACGACCCAGGAAUGCCAAGCAUCUAUUGCUCCAUAAAUGGAUACAGCUUCUACAAGACGUUUUGCGACACCAGAUCGGGCGUCAACAUAAUGGCCGCAGUCACCUAUCGGCUCUUGUUCGGAACCAUGCCCUUAAAACCAACAUACAGCUCCAGAUGGCAGAUCAGACAUUUCGAGAGGUUAAAGGAACAGUAACUGAUGUCACAGUCAAAAUAGACGAUCAUUUUGUCUACACAGACUUUCAGGUUAUUGACAUGGGAGAAGACGAGUACGAUCCACCCAUCAUCCUUGGAAGACCGUUCCUCAGCACCGUUAAAGCAAUCAUCUACAUUAGAACUGGAGAAGUCCAUAUGCACUUCCCCUCAGAGAAGGUACGCCGUUAUUUUACUGACCCUAACUACAUCUUUGAAGAAUCUAAGCAGGUCAGAAAACGACACAACCGCAACCAGAGGAGGCAAAUCAUCAUGGACGGAUGGGCAGACUAUGAAGGAGAAGUGAUAAGGUCAGAAGACGUAGAGUUUAAAUAGAAUUAUCCAGAGGAGACCGAAGCACCGAGUCAGGUAUGGAAAGAGAAGAUAACUAUACAUGAAGAGGAGGCGCUGCCGGAUGUACCGACUACGCCACCCAACGAACCUCAGGACAAUUGAGAAAAUAAAGAGUCCCGUUCGGAGGACUUAAAAACACCGAACGCCUUGCCAAGAGGUAAAUUUGGUAGUUAUCCUUUCCCUUUCAAUUAUUUUAAAAUAGUCUACUUAGUUAAUCAUAUUCAUGCUAUCCUAAAAAGAAAAUAAAAAUAUGAAAAACAGUAAGCCUCAUGUGAGUAUACGAGUGGCAUAAAACCCAUAAGUACAUUCACUGUGGUGGCAUAAAAAAAUAAAAUAAAUAUUUCAUUUCUGCUUUAUAAAAUAAAAAUAUAAAAACAGGGAGUAAUAAUUAUUAAGGAGUCUCAACAUGAUAAAGGCUAGAUAUUUAUGCUAACACUUAAUCAGUUCCACAAGCUUUGUUGUCUAUUUGAGCUCCACAGAAUUUAAGAAUCAAGAAGACUAGCAGACGGAGGACAUUCUAAUCGCUGUCAGAAUGCUGCUGACUUUCAAAUACACCUUUGCCACCUGCUAGCUACAUCAAAAGAAAUUACGUCAAAAUUCAGCUUGGGGGAGAGCACCCCCAUUUAUCCCGCUAAGUAUUUUUAUCUAUCUAUCUUUAUACUUAUACUAUUUUAGAAUAUAAAUAUACAUAAACCAGGAAAAACCAAAUAAAGAUUUUAUGCUUAUAUAUAUCUCUUUUGCUUAGUGUGUUUAAUAAAUAAAUAAAGUGGCUAUGCUAAUCUGUAUCUUAAUAAUAAAACUCUAGCAUGGAUAUGAUGAAUAGUUGCUCUGCCUAAUUUUAAAAUUUAAAGUUCUCUCUCAAAUUUAGACAUAAUUGUUAUAAUUUAAAGCUUGCUCUAAACCUAAGCGUGUGGGAUGAAAACUUGAUUUGAAGUCUAAGUUGUUAACGGAUAUGAUAUGGGCUGAGUUGCUGUUUAUCUGUUCCUAGAGAUGCUAGAAUUUUAGAGAAUUUUAUCUUUGAAAAUCUUUAAAAUAUUGCAUGAUGAGUUCCUGUAUGAUGAGAGUUUUAAAUUCCUACCACAGCCAUAUAUACAUGCUUGCUAGACUUUGAGCCACAUAUUUACUAUUUACUGCUUAUGAGCAUUGAGUGUGGUCAAGCUGUGUAGACCCUUAGGAGCUUGUCAUGUGGCUAAAUCAAGAUUCACUUGCACGUUCACUCAUAUAUGCUACUUCUACUCCGGAAGUACUAUCCACAUAUAACCACCCAUUUCCAUCACCACAACCACCCAAAAAUAUUCUAGUCCUAAUCCGGAAGAGAAUAGCCAAAAAUAUUUCUAUUUUUCCCUUGCAAAAUAAAUACUCAAGUUAUCUUGUUACUACCACUUGCUAUAUUAUCUCAAGAGAUGAGUGCUCUAAAAAAAAGAGAAAAAAAGAUACGAGGAAAUAAAAAGGGGCAAGUGCCCGGAACCUUAAAAGAAAAGAAAAAGUGAGACGAGAGGUAAAAAUGGACAAGUGUCCGACAGUAGAAUUAGGGGUACAAGAUACCCACCUGAGAGAAAAGAAAAAGAAGAGCAUCUCAUUCUCCUCACAAAGUUUCAGAAAGCAAGAAAGGUAUGUAUCCCCUCAAAGAGCAAAAGUAGAAUUAGACUUCCACCAUUGUUAUCACCAUCAUCACCAUACGUCAUUCAUUCGCCACACAUGCACAUCUUGAUUUGACUUAUUGAUUUGUUUCUUUGGAUCCAUGGUUUGACUAUACAAUAAAUGUCUUGUAAGUAUGUAUAUUUUAUCUCCCACCUAUGAGCUCCAGAUAUUAAAGCCUUAUUAGAGUAGGGUGAGAGAGAAGGUAAUGUCACUAUGCCUUAUACCAAAAAUACUACAUAUAUUGAGAGAAGGCAUAUACCAUCACUGCCUUGGUAAGGAUCCAGAAAUACCACAAAAGAGAGAUUUGAGAGAAUCAUACAAGGAAUCUCUGAGUUUUAUUUAAAAAUCUGCAAAAACUCCAGAGCUAUAGCUGAUCAAGAAUAAGAGACAUGGUACUUGACUAGACUAUUCUAUCUUUUAAAUACUCAAGACAGAAGUGACGGUUACAAGUCCCAUGGUGAAAGGUAAAGUAAGUAAGUUUUAAGUCUUGACAGUUUACUCUAACUCAGAGAUGAGAUCUUAUUUAAAAAGCAUGUGUACCAUCAAUUUUUAAAGGCAUUACAACAACUUCUAAUUCAUCACUGAGAGUAUCCUUGCUCAGGGACGAGCAAGAGGUAAGCUUGGGGGAGUUUGUUGACGGUCCUUAAGUAUCAAAUUUAAUUAUCAAAUAAACAAAGAAAAGGAUCCAAAUGAAAUCAACAUCUAGACUUAGGGUUUUAUCUGACAGAAUUCCACGAGUUUUGGUGUUUGUCUAUUUCUGCAGGGGGUUAUCAGGAAAUACGGAAGAAAGGCCCAGACGUCGGGAUUACAUAGAGAUAUUAACGUGCCGCGCAAUUAUCUUACAUCUAGAAGACUCCAGAAGCCACGGGAAGAAAGCGGAGGCCGAACGGGGCCAGAGGCAGGGCGCUCGCCCUCCUUCCCUAGGCACCCGCCCUGACUUGGAGUACAAUCAGGACUCUGUUUCGUGGGAGAUCUCCACCGACCUAAAGGAUCAAGGAUAACCGUUCAAUCAAUGUCGGUUUGAUCCAAUGGCCCAUAUUCACUUGAAGGGACUAUAAAACCAGACCCCCUGGCCCCUGGAGGAGAGAGCCUCUCAACCCUAAUUCAUUGUUCCUCAAGGGAGAAGAAGCCUCUGAUCAAGAUUAGAGCCACCACAUCAAUUAGAUAUCUAGAUUAGCAUAGCUACAUAGGAUUAGAACUAGAAGGAGUCAAUCUUCGAUUGGUUUCCGGAUCUGUCAAGAGGAUUCUUGGUAAUUCUCUAAUUGUGCUUCUAAUUGCUUUCUAAUUAUCUUUGUUCUUCAAUAUUAUGAAUAUGACUUUGUUCUACUUCAAUAUAUUGCUUAUGACUUUGCUCUACUUGUUUAUAUUCAAGAUUAUAUUGUUCUUAGUUUAUCAUAGUUAUGUACUUGGCUUAGUUAGAUUGGAUCUAUAUACAUGCUUAGGAUCGUAUAGCGUUUAUCCAUCGGAUCCAUGGGUAAAUGAUAGAUAUUGUGUAGGCGUGGUGCUUAUACCGUAUUUAUCUGCGAUUGUACCCAAUAUGCCAGAUCGUGGGGUAGUUCGUGAUAGUGACAGCUUCAUUGAUUCUUAUAUAGUCCCCCUCUCGUGUAUUGGGCUGGCAGAGUAAUAUUAUUACAGGGGAGUGAUUGCUAUGUUUCUCAUUUACCUUGCUAAUAUCACUAUGCAUGGGCGUAGUCUUGUCUCGCAAUGAUUGCUAAGUAUGCUUGCACUAACUAUGAUAAUGCUAGACUAUAUAGUUGAGAAUAACUUAGGAAAUAUUCUUGUAGUUCGUUCUAAUUCCAUGCUAAUGACUUUCUAGAGUAUCUAAUUGAGAUGCUUAUCAUAUUUAUAUGUGGCUAAGUUAUGAUCAGAUUAAUUAUCUUUGUCACUAUUCAUUAUUUCAUAUAUCUUUUAUGUGACACUUAUCCCUGUAUGAAAGAGUUAGAUAAAUGUUCUCAAUUAUACAUGCAAUGAUAGAUACUCAAUCUCAUAUUCUAUUCUGUAAUCAAUAGUGAUGAUUGUUAAUCCCUUCCCAGUGGUAAAAAUAUAAAUAACAAUACCUGGAAUACUUCUCGGUUAAAAUGCUACAUCGGUAUUAAUCUGUGCGCUUGCAGAUCCCAUUCAUUAUUUAUUUAGAAGAGCAAUUGCAUAUUUCAAUACCGCGUCUCUCAUGUCAUGCUGGGGAUGACAACUUGGCUUAAGUGGUAUGAGGGAUAGGUUUGGCAUUUUUGGCACCGUUACUAGAAUUAGAAAACUGUCUACUUUUGGUAGUGGUGUUAAGAAUACCCAACAGGCAGCGCCCGCGCACGACGCGGGAAGGCUCUCGGGCCAACUUGGGCCGUGACCAAGCGGGCCGGCCGCGUAGCACAGUGUUGCUUUCUCUUUUUCCUUUUUGUUUAAAAAUGCUUGAUAUGUGAAAUUGUGUAGAAAAUUGUAUAUUGAUCCAAAAAUGAUGAACCCUUUGUGUAGGUUCUGUAAAAUGAGUAGAACACAGGAAAAAUAUUAGAUUCUAUUUUCUCGUAGUUUGCAUGUAUCUAAAAAUUGCUCCCUUUAAUUAAUAAAUAGAACUUCCUUGAAUUUUAAUAAUUUAUGGGUAUAUCCAAAAAUCACCAAACAUUGUGAGAAUCCUCUGAAUAUUAUUCCCUUGCUUCACACAAAAUUUGGUGGCAUUUGGAUAAUGUUUGAAUAAAAUGUCAUUAAAUCCUUAAUUAGUAAUUUAGUAAUAAUUUAAAAAUAAUUAAGUUAUAAUUAGCUUAAUCUCUCACAAUAGAAUUUGAGUGAUUUUGGGAUUGUAUGAUGACCUAAGGUCAUUAACCUUAAUGACCUUUGGCACUUAAUUAUUGUUUGAUGUUAAUACUUAAUUACUGUCAUUAAUACUUAAUUAAGAAUUAAUUAAAGUAAAAAGGAGUAAUAAUUAGUUAUUUAAGAAUUAUUAUGAAUUAAUUAAGAAUAAUUGUGAAUUAAGAGAAAUCUUAAUUCUCUGAUGCAACCUCUUGGGUAAAAACACUAAAAUGGUAGACAGCUUUAAUUACUGUUUAACCUGUCCUUGCACCGAGAAGGAGAGUUGUACUCAACUCGGUCCUUCUUAAAUAUUUGUCAUACGCAUAUCAUGAGCAUCCAUCAUUUUGCGUAUAGUGCACGUGACCGAAGGAGCGACCGUUGAACCGAACCCCGAGGUCGGUGUUCCGUUCGAGGAAAUAGGAUCCGAGACUUGGGAAGUCUCCGAGGGUUCCUCUCAGCUCUGCAACCAAGGCAAGCCCCGGAUGCAUUAACCCCUCCUUGAAUGUUUUAAAUCUUUUAUCACUUGUGAAUUGAAAAUGCUGCAUUCCGUAGUUGAGAAUUGGGUUAACCUACUUGUUGCAUUUACUAUCUUGAUAUUUGUUAUCUUGUCCUUGGCACCUGUUUUAUUUUAAAAUCGCGUAGUAAUGCUUAGCCCUGCUACUAGAUAGGUUUUCAAACAAGAAAGUUUGAAGGGUUGUUGUGGAAUACACUUGUGGUCAAUGAUGUUUCAACUUGAGACCGAUCGUGGACUUGCUUUAACAAUGGAGUCUUAAAGUAGUGUCUCCAACUGUGUCGAUUAAGGACCGGUCCGUUGAUGGCCUGCUGGGUUGAGAAUUUAUAGUACUACCCACUUGCCCUACCGGUCCGUUGAUGGCCUGCUGGGUUGAGAAUUUAUAGUACUACCCACUUGCCCUCGGUAAGCCUAGUCUUGUGAUUCCUCGACGCGAACGGCUACUCGCGCACUGGGCAUGGAGCGAUGGCGAGAGUAGCGUGUACCCUCCUAGCAAAUGGGCUGGAUGGUGGGGUACUGUGCUCUCGGGUGCCGCGAACCCGGUCAAAUUUGGGGAGAGCUAGAUUUGGGUUGACGUAUGCAAGAUUUGGUUCUAUAUAUGUCGGGUGGAUAGGAACUCCAGCUGGAUUGCUAAGCGGUUUGAAUCGUCGUUGCUCCCCGAUUGGGAGACUCAAUCCACUGACCCUCAUCGUAGCUAAAUAUGCAACUAAGUGAAAAAAUGAGAAAGGAGGAAAUGUCUCAUGAGGUUCGGAUCCCAAUUCCCGGACUCAGAGUGACAUAAAGCUAUGGUCGUUAGAUAGAUAAUACUUUGAUUAAGGACUAGGAACUUACAGACUUGUCUGUGAGAAGCAACUAGAUAGACUGUCCUCGAACUCCUCGACCUCUUAAGGAGAGGAAUUCGUGGGUAAAACUUGAAAGUAAGGAUGCACUAUUAGUAAGCUUUUUGGCAAAUCAAUUUGGCUCCUUGCUCAGCCACUCCUUGUCUACCCUAAGCCUGCAUCCCUAAUUUCUCCUCUUUUUGUGCCGGGUAAGUCUUGUUGAGUACUCCCGUACUCAGGGUUCUAUAACCCCUGUUGCAGGUGAAGCUCAGGAGCCGACUUGUUUCGGACCCUAUUGUGUGACCGUCGUCGAAGUUGACGACGAGAAAGAGUGAGCGUGACCCAUGGGCAGGGUCUGUAAAUUUGUAAUCUGUGUAAUAAAGUUUAAGUUGCUCCGCUGGACCUAGCUUGUAAUAACACUCUACUACUUGGAAGAACUACUUUUGUAAAUUAAGUUACGUAAUGCUUCUGCUGUUUUACUCUGAAAUAUUAUUUUGGUCAUAUGUCGUCUGUGAUACUGCAAUGUCUUCGCAACGAAUGAUCCUAGUGUUAACGAGGCCACUUGCAAUCCUGUAAGGGCGAGAAGAAGAAGUUCUCGUUAAGUGACCAUCACGAGUGGUCAGGACGAGCUUGGGUGAUACGCCACAGGUAGCGGUGGAAUGAGCGUCCUGAGAUGCUCAUCGGACUUCUAGAGUGGGAGGAUCCCCGGCAUCACCGUCAGAGGUCCUUAGGACAAUGACAGGUGUCGGUGGGCCCAAACACUUAGGAGGUUCAGCCACAGCUGGUAUCAGAGCAUUCGUUGCUAAGAUGACUGUUGUAUCCUUUGAAAAACUUCAAAUCCAUUUGUAUCCAAUACUAUAAACUUGCCUAUUUUGAGUCCAAAUGCUUUAGUCCUACCUUACCCUUGUCUGUAGGCUUUGCUAGAAUUUUUGAGGUCGUGUGGAGGAGCAACAUAAAGUAUCGCCCUAUGUUGUAAAAAGUGAUAUCGUUAUGAAUUUCUAGUACGAAUCGUAAGUACGUGCAUGCAUCAUGAUAUGUCACUUAGUUAAAUUCCUUCCUCUUUAUUCGGGUUGGGUUGUAUAGAAUCAAUCCCAUUCUUGCUAACCUUUAAGGUCUCUCUUACUAAUCCAAACUUACCCUCUAUAGGAUGGGUCAUUGGAAGCAAACCCCUCGCAAGAGAACUGGUCCUAAAGGGGUGCCUCGACACCAGUUGGCCCCGCGAAGCGAUCAAGCUAGCAGUAGUUGUUCCCCAUCUCAGCAGGAGAUGGAAAGGUUGUCAGCAGAGUUGACCGAAGUAACAAGGGAGAGAAUGUAUAAUGUCAUGGAGAUUGGUGAACUCAAAGCUCAAUUAACAAAACAAAAACAAGCCACCGAGAAUUGCGAGGCGACGCUAUCCCGCAUGGUGGAAGAACGAAAUACAGCUAUUGCUCGGGAAGAGGAGGCUAGGAGCGCACAUAUGCACGAGCUGACCAGAAUGAAGGCCAAGUUGACCAAAAGCAAGUACACUAAAGAUCUAUAUAUAAAGAUGGCGGCCACUGUCACUGCACAGAGGGACGUCGCAUGGCAGCGGGAGGAUCAGCUGCAGCUGGAGAAGCUCGAGCUGGCGCAUCAUCUGGACACCUGUUGACGGUCCUUAAUGCUCAUAUUUAACCAUGAAUUAAUCAUAGAAAAGGAUCCAAAUGCAACCAACACCUAGACUUAGGGUUUUAUCUAACAGAAUUCCACAAGUUUUGGUGUUUGUCUAUUUCUACAGGGGGUUAUCAGGAAAUACGGAAGAAAGGCCCACACGUCGGGUUUACAUAGAGAUAUUAACGUGCCGCGCAAUUUUCUAUCAUCUAGAAGACUCCAGAAGCCACGAGACCGAAGCGGAGGCCGAGAGGACACAGGGACAGGGCGCCCGCCCUCCUUUCCUGGGCGCCCGCCCUCAGCCAGAGUCCAAUAAGGACUCUCUUUCGGGAUAUUGCUCCACCGACCUAAAGGAUCAACAAUAACCGUUCAAUCAAUGUCGGUUUGAUCCGACGGCCCAGAUUCACUUGAAGGGACUAUAAAACCAGACCCCCUGGCCCCUGGAGAUCAUACCUCUUCUACAGAAUCAAAGCUAGGGUUUCAAUUCUUCAUCCAAGUAGAGAGGAUCCCUCUAGUUCUUCUAGUUCUACCUCUAGUUCAUCUAGAUCUAGUUCUAGUUCAUCUAGUUCUAGUUCUAGUUCCUCUAGUUCUAGUUCUAGUUAGUUCUAGUUGUAAUCUAGAAAAUAGGGAGAGAGAAGAGGAGAGCGGAGGAGGAGCCGGAUCUGUCGGAUCUUCCUCAAUAUUAUACUUUUGCAGCAUCUGGUUCGUUCUUCAUCGUUCUCCAGGUUCUUCAAUUCAUAAUCCUGAGUUCUUUAAUUACUUUUAUUUACAUUCAAGUUAUUUAUUGGAUUCCCGCUUGCAUCAAGUGCUCUAGUCUUUAUAACGCUAGAGUAGUAAUUAAUAGAUUAGACGUGGUGUUUAGUCUUGCGAUUACCUGGAAUUGCACCCAAUCCUACGGAUUGUUGUGGUAACCCUAGGGUAGUGACAGCCCUAACGGUCGACGUAUUCCACCACGUUCGGAUCGGUGUUUGUAGGACCGUAGUCAGACCUUCCUAGCCCCCUUCUCAUCUCUUUCUGUGGUUAGUGCUCUGAUGUCCCGAUAUAGAUAAUCUUGAAGUAAUUCUUGAUUCUUAGAUCAACUAGAGAACUCUCAGGAAACUUCCUAUCUUCCCACCAAAAAUAAUUAUAUAGUUAUCCUUGGGCGAUCUUGGAUCUUAAUUAGUACACUCACGUUCUCUGUGGAAAAUCGAUACUCUGGAAUACUCCCGGGUGAAAGCUACAUCGGUAUUCGUGCGCUUGCGGAUUUUUCUGUUUGCGUUUAAAAUACCCAACAAGCUUUCUGGCGCCGUUGCCGGGGAAUGGUAGCUGUGCUAGUUUCGAACCAAGUCGUCCGUGUAUCCUUUUUCUUUUCCUUUUUUACCACACUCACCUUAUCACUUUCACCAUACCACAUGGAUUUCACUUUAAGCAUUAAUGAGCAUGGAAUUUAUUUCAUAGCCACUUCAUUUACUCCAUACUCAUAUGCAACAUCUUCACAAUCCAUUGGUCUCUCCAACAUCACCACAUUCGAGAUCUCCAACCCCCUCUUCCUUUCUAUUCAUAAAAACUUUAAAAGGGCAGUUGUCGAUGCAUAUGUCUAUAUUAAAUAUUGCAGAUCUCGUUGAGUUGAUCUUGAUAUAGGUCAGCGUUGGAGGGGAAACCACUUCGCCGACAUAAAUUGAUGGUUUCCCAAGGACAAGCUUAGUGUCCUAAAACAAGCACUGAUCAGAUCGUAACAUAAGCUUUUAAUUAUUUGCAACACUACCUUGUGUAUUGAGCAUAUAAGGAUAAUUGUAAAAAAAUUCCUUCGGGUAUUCUUGUCACUAACCUUUCUAGGAUUGGAGUAAGAAGAUCGGAUGAAUGACAAGCACAAGGUAUGUACAACCAAUCAUCAUACAACAUUGAAUUAAAUUCAUCCAAACUUGAAUUUUGCAAAAUUCAAGCUUGGGGGAGUACUUUAUAUAAAAACAUCAUUUGCCAUGUUGCUAUAUUGGUUGUCCCUACCUUUGAGACAUGCUCAAUUUGUUAAAUAGUAAUCACACUACUUCAUCUCCACUUGAGUAGAUCUCUAUAAAAGCCAUCACGCUACCAUUGUUUAUCCUAGUAAGUGUUAGUUUGGAAGUACUGUACAUACUUCUAUUGGUUUUUAAAUUAAGCAUGGUGCUUAGGUUAAAUAGCCUUCCUUAAUCUAAUUAGACAUGGAGUCUAGUUUGGUUAUUGAACUAAAAACUGCUUGUGUAGACAUUGGUAUAUUUUGUUGGACUAACCCCUGCAGGAAAACUUUCAAUAUCGACCUGGGAAGUCCUGAGAUAAACUCACAUUGGAGACAAAGAGAGACACACAUGAAGUUUAACAAUUUACACAAGGAAGGCAUAGCUCACAAGAGAUGAUCCAUGGAGGUGCCACAAACACGAUGCACAACCGCUAAGAGAGGAAAGCUUCCACAAGGUGAUACUGUACCAUCACUCUUCAAGUAAGGUAACAUCUUAAGGUACUUGACUAUCACUUCUAUAAGCUUCUCCUUUGUUCUGGCGUUCGCAUGAAUAAAAGAGACAAACAUGUAUGAUUUACAACUCUAGAUUAACCAACCUAAUCGAUUCAACAUGUUUAGUCCUUCCACCUUUGUGAUCCCAUACUCCUAAUCAUAUAAGCUAAAAUGUUGCACACUCAAUCUUUGGAAGAUAUAAACAAAACAUAUAUAUAGAUAGAUUAUCUUUCCAUAAGGUUGAGCAAUCUAAUCUGACAAAUGUUAGAUACUACACUCAUGAUUUUAUUAUCCAUCAACUUUGUCUUGCUCACUAUGCUUAAGGUUAGAGAAGAAUAAAUACACUUUUGGUUCUGUUGGUGUUUUCCACCAACAGGGCCCAUGCACUUGAUCUCUGCCUUGUCUCUAUGAGCAGGUACACUUCGAGUAGAAUAUGAAGGACUUUUACAACUCCCAGACUCCACCUAGUGAAGAACCUAGAUUUACGAGCACAAACACACUGGAGAGACUGGACACUCAGGCAAUCACUGCCCUGAAAUGCUUGAGGACAUAACUACUGGAGUACCCCCGUUGUGGAAGUAAUUACUAACCUUCUGCCGGUCAAGAGAGACGAUCCAAGACGCACCGUCAUCCCGAUCUCCAUCGGCAUGGUGAACUUCCUAGAAGCACUCUGCGACUUUGGCUCCAGCGUCAACAUUAUGCCCAGGGUACUCUGAAAAAAAAUCUUUACACAUCCUUUAUUAGAAACAGCCAUGUGUUUGCAGCUUGCAGAUCGGACGCUAAGUUUUUCAAAGGGAAUAUUGAAGAACCGCUGCGUCUGUGUUGGUACCUUGUACGCUCCAGCAGACUUCAUGGUGAUAGAGACUGGUACUGAUGAGAGGGCACCCAUCAUUCUAGGGAGGCCAUUCCUGAACACCUCGGGAGCAGUCAUCCAUGCUAGUGCUGCUAAAAUCCAUUUCUACAUCAAGGGGAGGAAGGAGACGUUUACCUUCAAGAACGAGACUACACAAAUCCCAGAGCAAUCCCGACAUGAACCAAGGAAGAGGACCAACAGGAGGAACAAGAACAAGUAAAUGUGUACCGAGUCAGCUAAGAUGGUCACUGCAGCUCAACGAGGUCAAGAUCGUCAACUCAAGUCACCUUUCUUGAUCAAGAAGGACAACCCUAGUGUCCCAAGCAUCGAGUGCACAAUCAACGGAUAUUCUUUUCAGAAGACACUCUACGAUACCGGAUCUAACGUCAACAUAAUGGCCGCAGUCACUUAUCAGCUCCUGCAUGGAACUAUGUCCCUACAACCAACAUACAUUCAGCUCCAGAUGGCAGAUCAGACAUUCUGAAAGAUUGAAGGUUAUUGACAUGGGAGAAGACAAGUACGAUCCACCCAUCAUCCUUGGAAGACCGUUCUUUAGCACCAUUAAAGCAAUCAUAUACAUUGGAACCAGAGAAGUCCACAUGCACUUCCCCUCAGAGAAGGUACGCCACUGUUUUACUGACCCUAACUAUAUAGUUGAAGACUCUAAGCAGGUCAGGACAAGAAGACGACGACGCAACCGCAACCAGAGGAGGCAAAUAAUCAAGGACGGAUGGGUAGACUAUGAAGGAGAAGUUGUAAGGUCUGAAGACAUACAACUUGAACAGAACUGUCCUGAGGAGACCGUAGCACCGAGUCAGGUGUGGAAAGAGAAGAUAGUUAUACACGAAGAGGAAGCACCGCCGGAACCACCGACUACGCCAUCCAGCGAAUCCCAGGACGACUGAGAAUACACGAGAGUCCCGUUCGGAGGACUUAAAAACACCGAACGCCUUGCCAAGAGGUAAACUUGGUAGUUAUCUUUUUCCUUUCAAUUAUUUAAAAAUAGUUUGCUUAGUUAAUCAGGUUCAUAUCAUCUUGAAAAGAAAACAAAAAUGUUAAAAAUAGUAAGCCCCAUGUGAGUAUGCUCAUGGCAUAAAACCCAUAAGUACAUUCAUUGUGGUGGCAUAAAAGUAAAAUAAAUAUAUUCAUGUCCUAUAAAAAAAUUAUAUAAAUAAGAUUGUGAUCCUACUAAAGAGAGUAACAUUUAUUGAGGAGGCUCAACAUGAUAAAGGCUAGAUAUUUAUGCUAACACUUAACCAGUUCCACAAAGUUUUGUUGUCUAUUUGAGCUCCACAGAAUUCAAGGAUCAAAGAAGACUAGCAGACAGAGGACAUCCUAAUCGCUGUCAGGGUGCUGCCGACAUUCAAAUACACCUCCGUCCCCUGCUCGCUACAUCAGACGAAAUUACGUCAAAAUCCAGCUUGGGGGAGAGCACCCUCAUUUAUCUAGCUAAGUAUUCUACUCACGUUUAUACUUUACUCUAAUAAUAAAAAGAUGCAUAAUCAUAAAAACCCAAAUAAAGAUUUUGUGCUUAUAUAUAUAUCUUUGCUUAGCUUGCUAAAUAAAUAAAUAAAUAAAGUUUGCUAUGAACCCUCAUGAUAAGCUCUCACAUGGAAAUGAUGAAUAGUUGCUCUGCCAUGAUUAGUUCUAAAAAUUGAAAUCUCUCUUAAGUUUAGGCAUGACUGUUAUUAAUUAAGAUUUGCUCUAAACCUGAACUUGUGGGAAGAGUACUUGAUCUAAAGUCUAAGUCGUUAACGGAUACGAUAUGGGAAGGUUGAGCUGCUGUUUAUCUGUUCCUAGAGAUGCUAGAAUUCUGGAGAAUUUUAUCUUUGAAAAUCUUUAAAAUGUUGCAUGAUGAGUUCCUGUAUGAUGAGAGUUUAAAUUCCUACCACAGCCAUAUAUACAUGCUUGCUAGACUUUGAGCCACACAUUUACUUUUUACUGCUUAUGAGCAUUGAGUGUGGUCAAGCUUGUAGACCCUUAGGAGUUUGUCAUGUGGUUAAAUCAAGAUUCACUUUGCACGUUCACUCAUACAUGCUGCUUCUACUCCGGAAGUAUGCAUCCACAUAUAUUCAUCCAUUUCCAUCUCCAGAACCACCCAAAAAUAUUCUACUCCUAAUCCGGGAGAGAAUAGCCAAAAAUAUUUCUAUUUUUCCCCUAUGAAAUAAAUGCUCAAGUUAUCUUGUUACUACCACUUGCUAUAUUAUCUCAUGAGAUGAGUGCUCUAAUAAAAAAAAGAGAAAAAAAAGAGAAAAAAAAGAUACGAGGAAAUAAAAAGGGGCAAGUGCCCGGAACCUCGAAGAAAAGUAAAAGUGAGACGAGAGGUAAAAAUGGACAAGUGUCCGACAGUAGAAUUAGGGGUACAAGAUACCCACCUGAGAGAAAAGAAAAAGAAAAUAUAGAGCAUCUCAUUCUCCUCAAAAAGUUUCAAAAGAGCAAGAAAGGUAUGUAUCCCCUCAAAAGAGCACAAGUAGAAUUAGACUUUUACCAUUGUUAUCACCAUCAUUACCAUACACCAUUCAUUCGCCACACAUGAACAUCUUGAUUUGACUUAUUGACUUGUUCUUCUGGAUCCAUGGUUUGACUAUGCAAUAAAUGUCUUGUAAGUAUGUAUUAGCUGUCUCCCACCUAUGAGCUCCAGAUAUCAAAAGCCUUAUUAGAGUAGGGUGAGAGAGAAGGCAAUGUCACUAUGCCUUAUACCACAAAUACCACAUACUUUGAGAGAAGGCAUAUACCAUUACUGCCUUGGUAAGGAUCCAGAAAUACCACAAAUGAGAGACUAGAGAGAGUCAUACAAGGAAUCUCUGAGUUUUAUUUGAAAAUCUGCAAAAACUCCAGAGCUAUAGUUAAUCGAAGAACAAGAGACAUGGUGCUUGACUAGACUGUUCUAUCUUUUAACUACUCAAGACAGAAGUGACGGUUACAAGUCCCAUGGUGAAAGGUAAAUGAGUAAGUUUUAAGUCUUAACAGUUUACUCUAACCAGAGAUAAGAUCUUGUUUAAACACAUGUGUAUCUUUAAGGCAUGAAACCACUGCAGAAACUCUUAAGUCCAUCUUUGCUCAGGGACGAGCAAAGGUUAAGCUUGGGGGAGCUUGUUGACGGUCCUUAAUGCUCAUAUUUAACCAUCAAUUAAUCAUAGAAAAGGAUCCAAAUGCAACCAACACCUAGACUUAGGGUUUUAUCUGACAGAAUUCCACAAGUUUUGGUGUUUGUCUAUUUCUGCAGGGGGUUAUCAGGAAAUACGGAAGAAAGGCCCACACGUCGGGUUUACAUAGAGAUAUUAACGUGCCGCAUAAUUUUCUAUCAUCUAGAAGACUCCAGAAGCCACGGGACCGAAGCGGAGGCCGAGAGGACACAGGGACAGGGCGCCCGCCCUCCUUUCCUGGGCGCCCGCCCUCAGCCAGAGUCCAAUCAGGACUCUCUUUCGGGAUAUUGCUCCACCGACCUAAAGGAUCAACAAUAACCGUUCAAUCAAUGUCGGUUUGAUCCGACGGCCCAGAUUCACUUGAAGGGACUAUAAAACCAGACCCCCCUGGCCCCUGGAGAUCAUACCACUUCUACAGAAUCAAAGCUAGGGUUUCAAUUCUUCAUCCAAGUAGAGAGGAUCCCUCUAGUUCUUCUAGUUCUACCUCUAGUUCAUCUAGAUCUAGUUCUAGUUCAUCUAGUUCUAGUUCUAGUUCCUCUAGUUCUAGUUCUAGUUAGUUCUAGUUGUAAUCUAGAAAAUAGGGAGAGAGAAGAGGAGAGCGGAGGAGGAGCCGGAUCUGUCGGAUCUUCCUCAACAUUAUACUUUUGCAGCAUCUGGUUCGUUCUUCAUCGUUCUCCAGGUUCUUCAAUUCAUAAUCCUGAGUUCUUUAAUUACUUUUAUUUACAUUCAAGUUAUUUAUUGGAUUCCCGCUUGCAUCAAGUGCUCUAGUCUUUAUAAUGCUAGAGUAGUAAUUAAUAGAUUAGACGUGGUGUUUAGUCUUGCGAUUACCUGGAAUUGCACCCAAUCCUACGGAUUGUUGUGGUAGCCCUCGGGUAGUGACAGCCCUAACGGUCGACGUAUUCCACCACGUUCGGAUCGGUGUUUGUAGGACCGUAGUCAGACCUUCCUAGCCCCCUUCUCAUCUCUUUCUGUGGUUAGUGCUCUGAUGUCCCGAUAUAGAUAAUCUUGAAGUAAUUCUUGAUUCUUAGAUCAACUAGAGAACUCUCAGGAAACUUCCUCUCUUCCCACCAAAAAUAAUUAUAUAGUUAUCCUUGGGCGAUCUUGGAUCUUAAUUAGUACACUCACGUUCUCUGUGGAAAAUCGAUACUCUGGAAUACUCCCGGGUGAAAGCUACAUCGGUAUCCGUGCGCUUGCGGAUUUUUCUGUUUGCGUUUAAAAUACCCAACAACACCAUCAACGACAUGGCGAUUUACCAGGAUUGGCUUCAAAAGUGAUUUGCCGAGGCAUCGACAAUGCUUCCUUUUGGAUCACCUCGCCACUCCUAUUGAUACUGAAGGAUUUCAAGCAUAGCUGCUUGUAGUCCUCCAUAGCUUUUGCCAUAGCUUGCUUCUGUUCAUCUCUGAGAUUGGCUUCCGUCACAGGGAUGCCGUUCUCUAAGUCGAAAUCGGUGUUCGACAUAUUGAUCUUCAUAUUGAAUCUCUGUCCCACUGGGCAUGCCAAAAGAUGUGUUGGUGCAAAAGUAGAUCUACAAACACAAAGGGCUAAUACCCGGUUUAAUGUUAAGGCGUGCCAGCCGAUUUGACCUUGCAAUCGACAAAGGUGGUAACUCGAACACUUUAGUCCCAACAACAGCGAUGCACCCGGAUGUCACGGCCAAGAGGUGUUCACGCGGAACUCGAGAACUCGUCGAGAUUGACUCGAUGAAUCCCUAAGAACUCGUAGGUAAAAAGAAAAAUAUGCAGGGUGACGAAGUCGUCGAAAAAGUAGAUGCUGGAAUAGAUGUAAAAGUUUGUAUUUGAUUGAUUGUGUAUAUCUUACAUCGCUACAGGGUCUUAUAUUUAUACCCUGCCCAAAAGGGUUACAACCAGACACGACUAGGACUCGAAUUCCAAAUUAAACGGAAUCCGUAUAUAAAGCAAACUCUAAUAACUAUGGAAAGUAUUAAAUCAUCUUCCACAACCGAUCGGUACACCACCAUGAGUCGAUCGACAACUCCUGUGCCUUUCUCCAUAACCAUCGGCAAACCAUAUCUCAUAGCCAUCGGCAACCAUCAGCACCAGUCAUCGACACAAAUCCAUUACCACUCCUGGACUUGUCCAUAUUCUGUCGUUUCCUCAUCGGCACCAACCCUCAUCGGCAACUCUUCUGUGAACUAGUCACCACACAACCCUCAUCGGCAACUCUUCUAUGAACUAGUCACCACUUUUCUGCCUACCGAUCUACACCUCAUUAACUCCAAAUAUGCGUCCAAAGAUAGGUGUCCAAAAACGGUGUCAACAUAAUCACUAGUCUGCCAUCUCGACCCUUCACACAUGACUAGUGAUGCGAGAAUAUUCAAUUCAAUCAAUACAAAUGAUGAUAAUGGUGUUGAUAGUAUCACAUUUGGUGACAAUGGCAAAGGCAAGGUGAAAGGGCUUAGAAUUGCUAUAUCCAAUUAUUUGAGCAUUUCCAAUGUGCUACUAGUAGAGAACUUGAACUUUAGUUUGCUAUCUGUGGCUCAAAUUUGUGAUCUUGGUUUCAAAUGCAUAUUUGGAGUUGAUGAUGUAGAGAUCAUAAGUGUAGAUGGCUCUAACUUGAUAUUCAAAGGCUUUAGAUAUGAGAAUCUAUACUUAGUCUAUUUCAAUGCUAGUGAAGCUCAAUUAUUAACAUGCUUGCUCACUAAAUCUAGCAUGGAUUGGUUAUGGCAUAGAAGGCUUGGUCAUGUUUGAAUGAAACAAUUAAACAAGUUAGUCAAACAUGAUCUUGUUAGAGGCUUGAAAGAUGUCACAUUUGAGAAAGACAAGCUUUGUAGUGCAUGUCAAGCCGGAAAGCAAGUUUGCAACACUCAUCCUAAGAAAAGUAUCAUGAGUACAUGCAAGGCAUUUGAGUUGUUGCACAUGGACUUAUUUGGACCAACCACAUACAUAAGCAUUGGUGGAAAUAAAUAUGGAUUUGUGAUAGUGGAUGAUUUCACAAGAUACACAUGGGUAUUCUUUCUUAGUGACAAGAGUUAUGCUUUUGCAACCUUCAAAUCAUUUGUCAAGAGAAUACACAAUGAGUUUGAAACAACCAUCAAGAAAGUGAGAAGUGACAAUGGAAGUGAAUUCAAGAACACAAGAGUUGAUGAGCUUUGUGAUGAAUUUGGUAUUAGGCAUCAAUUCUCGGCCAAGUACACUCCACAAUCAAAUGAUCUUAUUGAGAGGAAGAAUAGAACCUUGAUUGACAUGGCAAGAUCAAUGUUGAGUGAGUACAAUGUGAGUCAUUCUUUUUGUGCUAAAGCAAUCAAUAUGGCUUGCUACUAUAGCAACUGACUCUAUUGUCAUCCUAUGAUGGAGAAGACACCUUAUGAGCUCUUGAAUGGUAGAAAGCCCGAUAUUGCAUACUUUUGGGUUUUUGGUUGCAAAUGCUACAUAUUGAAGAAAGGCACUAGAUUGAGCAAAUUUGAAAAGAAAUAUGAUGAAGGUUUCUUGCUUGGUUACUCCACUACUAGCAAAGCUUAUAGAGUUUGGAAUUUGCCUAGUGGUACUCUUGAAGAGGUGCAUGAUGUUGAGUUUGAUGAAACCAAUGGCUCUCAAGAAGAUAAAAAUCUAGAUGAUGUGAGAGGCACUCAAUUGGCCGAUGCAAUGAAGAACAUGAACAUUGGUGAUUUAAGGCCUAGAGAGGUGAUUGAUGUUGAAGAUGACAAAGAUCAAGUGCUUCCUACCUCUAAUGUGCAAGCUAGUAGUUCUCAUGAUCAAAAUCAAGCUAGUACAAGUGGUACUCAAGUGCAAGAUCAACAAGCUAGUAUAUUAUCUCAUGAUCAACCAAACGCAAGCAAUCAAGUGCAAAUACUCCAACCAACAAAUAUUGCAAGAGAUCAUCCAUUGGAUCAUAUCAUAGGUGACAUUCAAAGAGGAGUGCAAACUAGAUCGAGACUAACAUCAUUUUGUGAGCAUUUCUCAUUUGUGUCUCACAUUGAGCCAAAGAAAAUAGAUGAAGCUUUGAGAGAUGUUGAUUGGGUUAAUGUUAUGCAUGAAGAGCUUAACAACUUCAAGAGAAAUCAAGUAUGGGAAUUAGUUGAGAGGCCUAGUGAUCAUAAUGUCAUUGGUACUAGAUGGGUCUUUCACAACAAACAAGAUCAAGAUGGGAUAGUUGUAAGGAACAAAGCAAGAUUAGUAGCACAAGUCUAUACUCAAGUUGAAGGUCUUGACUUUGGUGAAACAUAUGCCCAGGUUGCAAGAUUGGAAGCAAUUAGGAUCUUGUUGGCCUAUGCUUGUGCACAUAACAUCAAGUUAUAUCAAAUAGAUGUGAAAAGUGCAUUUCUCAAUGGCUAUAUCAAUGAAGAAUUUUAUGUUGAGCAACCUCUUAGUUUUGAAGAUGACAAGAAACCCAACCAUGUUUACAAGCUAAGAAAGGCAUUGUAUAGUUUGAAGCAAGUACCAAGAGCAUGGUAUAAGAGAUUGAGAGACUUCUUACUCUCUAAAGGUUUCAAGAUGGGCAAGGUUGACACCACUCUAUUCACUAAGAAGAUUGGCAAAGACUUGUUUGUGCUGCAAAUCUAUGUUGAUGAUAUCAUAUUUGGAUCAACCAAUCAAGAAUUUUGUGAGGAGUUUGGAAACAUGAUGGCUAAUGAGUUUGAGAUGUCAAUUAUUGGAGAGCUUAGUUACUUCCUUGGUCUUCAAAUCAAGCAAUUGAAAAAUGACACAUUUGUGAGUCAAGGCAAGUACAUAAAAGACAUGCUCAAGAAGUUUGGAAUGGAUGAUGCAAAGGCAAUUAGCACUCCAAUGGGAACAAAUGGAAGCCUAGGUAGUGAUACAAGUGGAAAUAUGGUGGAUCAAAAGUUGUAUUGGUCUAUGAUUGGAAGCCUACUCUAUGUGACUGCAUCAAGAUCUUGUUGUCGGUUUGAUGGGCCAUGGAACGACACGACACGACAUGCUUGAUGGGUCGGCACGACACGAAAACCAGCUCGUGGGCCGUGCCUUGGGCUGAAGGCUAGGCACAAAGUUCGUAGAGGCAUGGCCCGCUAGGCACGAUGGCCCGUAGCGGCCUAGCGAUCUGCGGCACGACACUACGGGCCAGCCCGGCAUAGCCCGUUGGACAUCUCUAGCAAUGCAUUGUUAUAUCCAUCAUAGCCAUCCACCAGUUGUGGAUGGAAGUGGAUACUUCCCGUUGGCUAGGAAGAACGUCUUAGUUUGUUUUACCUAUUGUGCAACAUCCUUCUAAAUACAUCUAGUGAUUCUACAUUCGAUGGAAAGAUGAUGGUUAUUUUUUUAUUCCAUGGUAUAGAGGGCAACAAACAUGGUGUGGCCAACUGGUUGUCCUCUUCCCAUAAUCAUAUUCGCUAUCUGCGAGAGGUACCACACCAUCAAUCAACCGAAGAAAAUAUAUUUAUGGGAUGCUAAGGUUGGUUUUAGUGGAGCCCAAGAAUUAUGCUUUGUAGACUGAAUUUACCAAAUAUUCAUGAUUCAUGGUGAAUUUCCACACUUUUCACGGAGGUGCCCAAGGUUUUUUAUCACUCCUCUUUAUGUUUUGUGAAGUUAGUGGAAUAUAUAGUUUUGAAUAUAUAUAUAUAAGAAGUAUUGUGCAUCACAUAUAUAGUCGUAAAUGGUAGACCCCUCACCUUAGGCAAUGAACUCUCCCAUAAGAAUAAGAUCCAAAUUUCUUCUAUUUGUCUAGAAAGCUUAGACCUUAUUAGAUGAAAAACAUUACUUUAGAAUAUCUAUAAACAACAUUGAUUUUUCAAAUACUUUGGUUUUGGAGGUGUUUAGAUGUAACAAAUUUUGUAGUUUUGAAAAGCAUUGUUUUGCUAAAAUUAUGGUUCUAGACCUCUUUUACUAAACUAUAGUUUUGUAUAUCAAUAGGAUUUAAAACUGUAUUUUAUUAAUACACACAUAAUUUCUAAAAUAAGAUACAACAAUACUGUUGUAUUUCUAUGUACAAAACAUGAUUUUACCAUGUACCAUUAUAGUGAAAAUAUACAAUGACAUUGGAUCAAAGUGACUCCUUCCAUGUAGAGGGUAAAUUUCCCAGUGGAGGAUAUGAUACAAGAUGAGCGACUCAAAAUAAAUGUUGCUUUUAGCUAGUAUACUAUCUCUGAAUACAAUAUGGUUCUACAAAUGCUAUUAGCCUAAUAUUUUCCUAUUGUCCCUCUUAAUUCCAUCUCUCCUUUUUCUCAUACAUUUCUCAAUUUUCUUUCAUGCACUUAAAGAACCAUGCAUUUUAGGUAUUUCAUCUACUACCAUCUUAAUCAUCGUAUUCAACUCUAAAACGACAUCUAUUUUGAAGAUGAGUGUAUGCCCUAUAUCAUCUAGCCAUUUAAAUGAUGAUUAAUUACUUCAUCUUUAACAUCCACUCAUAGCUUUUUUUGAUGCCUAAACUCUUUGAGUACAAAUUAUAGUAUCUGAACUCACGCACCAACUCAUACCACCACAUGCACCCACACAAACUCACAUACACCUUAGUGCGCAAGUUAGACCUACACCUACACGAAGAGGAUUGAGAGGUAUUCGAAGUCUACCAUACUUCGCACGUGACGGGCAUGUCACUUUGAUCAUUGUGGCGCAUCCAUGUGUGAGGCUAUAGAUACCAGGACCUGCAAAUUUAUUGUUGGAGAAAACCCCUAGUGAGACAUGUGAGUGUCGAUCCAGGAAUCGAACUCACGCGCGGCCGCUGGCACACUUGGCAACCUAGCCAACCAAGCUAAGCUUGGUCCUUAUAUCCACUCAUCGCUUUGGAUCCCUAGUGGCACCCCAUUGCCUUCAAUAUCUUUAUUUGCUUUUUUUCUAAAAAACAUCUUGAUAUUUGAUCUACAUAUAUCUUUUUACCUCUCUACCUACAACUCUUAUUAGUACCUUGUAUAACAUGGAUAUACCCUUUUUGCCUCGAUUUACAUUCUUUUAUAGAUAUUUUAUGUGACUUCAUUCUAACAUAUACUCGUACUUUGCUAUGGAUUGUGAAAAUUGAGUUAAAGUUUACUGUUUGUUUACUAAGUGUGUAGUUCACAAAAAAAUAUUAUACAAUAUUUGUGUUAGCAAUAUACAAAACUGAGUAAUUAUUCCCUUUCGUUAUUAGAACUCCAUAACAGGUCUCUCUCUUUGCAAAUAGUACCUAUGCACAACUUUUAACUUGAAAUUUUAAGCCAUCAGUUUUGCUCCAGGCCUUCAAAUUAAUGUAUCUAACGGGUGACGAGUAACUAUAAAAACUGGCUCAACUUUGCCUCCAGGCUUGCUCCUUUAUUCUUCUCUCUAAUGUUGAACAUUUGAUCAACUUGUGGCCUUCUCUAUCUCCUCCAUGGUGCCAUCUAGCUCAGCUCUUAGUGUGGACUUCACCUAGCUCAAUCAACACUUAGUUUCAGCUAUGACUUUUUAGACAAGCAAAUAUGCUCAUAGUCUAGACGAUCAACAUUGACUAAGUAUAAUACCCUAUACGUUCCAAAUUAUAAGACGUUUUGUUUAUCCCCUAAACACUAAUCUCUAAUGAGAAGUACUAUUGAAUGCUAGGUGGCAUCCCUCUAUCCAUUCUGGCGGACAUAACGUCACUUAGAUCGACUAAUGUGAUGCUACACCAACAAAAUGACAAUAAAACCAUUCAAUAUGUAAAAAUAAAGAGUUUUAAAAGGUAAGAAGUCAAACAAAAACGACUUUUGUAGACAGGGGAGGGAGGAAAUGGGAAGUUCUAGAUUUUUUUUUAGAAUUAGAAACAAAAAUCCUUUUUAGUUUUUUUUUUGAGAAACAAAAGACCUUUUUAGAAGAAAUGACUUUUUGCUUUACAAUCUAUACUAUAAUUGAAAUCUUCUUCAAGUCACCUCCUUCCUUCAAGAUCAACGGCUCAAAACACACCAAUUAGGAAUCCAACGUCUGAGAUUAAGAUGUUAGAAGCCGCUUCCAACUCGUCUGAGAUUAAGAUGCUGCUUCAACGGGCAACAUCAGCGACCGAAACCUGUUGUACGCGAAAAAAAACAAAAAAAAAAGCGCCCAGCCACCUACUCCGUCAAUGCAAAAAAAAAAGAAACAAAAAAAACUGCUGCUCGAACGCCGCCAACCAGUAGAUCGAUCUCCUGCCGGCCCUCGCCCAGACCCCCAACGACGUUGAUACGGUUCUCGGUGAGCGAGGGUCGGCUACGGCACCUGGCCGGGGGCUAGGGUUGCACAGGGUGACGUUUGUGCGGAUCUCGGCAGCGACACAGGCGGUCAUGAUCCAGCCUUAAUUCCUCCCCGCGCUUCUUCUCCUUGAUGGCUGGGAGCCUGGGACCAACCCGGCCUCCCCGUACGGCCGCAUUGCCAUCGCCGCCAGUCUCAUCGUUGUGAAAUGGGAUCUGCAGAACUAUCUCUGCCGCCAGGGAUGCCGUCAUGCUGCUCCACGUGCGCCCCACCUCCAUCCGCUGCGUCGUCGAUUGGGGCUCCAUCCCGUCCUCCAUCGUUGACGAGGCUGACGCUGCCGAGGACGCCGCCACCACUGCCACCGUCGAGGGCGGCCCCUCGGAGGAGUUGCAGGAGAGAAGUCGUGCACCGGGUCUGCCCCUUCUCUUUUUCUUAACUAUACAUUUUUACUUUAUUAAUGUUUUUUUUUGAACAUGUUUUACUUUAUAUUAAUGUGGAUUGACGAUUUUCCUAUGUAGCUUUUUGUGCAACUGACUUAGUACGUAAGUUUCUGAUGUGGAGGACAAAUGUUAGUACAUGACAGUUGAUUCAGUAUUUCAGUAAGAAACUUCCUCCAGUUAUUUCAUUACUUGUUAAUCUUUGAUCUUUUGUAAAAACUUGUAGCGUCAACAACAAGCUGAUAGCGUGGUUUGUUUCAUGGUACUACUGCCCUUCAGGCUUAUUUAAAGACCCAUAUAUCUUUUUUGGGCAGACAUUAGUUUACGUUAAAUCAGUUAACUUGCGUCAGGCUCUUGUAAACUGUGAAGAAUACCUGAUAGCAUCUGCAAAUGUACAUGAAAGUAGGGUGAAAUACAUCUGCUGCUGCAGAUUGCAUAUCUUCACCGUUGAUAUUGCAUUUUUAUUCAUUAUUGUUUAAUUCAAGAAUAUGCAAUGCAACUUUUCUAUGUAUUAUAAUAGAGAUUUGCUCGGUUAGUAUUUAGAGUAAACACAAGAAAUUAAUAUUCAAGUGAACUUUGCUAAUCAGAAUUAUAAUAUAACGUUGCAUGUGGCUUUCUUAUGCAGGGGUUGGGGGUGUUAAAUUCUCAGUCAUCUGUGCUUUGCCAUCUGUGCUUUGCCAUAAUAUAACGUAUAUAGUGUUUGCAGGGGGCAUGCUACAAAACUUUUGAUGUGCCCUUACUACUGUGCCUUAACAGAUUGUUGCAUUUGUCUUGACAGUACUCUUUAUUUUCUUUCCUCCUGUCUGAAAUCUGGAUGUUUUUCCCUACGUUAGGAAUGUGCUAUUUCUGUAUAAUGCUGGCACAACAAUGAAACAGAAUUUUAAUAUAGGGAAGAUAAAAAAUAUUAAAAGCUGCUUGCUUAUAUUUUUUAACCAUCAAUCAUGAUUUUUUUCUUUCCACCUAUCUGGAUGUUUUUGCAAAUACAGAAACUUGUGUCUACUAAAAAUGUUCUAUUGUCGACGACAUGGAAAAUCUAGGUCCUGGAGUUCCUCUUCCAACUAGAGGAAGAAGAGGUUGAGUAGAUCCUACACUCUCAACAGUGGCAAGGUCUUUCUUUUAUUUUUGAUUUUUUUUGUGAAUGCAGUUAAAAUCGUCCUUUUUAACACAAUUUAGUUCAACUCUGAUUCUUAGUUGUGUGGCAUAUAUACUGUGUAUCAGUUUUUAAUAGCGUGACUCGCCUCCAUCUUCAACCAGUGGCACAAAGUUCAUGUGAGCUAGGACUCAGUCUUAUUGGCCAAGGCUUUAGGUGAGCUCAAUGUUUGUGAUUUCUUAUGUCUAUGGCCCAUGUGCUAACAACGACCAGAAAGAUUGACUUGCACUGUAUCAAAUAUCAGAGAUUAACUCACAUAUUCACAAGUUAACAGUUCAUAUAGAUUCACUGACUCGGUGCUUUUGCUCUGUAGGAUUGGCGGAGAGGCUAUUGCCAAUUUGCACUGAACUGAAUUUUGCUGAUGUUGGACUCAAUGACCUGCUCAUCAGUUCCUAUGGCUGGGCAAUUUUGCCCACUUCCUAUGAUCUGUGCACCAGUACCAGGUAUAAACAUUUGUUUUUCUAUGCUAGGUAUAAGAACAUUAGUAGUCAUUUCCUUUCUUAGUUGUAUUGCAAAUGUUAGAUCAGAUACCUUGCUAUCCAUCGACAAAUGCUGCUAAAGUUAAUGCAUUUAAUGUGUUCUUCACAUUGUGCUAAGUGUAAGAUAUCUUAAUCUAAUUUGUGUAAAGUUGGAUUGUAUUAAGCACAGAUAAUUGGAUACUGCAACAAAAAAGUUCAAUUAACUUACAUUUUUUCUUUUAUGCAACAGCUCAUAUAGUGGGAUGUUCAGAUGGACCACUUUUUAUAUAUAAAAAGGUUAUUUAUGGUUAAUUGUUCAAGUUGCCAUAGGUGAGUCAUACAUACUUGACCCAUUUUUAUGAUUUCUACAUGUUUGCUGUUGCAGGCAUAUAGAUUAGAUUUGACAAGCACAAGACACAUAGUAUUAAGCAUCAGACAUUCCAGAGCUGAAGACCUGUAGUAAAUUUUAUGAAAUUUCUUCAAUUCUGCUGCCUGAAGAUGAUUUCUUUUCGACCACUUGUCUGAAGAUUUAUCUAGGAGAUAAUUGUACAGAGAGAGAUACUUUUCAAGAGCUGUAGUUCAGCGGAUAGCUUGAACUUCAUCUAAAAUUCAUUAUGAAAGUUUACCUUGUGGCAAAUAUGUCUAUGUUCGUCAUAUAUGUCUGUCUGUCUUAUUUAAUGUUAAAUAUGCCAAUGAUCCAUAUGAGGUACUCAUCAUUUUGUGGUAAAAGACAGAACACUAAGGUUCGUGAUUAGCAGAUAGAAACAUGUCACGGGACAACAAACUCGCAGAGCAGUUAUGCAUGAGUGUUUUCCGGAUUAUACACAUAGUUCUUGUUGUAGAAAAAAAGAUUAUAUACAUGGCUCUAUAGGAUCGUGUGAAACUUUCUAUGUAAAAAGAAUUUGUCUAUACGUAUCUCUAAAAUGAAGCCGUGGCGUUAGCACGGGCAAUGUACUAGUUACAAUAAUAACGCACUUUGAUCAGGCCGGGCUUAGGCGAAUUGCAGCCCAUAUGGGCCCAUUCAACGGCGGCACGGCACGACAAGCAAGCGUCAUGUGCGAGCUGUUUUUUCUCGCAGCGGGUAGCCCUGUCCCUGACCUGACCCUGACCCGUGCGUUGCGCCUCCUCGCAGACGGCGCCAGGAGCCGCCUCCUCGCCUUCUCGCCAUCGGCCGGCGGCGACGGUGGCUGCUUCCCCGAGCCCGCAGGUGCUGCCUUCUACCUCCGCCGUUCCGCUCCCCUUCCUCUGGCUUCUACCUCCGCCGUUCCCCUUCCUCUUGCUCGUAGCUCUUCACGCGUUCCUGUGGAUCUGACAUUUUCCUCGCGAAUCCACGGCUCAGAUCGGGCGGUAGAUCUGGUUGGGCUAGUCGCUGUCCGAAGCAGCUGCCGAGCUAGUCCGCGGCUGCGCGCUGCCGCCGGGGGGGCUUACGGCGCCAGAUCUGGAUAGGAAAACGCAGCGCACAAACUGAGCUAAAUUCUGUUCGAUUCGAGUUAUUAUUAAUAGGGGUUCGUGUGGCUGCAUGUUCUGGAUUUUUCCUCCACGUGUUGCGGUCGUGGCUGACUCUUGUUGCCGGCCUCGAGCCAGAUCUGGUCAUGCUGCUACCGUGGAUGACUUAUUGCUUGAUUCCGAUUUGUUUGCAUGUUUUUUUUAUAUAUUUCUUCGGUUUAAGGAUAGUCUCAAGACCCAUGAGCAUAUAUACCGGAAAGUGGAGACAGAUUUGGAAAAUCUUCAUUUAUUAUUAUUGCUAGCUUAUAGUUUUGGGGUACUAUGCUAUUUUUCCUGGUUCUCUUAAUAAUUGAACUAUAAUAAAUCAACAAAUCUGCCACUACAGUCGUCAUGGGCAACUGUUAAAAACUCUAAACAACACCUAAUCGGGGCGCCUAGAACAGUCCACGAACCUGAACUGCUGAACUUAAAUGGUUGGAAGCCACAGAUGUGUACUUUGCACUUUCUGAUUCCUGAUGGUUUGUUUACUGAUUUAUGCUCAUUUACUCUUUCCUUCUUCCAGGUAGACCACCUUUAGUUGGUUCCUCGAGUCUUCACCUGGUGCUUCAGUUUGCAGCUUCAUUUUUAAGGUAAUCAGAUCACAUCACUGCCAAGUAUUAUGGUAUAUGGUCUCUUCAGUCGUAUAAGGGUCUAGGCUAGGAAAUCUCCUGUUUGAAAAUCUAACCUACUGGGGAGAUGCCCAACAAUCCCAAGAAACCUCACAUUCUAUGAAACACUAUGUUUACUUGUUGAUUUAGGCUUCAGAAGCUAGGUUCUCCUUGAAUUUGAUCAUUGUUUGGUUGAUGUUUUGCUUUGGUAAACACUUGAGAUGGGGUCGCUGGAUCAUGCAAUUCUGUUGUUAUGUAUGUUCUGGCAUAUCAUCAUUUAUUAUUUAGUUUUAUUUUGCAUUUUAUUAGUUUGUGGAUGCUUCAGCAGUGUGGUGCAUAAUUAAAUUAUCAUUUUGUAAUAAUUUAUGGUUUGGUGUAUGUGAGUAAUUAGAAUGGAAUUUGAUAAAUACUGCUUGGAUUUCUACCAUGUGUUCCACAGUUACAUUUUGUCAAGUUCAUGGUGUGUCCCAUCACUGCAGUUCCUCAUAUGUGAUUGAAGUUUCAUGGAACCACCCACUGAUUUUGCUAUAAUAAUAUGAAUAAUUUAGUAAAACUAAAAAUUAGAAUAAGAAUUUGGAAAGGUGAACCAAGAAGUGUAGACCUAUUGGACAACUACACUUUGUUUCAAGUUAUUAAGGUAGAAUAAUUACGAGCUGAAGAUGGAUUAUCAAGCUUCUUUUUUUUUUGCUAUCUUGCCUCAUUUUGGUCUUUGAGCUACCAAUUUUCUACUACCUUCUAUUAAAAUAGUGUAUCUUUCCAUGUCACAUUGCUUAAGUGUGUAUACCAGUUAUAAGGCAAAAUAUUCCAUUUUGCAUUCUUCCCUAUUUCCAUAGACUGAUAAGCCCUAAUGUUGUCACAUGUUUUUAUUCACAUUUCAAGUUUUAGGAUUAAUUAAUUGUGAAGUUUGUUUUCUUCCUAUGAUAAGUAUUUAUAUUGCAGUCUGUAAUUUAUUGGCUGUUUAUCUGACACUACACUCUGUUGUGUUUUCUUAUUAGAUGUCACAAGCCAGGGAAGUGAGGUUAGUAUCCCUGCAUGGUGACUUGUUAUAAUUCUCUUGUUCUCUGACUCAGACCAAAUUCUCAUAAUCUGGUGAUAUUGCUUUUAGGUACACUGCACGGUCUAUUACACCUCCUGCUGAUAGAAAUGGCACCUCAAGCUCGCCUCCUCCAAAGAGACGCAGCCCUUCAAGGUCACCUCCACCAAAGAGUGCUUCACGGUCCCCACGUCCAAGGAGUCCAAAGAGACGCAGCACUUCAAGGUCUCCUCCUAGGAGACGUGGUAGAUCAAGGUCAAGGGAUAGAAGUCGGUCCAGGCAAGUAUAUCACUUGUAACUGAUAGUUUAUCAAAUAUUAUUGUUUCCAAUGAGUGAAUGAUUUGUUUUUAGCUCCAGUUUUGCAAUUCUACACAAAUAUGGGACUGGGGCAGUACUGAUGUUCAGUUCUUUAUCAUGCACAGGAGCCCAGAUGAUAGAAAUCCAGGGACUAACCUUUAUGUGACUGGGUUGUCUACUCGUGUAACUGAAGAAGAUCUUCAGAAGUUCUUUAGUAAAGAAGGAAAGGUAUAAUGUCAAAUUAUUAGUUCACGCAUUCUUAUUAUGAUGUUCUAUUCGGGUGUUCUUUGGUUCACGGCUGGAGCCUCACUCUUAAGGAGAUGUUUCUUCAGCUAAGCGCAUAGAUAUGAGUGCUGGGUUAGUGUAUUGUGCUGUGAGUCUUGGGUUUGGGAGUCUCUCUCCCUUUGUACUAGGAGUAUUCCUGUCUCUCCUGCAUAUGAAAUGACAUGCUGUUCUGUGUUGUCUGAGAAAAUUAUUAUGGUCUCUAUUUUAUUUCUAAGUGUUUGUGUAUUAAUCUUGUCUAACGUUAUGGUAUCCAAUUAAUCAGUUCCAUCUUUCAAUGCAGGUUAAAAACUGUCAUGUUGUUCUUGAUCCUAGGACAAAAGAAUCCCGUGGUUUUGCCUUCGUGACUAUGGAUACUCUUGAAGAUGCAAGACGCUGCAUCAAGUAUCUGCACCGCACUGUACUUGAAGGUCGCCUGGUCACUGUAGAGAAGGUUAGAUACUAACUGUACUGAUUCAUUCCAUUAUGCAUUUUUCUAUUGCAUGUUUGUUGAAUAGUGCUAGUUUUGUCAUGUUAUAUUUAUAUAGUAAUUUCAAGUAGUCUAAUACUAGCAGUACAAUUAAAAAUAUAAGGCUACUAUACUGUCAAGCUGUCUUUUUUUGGUCUUGUGUUUGCCCCUCCCCCCUCCACUUUAGUCUUGAAUGAAAACCACUGAUGUCUUAGUAACAUAAAUAUAUUAAUCUCUUGCACCAUGGAAAGUAUAUUCCAUUACAUUAAAACUUCAAUGAUGCUAUGCUCUGUUCAGUUUAAAACUUUGGUGAAGGGUCCUUGAGAUGAGGUAUGUUAUGGGUAGAAGAUUACAAAUAUGCUCUUUCCCAGUGAUGGAAGAGUAUAUUCUGGAACAGCCAAGCCUGGAAGUUCCACUCAGGUGAAUUGGGCCAGAGUAAAUUGAAAGGGAAUCAUUUCUGAUGUGUUCUGAUGCAAUCCUAGUGUGGUGAAUGGGGAAAACUUCUGUGGCUCUUCAACUGGGGUCUUAACUCUCGUCUCGUGCUGACUUCCUGACCUUCCAGUUUAACAUGGUGCUGGGCUGCCUCUACGUCAACCUGGUUGGUCCAGGCUGUGCAGUCUUCAACCAUGGUUGUCUCCAAAGGAUGUGCAGCUGAAGUGAUGGUGCUUAUCACCACACCCUCAGAGCUCAUCACCACUUGCCGUCUACACCUCCCUCGCCGACAAUGCAUACAUGCUACAUCAACACGAGGGCUGUCGCCGUAGAGCGAUCGUGGAGUCUUGUUGUGCGUUGCGUCACCGUCACCACCACCGCCACCGCCACCUCUACCACUACUGCCAUCGUCAACACCAUGCUCAUGAUCCAACAGGCUCUACGAUAUGUCUGCUUCGACUAAGCUUACAUGGUGCAUGCUGCUGCCAUGUCACAACACCGACAACCGAGUCUGAUGCGAACUUCAUCGACCAGUAUCUUGAUUUGACGAACAUCACAAGAGGCAUAAUCUGGCGCUCCCUUGGACCAUGGCUACACCGACCACAGAACAAGUGCACAAAAGCCAUCUUUGGUUGAGCUGGCAUGCAACGUAAAGUUAUUAAUCUACUUGUAUCACAAGAAUUUUGAUCAAGAAUUAACAAGCUUAAUGGUCCAUGACUAUUUUUUUUCAGCAAAAGGGCAAAGCUUAGUUUCUUUAUCAAUUCUAUUAACCACCCUGUUCAAAUUUAAGAUUGAAUUGGGCUCCUCCUUUAUUUGGUGUACUUGAAGCUCAUUGCUUGUUCCAUUGCGUACCAACUAAUACAUUUGUUCAUGAUUUCAUUUCAGGCUAAAAGAACUCGCGAAAGGACCCCAACUCCUGGAAAAUACUGUGGUCGAAGAGGUAUGAACCAAAGUUGACCAAUUUUGCACCUCCACAUGAUAUGACCGCAAUGCUUUCUGUAUUAAGCAUCAUUUGUCUUGCUUCUGUAAGUGUUGUUCAGCUUGCAUACAUUGUAGUUGAAUGGAUAUCACUUUAUUUGUUUGCAGUUGUCAGAUGUGCUAUGCUGUUUUAUUAAUACGUAAACAUGAACUCAGUCUCUAAACAUUUUGUGUCACUCAUGUGAUAUUUGUUUGCUUGUUGUUUACUUGUUUUGUCAAGUGAUCUUUUAAAUAUUCUAAUGACUGACCUCAGUGGGGUGGGUGUUAUGUUUCCUACAACCUGUGAUUAUAAUUGUAGCUUCUAUGGUGUUCCCUAUUUUUAGCUGGCAUAAUUCCACACUAUCUAAGCUCCGAGUAGACAUCUGUGAUCUAGGUGGUGUUCUAUAUUUUUAACUGGCAUAAUUCCACAAUAUCAAAGCUUUGAGUACACAUCAGUCGUUUAGGCCAUUGUUUUCCUUGAUUAAAAUCACACUUUCGAAGUAGUGAAAAUCACAAGCAUAGCCAUGGGAAACUUGUGUGACAGUAUGUGCAAAAUUGGUUGCAUAUAUCUUUUAUAGGCUUGUGAUCCACAUGUGCUUAAAACAUUAUUAGUAAGGAAAAACAUGGGUUUGUGACGGUUCCUUUUUUUUCCUUUUGCAUUUUGAAUUGCAGCUAUAUUUUUAAUAUUUUUUCUUAAAAAUGCAGGAGGAUCUCAAAGGAGCCCAUCACCUUACCGCCCUCGCAGAAGGGAGCGAUCCCGCUCAAGGGAACGCAGAAGGGAGCGGUCCCGUUCAAGGGAUCGAAGGGAACGGUCUCGCUCAAGGGAACGCCGGAGGGAGCGGUCCCGCUCAAGGGACCGGAGGGAGCGGUCUCGCUCAAGGGACCGCCGGAGGGACCGGUCCCGUUCAAGGGACCGCAGAAGGGAGCGCUCACGCUCAAGAGACCGCAGGGGCAGUUCACCCCAUGACAGAAGGCGUGGAGACCGGUCCAGAUCACCCACCACGAAUGGGAACCGUAAGGCAGACUAGGAAGCGCUUCCCUAGUAUGGAACCUUUUCGUUUCGAGACUAGUCGUGAUUGUGUGAACAAUGGAACUUGUAAUUGCUACCUUCAAAUGGUCUGACUGAGACGAUAGCAUGGGUUGUAGUGGUGUUGCUGUAUUUUAUUGUUGUUUCAUUAAAAGUACUCUAUUAUGUUAGCUUUGGAUCGAAAUAUCGAAUGAUUUUGUUUGUUAUUGUUUAUGAAACUAUGACAUUCUUGUGUGUUUGCUUAAGGUCGUUUUGGCAUGUACUAAGUGUACUGUGCUUAAGAUUGACAGGGUGCAUGUUAGAUGCCUUUGGGCUCGGGUAAUGUAAUGUAUGCCAAUGUUUUCUUAAUGCCCUUCAGUAUGCAGUAUGGCAUUGCCCAUUAGUGGGCUAGAGUUUGCGGGAGAUGCGGUUUACUAGGCGUAUAGUACUACAGAGUCACACUGCAUGCAUUUCUACUUGUGUCCUCUUAUUAUUUUUUUAAAAAAAAUCUUUAUUAUAAUCUUUGUGUGACCUCAGAAAUUUCCAAAUAUGAACCAAUCCAAAAAAAAAUUGACUUAUACAAGUUUAAAAGGUCCAACAGGUAAAUUGCAAAGCGCUCUCCAGAUCCGAGCAAGCCCUGUUAUCUACAGUCUUAUCAUCUGUAGCAUGGAGGCAGAGAUGGCAGGUACUAGUGUACUCAACUUAUUUGGACUACUAGAAAUGUUGCGUGCGUUACUGUUGAAUUUCCAGUCAAAUUCCGACUAAUUUUCCGGGAUCCGAAUCAAAUGCGGCAUGGUCGUACUAGCUGUUUGUACCUAAUCAGUUGCUCUUAUAGAAUGCCACACCACACCAAGCCGUGAUGCCUUUGAAAACCUCACACGCAGGAUGUCAAACACAUACCGUGUCCGUCAAACACAUACCGUGUCCGUUGCUGAGCUCGUUGACAAUUGACACGUCCGUACCGUACGUGCUAACGACGCCGUUUCGCAUGCUUGCUUGCAUGCAACGGUUGACUUUUUCUUUUUUUUUUAUUUCGUCGAAAGUUAAUGUUGCUAACACGCAUCUCCAGCCUUAUCUCCCAGCUAUAGGUUUCGAGCAGCUGCUGUUUCAGCUUCACAUUCUCUAAGGUUUAAUUUGUCAACUGGUGAUCGAGAUCAGUAGCAAGAGGACAAAUUAUACUAUUAGGCUAGUAGAUUUAAUCCCAUCCAUAGGGAGAUAAAACAAUGUUUGAUUAAUAAUUAGGUCAAAUCCUGAAACUGAAAGGGUUUUGUCUCCUCAUGUCACAAACAACAACGUUUAAUUUACAGGCAAUUUUGUUCUUUUUUUCCUUUUUUUUCCUUUUUUCUUUUUCUUUCUUCGUCUAUGUAACCCGGAUACUUGGAGAAACUUUUGUCGUUUAAAAUUUAAGCCAAAUUAAAUCUGUGGAGUUCAAGAGCGACCAAGGCCUUGUUUACUUCCACCUAAAACUCAAAAUUUUUCAAGAUUCCUCGUCACAUCGAAUCUUUGAUGCAUACAUAGAGUAUUAAACAUAGACGAAAAUAAAAACUAAUUGUACAGUUUGGUCGAAAUUUACGAGACAAAUCUUUUGAGCCCUAGUUAGUCUAUGGUUGAAUAAUAAUUACUACAAACAAACGAAAAUGCUACAGUGUCGUGAAACUUUUUUCCUUCAUAAACUAAACACGGCCCAACUCGUCCAACUUGUGUGACGAAAGCAGCUGUGCCAUCCCAUGGUACGGACGGAAACCAGGAUACUUCCUCUGUUUCCACACGACCGGCGGAUCGGGAUGGGAUCGUUCAACAGAAGCUUCUGAGUUCUGAUAUCAUCAUUCUAAAAUCGAAGGAAAUAUGCAGGCUGGUCAGCAACAAGCAUGCACACGCACGUGUGUUGUGUUGUGCUGGACUACCUGCAUUGCAUGGACGCGCCCACCGGACCAACACAACUCGGCCCUGCCCUUGUCCACUUGCAGAGGUACACACGUCGUAGCAUCAGAUGAUAAUAUGCUACUCCUUCUACGCCUAUAAAGAAAGUCGUUUAAGACAGUGACAUAAUCUUUAAAAUAUAAUUUUAACUCUUUAUUUUUAUAAAAAUAUUUAUUAAAAAAGAUAUAUGUAUAUUUUUAUAAAAGUAUUUUUCAAGACAAAUCUAUUCAUAUGGUUUUCGUAUUUUCAAACUCAAUAACUUAAAAGUUAUUUAUGAUUUAUUUUCCCAAUGUUUAACUCAAACCUUGUCCAAAACGUCUUUCUUAAUAAGUAUGAAGGGAGUACACGUUGUGCCGGGAAUUUUUAAACCAAGCUAAAAACGUCUGAUAGAAGGAGGCGUUAAUUAAGUAUAUACAACAUUAAUUUGGACUAAUUUUCCUAAACAAAGGAAUGUGGACUAAAUUAAAACGAGUGAGAGAGUAACUACUUGUAACUUAAGGCUAGUCCUAGUUCUGUACUAUGUUGUUAUGUUCAAGAUAAUAAUGUCUUGGUAUUAAGAAAUCAUUAAGUUGAGGAUUAUGAAGUACCCACAUAUAAAAAAUAUACUUGUGUUUGACAAACAUUUCAAUACAACUCCCAUCUUUCCAAAAACAAAUCACUACAACUUUUAUUUUGUUGCAACUGAUGGCAAUAAUAGUUUAGAAGAAACUAGUUGGCAAAGCUAAGUGCACUCCUAAAGCCUUUUUCCCCCUUCCAAAUCCUAAUACGCCUCAUAAAAAAAAAGAAAUGGAGGGUGCAAUGAUAAGUAAACGAUAUAUAUAAUUAUGGAGGAACCAUCUGUCCAAUUGGUAGCCUUUUGCAACUUGAAGUCACAGCCACGCACUGAGAUCCUGAUCUAGUCUAGAUAGAGAUGGAACGACUCGCCACGCCACUUGCUUGAUGAACAGGUUGCUUGAGUACAUGUACUAGCUAGUUGAAUUGAAACAAUAUGUUGUACCACUCAUUCACUCAUGUAGAAAAGAGCUAAACUGCUAAUUGAAGAUCUCAGCAUGUGCAUGCCGCCUGUUGAUUGUGAUUUGCCAUUACAAGGACAUUCUAACAGCAAUUGCUAACCCAAUGCAAGGGUGCCGUACACAGAAGCCAUACAUUACGUAUACUCACUCCAUUCCAAAAUUUAAGUUGCUUAUGUAUCUAAACAUAUUAUUAUCGUUAGUAUAAACCAAGGUCAACUAGGCUUAGAUCUAGUGUGUGUUCUUUUCUAUUCGGGAUAAACUUGUAGAUCGACAUGGUACUUGAACUAGAGAGUCAGUAAGAGAGGGAGAGAGGGGUAGAUGGGGCUGAACUUCGGUGGGCUUGGUGGAGGAGCUCGCCAUGGCGACGGUGUCGAUGAUGGCAGGUGUCGGUUAAGGGUUGACAUGGGAGCAACGGGCGUAGAAGAGGGCUACGGUGCACAUCUGCAACGCGACUCUCGUGGCUACGGUGUCCCUACAGCGUGGUGGUAGAGCUUCCCGUCGCUUUAGCGCUACCCUAUCGGAUUAGGGUUAGGAAUGUAGGUGGAGUUUAUGGCAGUUGUGGUGAACCUCGUACUGAGCGCCUUGGCCCUCACCUUCCUCUUUAUAGCAUUGCGCGAUGGAGGCCCACCAACCAUAAUUCAGGGCUCGGAUCAAAAGCCCAAGUUGGUUGUUAGGUCAACUCAGUGAAAAUCAGCUUAACAAUUAUAUCUAGAUGCAUAGUAACAUGGAUGUAAAAAAAUCAAAGUGACUUAUAAUUUGGAAUAGAAGAAGUACCUACAAAGAAUAGAAUAUCACAUAGCAUGAAGAUAAAAAGAUAAUGCAAUGUCGCACGUGCUUGUAAUAACUUAUAUGGAAACUAAUUAUGUAAAACUGGCAGGAGGUUUACCAAAUUUAAAUAUUAAUAUUAGAAGAAGAGUUAAAGCCUAAGCAAAAUAACAAAAAGAAAAAAGGGUAAAAAAGAAAGCCAACUACGUAAAACAUUUUUUACAACAAACUACCUAAGGCCUUGUUUAGUUGGUUAAUUUUUUUGUUUUGGCUACUGUAGCAUUUUUAUUUGUUUGGUAAUUAUUGUCCAACUAUGGACUAACUACACUCAGAAGAUUCGUCUAGCAAAUUAUAGAUAAACUGUGCAAUUAGUUAUUUUUUUAGUUUAUAUUUAGUGCUCUAUACAUAUACCGCAAAAUUUGAUGGGAUUAAGAAUCUUGAUAAAUUUUGGGAACUAAACCAAACAACAUUGAAAACUAAUGAAUGAAGCUGCUAAAGAGCUAAUAAUACAUACACGGUGCACGUACGAAACAUUUUUUUUCUUUGGACACAUGGGAAGGUAACAAAAGGCACUUUUGGAUGUCAGUUAAUUGGCAAGGAAACAAAAGUGAUGAGCAUAUCUCUUUCUCUCUCUCUCUCUCGUCAUCAGGCUUAGUGCUGAUCUCUCGCCUCUGACGUCAUCAGGAGACAGGGGAGGCACCUUGUGGUUUUGUUUAUUCCAGCGACGCGCAAAGAGGGUUGAAGAUUCCCAGUGUACACGUCGGCCGGUCGCCGGUCAAGCUCGUCUGAUUUCUCCACACCCAACCAAAACAAAACUCUGACCAUCACUUCACUCAUCCAUCCCUUCCCUCGCCACUUCACUCUAUUUUUAAUUAACAAUAAAAAAACAUCUCACUCUCACCAUCAGUCUCAUGCCCUACUAUAUAAUAUAUAUCGAUUUAUCUAUAUAAGCAUCGCGUGCAUUGGUCAAACAAAGAUGAGUUUUUUGUUACACUUUCUUCAUUCCGUGUGCUUUACUAGGGCAUUGUUUACUUCCACCCAAAACCUUAAAAUUUUUCAAGAUUUCUCGUCACAUCAAAUCUUUAGACGCAUGCAUGGAGUAUUAAAUGUAGAUAAAAAUAAAAAAACUAAUUGCACAGUUUAGUCGAAAUUGAUGAGACAAAUCUUUUGAGACUAGUUAGUUCAUGGUUGGACAAUAAUUAUCAUAAACAAACGAAAAGUGCUACAGUGUCGCGAAAUUUUUCUCUUCACGAACUAAGGCCAGUAUAAGGUAAGAUAUAAUCACAUGAUACUGUAGUGCGAAAUGUCACAAGUUGAAGCUGCCUGCAACAAUCUGAAAGUGAUUCUACGGUGUUGUUAUCAAGCCUAUCGUUUCCUGAGUUAUUUUAGUCAUUAUUUGUUUUUCCCUGAAUUACAAUAGCACUCACAUCAAGUCCGACUUGAAGGUAAAAGAGCAGGUUUCACUAUAAGGAACCCCACUAGAUGACCCAUGCUUAAUUCGUAAUUGUUUUAGGUCAUAUUUGGAUCAUCUGAAACUAAAGUGUAGUUGGACUAUAAAGUUUAGUCCGAUGCUGCUUGGAUACAUAAAAUAGAAGUAAAUUAAAAACAAAAACCUUUGGUGGAUGAAGUUCAAGUGCACCAGAAAUUAAAUCAGUUUACUUUUUAGUUCAUAUGUUUAGAUACCUAGAUCGAAGUUUAAACAUUCUUCUUUACUCAUGUAUGCUAUCCUGCUAGGUUCAUUUUUUUCCCAAAAAAAAUCGUAGGACAAUAUUCAUGUCAUGAAAUCUUAAAUUCCACAACACAUGCGAAAGAAAAACCAAACGCGCUGGUAGCAGUAGUAGAUGACAUGCUAGGAAUGGAAUCCCAUUUGAACGAGCCGAGCAUACGUAUACAGCCUGUGCCAAAAUGCACGAACAAAAAGAAAAAAAAAACGAAACGAGGUCAAGCUAUAGAAGACCCAAAAAGUGACAAAUUUAGUCUCCAGCAGAAGAAACAACUGAGGUCACAAACAAAUUGGAGCAGAGUUUAGACGACCGCUGGUAGUAGGUCACUCUCUCGGUGUGUGUGGCUCACCAACCAAACUCGGAGCUGCAGCUGCAGCUGCGGCCAAGAUUUGUACCCUGACGUGCCUGCCUGCCAGUGUUGCAGCCGCAGCAAAAAGAAAAGACGAGAAAUCCAUCCAAGUUUAGGCCUUGUUUACGUCUUGUUUAGUUCGUCCAGAAACCAAAAACUUUUCAAGAUUUUCUGUCACAUCGAAUCUUAUGGUGUAUGUAUGGAGCAUUAAAUAUAGAUAAAAACAAAAACUAAUUGCACAAUUUACCUACUCCAUAAUUGGAUAAAGUUUAUCAAAUAAAAACGAAAGUACUGCAUUGUCAAAAUCUAAAAACUUUUCGGUUCUAAACAAGGUCUUAGUUCCAAAUAAAUUUUGCAAAAGGUUUCAGAUUCUCCGUCACAUCAAAUCUUGCGGCGCAUGCAUGAAACAUUAAAUAUAGAUAAAAAUCAUAACUAAUUGCUAAAUGCACAAUUUGCCUAUAAUUUACGAGAUAAAUCUUUUGAAUCUAGUUAGUCUAUGAUUAGAUAAUAUUUGUCAAAUAUAAAUGAAAAUGUUACAUUAUCGAUUUUGCAAAAAAAAAAAAAAAAAAAAAUUGGAACUAACUAAGGCCUUAUACUGUACUCCGUAUGCUGGUGGUUUCUGACAGCGGGGGAGAUGCAAGAGAAAAGAAGAGAGAAGGAAAAGUGCAUUUAUGACAAGUUGGAGAGGUUUGAACCGGUCAGGAAUUUGACUUUGAACCUUCGCUUGGAUUGCAGCUGCAAUGCAGAGCCCAUUGUCCUUGUGUAUUGUGUCUGUGUGUCUGCCAUGCCUGGGCCACCUCCCCUCUCCCUCUCCCUCUCCCUCUCCCUCUCCUUGCUGCUGCAUGGACACAGAAAGGGGGAAUGGGAUAGGAUUAGCAAAGACCGUGGAACCGGUCCAAGAUUCCCUCCUCCCUCCGUUGUUAGCGGAUCCACGGCCGCCAAAGCCCGACCCGACACGCGGUUCAACGGUCAAACAACGGAAAACCAACUCGAGUCAAACCGCCAAAGUGAAGGAUUGGAUGGGCCCGUGAUUAUUAUUAGCGACCAAAAAGACGAUGGGGUUUUCUUUUUUUCAGCAAAAGCCAUAGCUCCUCCGCUCGUCUCAGCGCAUGACAAGUCGUUUCCUCCAUCAACAAGGACGGCUUCUUCUUCUAUCUAUAAUCGAUCUAGUAUCUACUAGAAGAGUACACGAAUCGUUGAUAACAAAUUGAGGUGACCACAGCUCAUCUCCCUUUUUGCUUACAAAUAGAACAAGGACUCGAUCAUUCCAACGAUGUAAUAUAACUAAUAAAUAUAAUGCUAUGUUAAGCUUAUCUAGGAUCUUAUCUUGAUUACGUUGGACGUGCAGACUCUAGGCUUUGAUUUUUUUUUUCUCUCCAAGAAAUUUCCAAUACAAGACAACCUGCCACGUAGAGUAUGAUUUUCCUUCUUUUCUGAGAGAGCCUUUCAAAAUUUAUAUCCAAAAUACGGGACACGUGUUUAACUGACUAGUUACGUUAGAAUGCACCCGAAGCAUAUAAGUACAUCCUCUAUUUUAACUAAAUAUAGUGACAAUACAUUCACGAAGGGACCAUAGACGUCAAAUUGCACCUUUGAAAUAACAAAUAAAGCAGAGCAAUUUUAAUGUUAAGACAUGUAUCACCACAUUCUCAUUGCUAAAACAUUGUAGACUUGCAGUACCACCAUGUCUAAGAACUUCUCUUCCUCUUCUUUCUUUUUUUAACUUUCAAAACACAUCUAAAUUGAGAAUAAAAAAUAUCAUUACGAAUUAAAGAAAAUAAUAAAGAAAAACUCACCAACCGAUCAAGAACACAAAGUAUAAGAAACAAGAAAAGAGGGACUAAAGAGCCAAAUAAACCCUUGGCAUCAUAAGAGUGGCGCACAGUUUUUCAAAGCUAUUUGAUCCCACGAUGACACAUUCUCUACGCAGAGCAACACAAGACCUGAUUGUUCUGCUCGUGGAGACUCCAAGCAACAAUUUGGUCCAACGCAACUGAUAUAACAAUAUUAUCUUUUCUAAGGGAAUUGUCUAUGCUUUUGAUUGUUGUUCACUCACUAAAUGUUACAAACAUACACUGUGUCCUCUUCUUUGCUGAUCACAAAACAAAUAUGAACGACGAAUCAACACACACAUCCGUGCACUGGUACCGUCUAGACCUGUUCAUGGGCCACAUCCAUCCGAUUUAUUCAAAAAAAAUGAUCCAACUCAACCUACUAGUGUGCUAGAUCAAGUUUGGAUCAUUAUUUUCGACCUGGUCUGAUUAACCUAAAAAAUCGACUUAAAGUAGAAAAUCCAAGAAAUAGCUUGACAUAAUUUAGCAGUUUGUCGGGUCAAACUUAGGUCAAAGAUUAGCCCAUUCGCUCGGCAUAAAAGCCAUGACUGAAAAUACCAUUCGCUGAUUUGUCGUAAAAGAAAAAACAUUACUAAAUGACUGACAUAUUCGGCAAAUAAGUUCAAGCGGAUAGUCUAACUAUUUUUUCAGCUCAUCCAACAUUAGAUGACGUCUAGUACCAUUUCAUCUGGGGAAACUUGUGCUUGCUCAGCCACGUGCCAAUGCUUUAAACUCAAAUAUGAGCGGGGUGAGGUUGAUCAAAUAACGGUUUGCAAAACAGAGCAUAGUAGUAGGAGAAGAGAAGCCGAGACCCGACCCGGCAAGGCGGCAGCCAAUCGCAGUGCGGUCUCCCCGAUCUGGGCUGGUCAAACAAACAAAUGAUCGGCUUCCCUUCCUCUGGUCGCCUCACUUCACUUGAAAUUCCCCAACGCGGACGCGCUUCCCCCUCCGGCCUCCCUCCCCUCGCUAUAAAACCCCCGCUCGCCAUCCCCGCCACCCACCAGUCCUCCUCCUCCACGUCAAGCCAAGCCACUUGACGCCGAUCGCUCGCCACCUCACGCAGCACAAGCCUCGAGCUGCAACGACCGACCGGACCGGACCGGCCUCCCCUGCUCCGGCUCCCGCCGAAGCCUCCCUCGAUCGAUCCUCGUCGAAGCAGCAAUGGCUGAUGCCGUGGAGAGCGGCGGGCGGGCGCUCCUGGUCUCGGAGCUGGGCCGCGUGCAGGACCUGGUGCGCCAGCUCGAGCAGCAGCUGCGCGCGCCCGCGGACGCCGCCUCCGUCGACCUCUGCCGCCGCCUCGUCCACCAGAUCGUCGCGCUCACCGACCACUCCAUCGGCAUGCUCCGCGCGUCCCCGGCGGACCUCGCUCCCUCCCCGCCGCUGUCCGCCACCGGGAGCCCGAUCAGCGGCGGCGACGCCACCUCCGACCACCACCACCACCACCCCUUCCGCGCCGCCGGCGCCAGCCCCAAGAAGCGCAAGGCCACGGCGCGCUGGACCAGCCAGCAGGUGCGCGUCAGCGCCGCGGGCGGCGGCGCCGAGGGCCCCGCCGACGACGGCCACAGCUGGCGCAAGUACGGCCAGAAGGACAUCCUGGGCGCCAAGCACCCGCGGGCCUACUACCGCUGCACGCACCGCAACUCGCAGAACUGCCCGGCCACCAAGCAGGUGCAGCGCGCCGACGACCACCCCGCGCUCUUCGACGUCGUCUACCACGGCGAGCACACCUGCAGGCCGCCCGCCGCAGCUGGCGGCUCCGGCGGCGCCAAGAGGGCGCAGCAGCAGCAGCACAACCCGCACGCGCAGGCAGCGCUGCAGGGCCUCGCCGCGCGCCUCACGGUGGCCACCACCACGGCCGCCGCCGCCGCCGCCGCCGCCGCGGCGCUCCCGCCAAUGACGCCCGAGAGCUGCCCCGUGCGGGGCGCCUCGUCCCCGUGGUCGCCCGUCGGCUCCGACUCCAACGGCUGCCUGCAGCACCAGGGCGUCUCGCCGUGUCCCGUGCCCGGCUACGGGGACUGGGCCCCGGAGGGCGACCUCCAGGAGGUGGUGUCAUCGGCGUUCGCCGCCGUCUCGUCGGCUGCGCCCCUGCCGGUGCUCGACGACGAAUUCAUGUCCCUCGAGUGCUUUGCAUUCGACCACAACUUCGACAUUGACACCGCAAUGCCAAGCCUCUACUAUCCAUGAGGAGAAGAGCAACUGAUCGGCAGCAGCCCUGUCGUCGUCUCCAUGACAGGGAGGGAGGAGCAGAGGAGCCUCUCCCUAAGAACUGUGCAGUAGAAGAAGCCAAAACUGUGCAGUGGCAGGAGGCAGCAAAGCUGUUUCAUUUUGUUUUAUUUUUCCUCUUUCUUUUCCCUUUAUUUUUGGGGGUCAGUUCUCAACUUGCUGGGUUGGGUUUUGUUGGUUUCAGUCAGCAAGAGAAAAGUUAAAAUUUACUUACGGAGCGAUCAGCUCGAUCUCAGAAAUUAUCUCCUCUUGAUCUUGAUAUUGUUUCACUUUCAUGUUUGUACACCACCAAUACCUUAGAAGCAGAGCACGACAAAUCUUAAAAACCCAUUCAGUGAUUCAACAACCAGGUUAAAAAUCAAACUUGCAACAUCUUCAGCAUAUCAUCACUUCAGAAGCGAUCAUGAGAAAUGGUUUUUGAUUUAACAAAAAACAAUCUGAUUAUGAGAAACGGUUUCUGAUUUAACCAAAACAAUCACAAGCGUUUCAGAGUCUUGUCCAACAACAGAAAUGUACAAACACAAGUUGUGGUUGAACUGGUGCUCACAUUGCCUCAGCACAAUAAAAAAAAAUAACUGCUAUAUCACAGCUCAGGGCAGCCCAGAUAACAAUUGCAGAACAAUUACACUGACAUUGCAAAUGCUUGACGGUUGCAAUGCUUAAAAUGAUGGAUAGUAUAUAGCUUCUCAAAACUUGAUAUCCGAAAAAUACCAUGAAUUCAAUACAAGCUACCCUAUGUCAUGAUCAUGAAGCCUUCAACUGACCGAUGCAGAAAUCCUCAAUGAUAUCAAAGACCCUAGUGCCGUGCUGUGGCCUGUGCAUCCAGAUAGAAGAAUGUCAUAGAGCUGAGGAAGGAAAACAGAAACUAACCAGAGAUUGAAUCCAUUCAAGCAGAAGCAUGAAAACGACACUAGCAUAGGCGUAUUAUGACGUAUGCCAGUUCAGGAAAAAAGGAAAGGUAAGAAAGACAUGCUCCAUCAAUAUCAUCAUUUCAUCACAUAGCUAUCUUGGAAUUAGUGGUGCUAGGUGUGCAGAUAACAAAGUGAGCUAAAUAAUAAGGAUCUCAUUUGCAGAAGCCAAUGCAAAACAAUUUAAUUUGGACACAUUGGGAUCUCAGCUGAAAAUGGAAACAGGUUUGAGCUGAUCUAUCAGUCUAGUGUAAUUUAACAUGAAUUCUACUCUAGAGCAAACAAAACCAACAAUAAUAAGACAAGCUUUGCAAUAGCAUCUAACAACUUUAUCCCAUGAAUUGAAACUAAUAUCUACAAAAAUUAUUUUUCAAUUCUUCUCAAUUCCUGGGAACCAAACAGGGCCAUUAUGGAACUAUUGAUUCUGUAUAGUAUUUCUGUAGAAAACAUUAGCAGUAGCAAUACCUGGAUAGGCAGCAUGGGAAAUAAAAAAAACUGACCAUUUUUGCCUAUCAUUACGUCAAUACUGUCAUUGUCUUUCUUUUCAUUCCCUUUUGAAUGGUUUUCUUACAGAAUAUCUAAAAUGGUGCUAAGUCUUCAUGGAACAUUGUUUGUGUAUAGUAUUUCUGUAGAAAACGUUAGCAGUAGCAAUACCUGGAUAGGCAGCAUAAGAAACAAAAAAACUGACCAUUUUUGCCUAUCAUUAUGGCAAUACUGCCAUUGUCCUUUUUAUUAUUUCCUUUUGAAUGUUUUCUUACAGAAUAUCUGAAGCGGUGCCAAGUCUUCAUGGAAUAUUGUUUGCAGUAGGAACAAAGCUAAAAUAAUGUUGCUAAAUCUUCACUAGUCUAUUCCAUUAGAUCACCAUAAUUUUAAGAUGACGAAUAGUUAAAAUCAGUGUCACCCUCAAGUGCUAAUUUCUAAUUUCUGAAGAAACAAUUCCAUGAAAGGCACUGAAGUGCUGAACCAAUGACAGAAUGCUAUGAGGUACAAGAAGCAAUAUAAGAAGUUACAAACCCAAAAAAACCCUCCGUGGAAUCACCACCAGCAUUAUUUAGAAUGGCAUCUCCACCUGGAUGCUCCUCCACAUAAGGAGUGACAUCAUAGACCUGGUUCAACCACCAAAGACAAAUUUAAAAGACCAAAAUAUUUGAAUUUCCUUAUUUUGAAGUCUUGGGGCAUUGAAUAGGGACAAACAGAGGUGGCCAAUGCAUUUAUACAACCUUGUCCUUGAUGAUUAUCCAACAAUCCUUCCUUGUGUUAUGUUUAGAUAUCUCUUCCUUCGUAAAGCUCCUAGAUGUCUGAAUGUAGAAAGACAAAAAAAAGGUAUGUAUCUCUUCAAGCUGUCUAAAAUAUUAUAAGUAUUAUGGUGCAAAUCUGAGAAAAAUUGUCUUGUAGCAUGCAUUUGUAGGCUUAAGAAAACUAGCCAACUAGAAUUGAGAAGUUUACCAUUCCAGCUCCUGAAUCAGUUCCCUUUGAUUUACCUGCAAUUCAAGAGUUGCUCAGAUAAAACUAGGUCGAGCUACUACAAUAAAUAAUGCAACUUGUACCUUUAUUUUGUGACUUCGGGAUCACAAAGAGAGCUCCUAGUGCCAAAAGAAUGACAACUGAGAUGAUGACAAUAACCUCCAUCUUGCUCCUCUAGAAUUAAGAACUUUGCAGCCACACACAAAAUAUGCUGUGCUGAAAAAAAAAAGAUCAUUAAGAACAAGGCCAGAAGGAUUAAUUGCAGAGAGAGAGUAAAAAAUUGGUAUGGACUUAGUAAUGAAGAAAGCUGAUGUAACAUCCAUGGUGAAGAAUAGCAGAAGAGUAACAAAACAUGCCAAUGUCAGCACACAGCACAAUGAAAUAGUAUUUCCAUAAAGUCCACUGAAUCACAGAUAUAACAUACUAUGAAGCAUAGCAAGGAAAACAGUCAAAGAGACUAAUGCUAGACUAUAAUCCCCUAAGUUGAUCAUGUCAACUUUUGAGAAGAUAUUGCUAUCAACGCUAAAUCGGAGAGGGAGAAGUGGUGGGUCAGCAAGGACUAUCGCAAGGUAGGUAACAUCAUAGCUAAGAUGAUGGAUGAUGUUAUUAAUGAUGCAUUAGUAUGAAGCAGGUAUAUGUGAUCCUUGUUUAAAAUAUUGUGUAUUACACCAAGGAUCGUCAGUAUAUGCUGACGAUACCAUUCUUUUCAUGAAGAGAACAAAAAAGUACUGAGCACUGAAAUGAAUAGUUUUCCAAAAUGAAUGAGUGCAGGCUCAGACCGACCUAACUAAUUACAUGAAGGGUGAGCAAGCAUUCACAGUAUUGAGGAUUGAAAGGUUGGAGAAUAACCACAAAAUAUCAACAACUUCAAGUGGAUGAAGUGGGAAUUGGAAGAAUUCAUCACAAUAACGUGGUUGAUAUAUGAGCAAAAGACUUCAGUUAAAAAACAGUAGUGAAGGGUCAUACUAAGGCCUCUUGCUGAUAAUAAAAAAUACUAAUGAUAGCAACAGAUUUACAGGAUGCAAAUAACAUUCCAAACAGUUACAACCACACUUAGCCUAAACAAGGAAAAAAAAUGAAAACGUGGUGCAUCUGAAGAUAGUUUUCAUCUUCCUUCACAAUGAUGGCCCAGUAAUUAGCCAGUCAAAUUACUUCUCAAUGCAUCAAUGAUCUGACAAGGAAUUUUUGCUUCCUGACAUGGUUCUAUACCUAGUAUUUUCUUUUUCCCCAAUGUGUCUCCUGAAAAACUUCAUGUUGCAAAAUCGACUGAAACUACGCUCUGUUGGGUUGAGAUUUAAUGGUACAGCGGAAACAAUGCUUUGUGCCUUUGUUCAGUUAAAUAGUACACUCAGUGAGGUGUCCUUGAAUACGAGUGAAGGGAGCAUAAAUACACGUUCAGGGACAGUCCGGUCAGGAAAUCCCACUUGGGUGUGAGACGGAUCACAUCUAGCCUAACUGAAAGGUACAGGAACGACUUGCAGGAAGCAAGAAAGAUAUCAUAUGAAGGUCACCUGGACCUGGUGCUAACCGUCACCACUAUCCUACCUCCUACAGGGGCACAGCCCACUACAUGGCUCCUAGCAACACUGCGGCGGUGGCGAUGGGGCUUCAGUUGCAACAAACCCCUCGCGGCACAUGAAUCCCAAACAAGCUGGAUGGGUUCGGAUGUUGAAGCAGCUAUCCCAAUCCCAAAAAGGAACACCGUGAUUAUGGGUUCGGAUGUUGGAGCGAGAGCGACUAUCCCAAUCCCACAGAGGAAGAUCCUGAUUAUUAGAGGACAGCAUGAACAGCCCAUCCAAGCGAGACUUAGACAGCUAGGCUAGGGAUUCCUUACCAGUAGAAGAAGAAGAAGAAGAAGAAGAAGAAGAAGAAGAAGAAGAAGCCACUCCUAGGGAUGUAUGGAUCUCGCUCCGCCGCAGGGGGUCGACGAGCCGGCGGCGGCGGGAGAGCGGGAGAGACAAGUGCGCCUGCAGGCCGGAAGGGAGUGAGACGGCAGGCCGAGUGCGUGCGCCGUGUGCCGUGUGGAUCCGGUUGGACUGCCUGUACACCGAGCCGUUGGCAAGGCUGCUCGCGUCUUCCUCCCUCCGUACGACCGUACCUUGGCAAAAAUAUUUGUUAGAUUAAUCAUUAAAUAUAUUUUAUAAUACACUUAUUUAGAAAUAUAGAAUAUUACUAAUAUUUUAUAUAAACUAGUAAAAUUUUAAAAACUUUAUAUGCACGAAAUCUAGAUCAUAUUUAAAAAGGAUAGAUGCAGUAUAGCUUUCUGUUUAUUAUAGACAAAAACAAAAUGAUACUUAUUCUACAACAGUAAUAUUAUGUAAGUUCCUUUAAUGACUCUAAAAUUAACAUAAUUACCUUGAUUUUUUUCCAAUACUAUAUGCCAUCACUUGGUAACUAGGAGAUACGUUUGCGUGUUGUUGCGAAGAUUACAAGAAUUGGAAAUGAAAAUUAAGCGGAGAUCAUGUAGAUAAUUUACAUUGAGAUGACAUUUGGAUACCGUUUUGAAAUGGAAAAGGAUUAAUGUUAGACUAUGUUUGGUAGGUAAGGGAUUCAGAAAUCAGAUGCUAUCCUUAUUAUUUGUUUGGUUUUUGGCUUCGAGCUUUGGUUUGCUAGACCACAUGUGCACAAUAAAAAAAAACAUAUCAUGUGCACUAUCCACCACAGCUUAUCCUCGUGGAUCUCAGCCCUCUCCAAGCUGCUCCCCCGUGCAUGGCGCCUAUCACUGCCACCGUGCUUCUCUAUUAUUAGUGAAGAAUGAUGUGGAUAGAUUGCAUGUUAAGAUAGACAUGUGGUGAAGAUUAGUUUUAUAAGAGAUAUAGAUAUAAAUUGGUAGAUAUUAUUGCUUUGGUUAAAGAUAGAUGGCAACUUCUCUUAUCUCCAUCAUACACACUUAUCUCCAGGAAACACUUCAAAUUAUAUGUUCCAUAUCACUAUUUAAUUAAAUAUUCCCUAUUUAUAUAACUAAGCACCUCAGCAUACUAGCUAAGUUUAACCUCCAUUUUUUAUUCAUGUAACUAUAAUGUAAUGAUUUUUCCAACACCUUUAAUUUAAACUAUGUGAAUUAAAUCACAUGCUUGUCAUGAUAUGAAUUUUAUACCUACAUGUAUAUCUUUUUUGAAGUCUAUUGGUGCCCUCAAGAAACCAAUUUCCUCUUGAUUUUCUUUUCAGAGGGAGAAUACUUCAAGCAAGGAGUCAAGGAAGGAUAAAAAUGCUGGUUAAUUUUUGUUCAUCACUUUUUUAUAGGUUAUAACUCACCUAGGAAUCUCAUCAAACACCUAUACUAUAAACAGUGACAAGCUAGCAACGCGGAGCAAGGAGAAGCACUUCUCUGCAACAAAUCAACAACAAAAACAAUCUCAACCUCAUUUCCCCCAUCUUCCCCAUCCUAAAACCAACAAUAUUAUCAUCCCAAACUCGCUUUCAUAUUCUCCCACUCACAAUAAAUAUAAAUAUUUAACAUAACGCUACCACAUAGGUAUGCAAAAGUUUGGAAUCUAGGAAGGUUAGAAGUUAGGAAUAGGAUCGAGAAUUUAAACAAGUGCAGGACACCUAAUAAGCUCAAUGAGAACUAGCGCCAUGACGGAGAGCUCUCGAUAGUGGGCUAGCCACAACUACACAUAGGAAGGACAUAAUAGCUAGCUGAGAACGGCAACUACAUUUGGUAUGCCUCAGCCUAGGCUUUGUUUACUUGCAAAAUAUUUUGUAAAAUAUAAAUAGUACCAAUUUCAUUUGUAUUUGACAAAUAUUGUCCAAUCGUGGACUAAUUAGGCUCAAAAGAUUCGUCUCGUCAAUUCCGACCAAACUGUGUAAUUAGUUUUUAUUUUCGUCUAUAUUUAAUACUUCAUGCAUACGUCUAAAGAUUUAAUGUGACGGGAAAUCUGAAAAUUUUUAUAAAUUUUUUUGGGAACUAAACAAGGCCCUAGUGAUAGUGUGCCAAUAGCAAUGUAGAGAGAGACUUGUGGACACAUGUUUUUUUGAGAUGACGAGAGGGAAGGUGAUAGUAUGCAUGGUAGCACGUCAUCUCAGAGAUGUUUUUACAAAUCUAAGUGUAUUUAACUAUUUAGGCAAAACAAAUGCAAACAAACUAUUUCCACAAAAAAAACAACAUAUUAAAGCAUGUUUGAUUAACUAGAGCUAAAUAUUAGUUAGGAUUAAAAAUUCAUCCAAAUUAGCUGAUAAUGGUAAGUUAGUUGGCUAGCAACAGGCUUCGCUACAAGACUAGUCGCACCUAUUAGACCCAUGUAUAGACAGACUAAGGCUACAAAUAGUGGUUAUGAAUUAACUAACCAUAUGCACCAAACACACUUUUAGUUUGGUUAAUAUGUUUGACAUGAAAGGUUCACCUUUGCUAGCUCUCGUUCCAUCUAUGGGUACCCUUUUUUGAGCUUUUUAUGUACUGUUUUUGGAGAAAAAUAAAAUUCUAAUUUUGUUACAAAUCAAGCUAUCUUAAAUUUAUUUGAGUUUAUAAAAUAUCGACAUUAUAUUGCCAUACAAAUAUUAUGGGAUUCAUCAUGGCAUAUUUUCCAAAUGUUCCUCACAUAAUUUGAUGAUCUUCUUUAUAAACUUGAUUAGAUUUAGAACAAUUUAAAUUAUAAUAAAACUAGAGUGACAUAUUUUUUUUCCUCCUCAAGAGUAUAUAGCUAAAGUAGCUCACAUAUUAGCCUUAAAGCCAUAAACUAAGACUAGUUCUAAUCAUUUUUAAAGUUAAGAUGUUUGUACAUCUUCGACGAACAAUUUUUCUCUCAACUUAAAAGAACAUGUAUGUACAGUAUAAAGUUAGGCCAUAACAAUUGGUGUAUAGAUACAACGCAAAUGUACAUACAUGUCAAAUAAAUUAUUUGAAUAAUGCAUUACCUUAUACCCAAGCAUUAAGUGGGAGUGACUUUUGUAACUUUGUUGAAAACGCCGUUGAUUCUUCGUAAAAAAUAAAAUUACUUAUCAUUGCCCAAAUUUAUUCACCUCUUAUCUUCUUCUUGCAAUUGAGAAUACACAAUAUAUAGGCCUCCUCUGGAACAAAAGAAAAAACUUAGAAAUUUAAAGGAUUCAAUCCAAUAGGAAACUUUCCUAUAGAUCUGUUUGGAACAAAGGAUUAAACCCUACGAAUUUUCUUAGGAUUGCCAUAGGAUUCAUAAAAAGCAUAGGAAUUUUUUUAGGAAAAUUAACAUGUGGUUGGACCUCAUAGAAAUUUUCCUUUGUAUCUACCUCUCUUUCCUGGUUGCAAGUUUCGUGCUGACUCUAAUCCUUUUUUUUUUCUAUUUUUGCGUUUCAAAGGAGGCCUAAAAAUUUAUAAGAAAACAAUUACAUUUUUUUCUUAACUAAUAAUAACAGUAAAAAUAUACAUCAGAAAGGUAUUUAAUACCAUAAAUCUAAUUCCACAAGUUAUUAUUAUUUUCUUUAUCUAUGAAAUGUAUAUUUAGCUAUGUUGUGGUAUGUAUAAGUAAGCUCUUGACACCUGUCAAUACAACUUCGUCGUAUGCAGUAAACUACAACAAAUUUUAGUAGUACAUAAAUAAGUGAGAGGAAGGAUUAUUGCUUUAUUAUUACUUUCUAUACUUCUAAACCUCUAAUAAUCAUUUUAGAGUCAUGCGUUUCUUGUAGUUGCAGCAGUAUAUUUGUUCCUCUUUUUGCCAGGCCGACAAAUAGCACACAAUCAACCGUCGUCUCCUUCCUUGCGCCUCAUAGGGUUCUCCAAACUCCAAAUCGUUGCCCCGAGAAACCACCAAAACUGUUCGUAACGCACCAAGCACCAACCGUCCGGCAGCCCGUGGCCACUCCAUAGGGUUCUCAGUCUCUCACCCCUUGCCUGCGCUGCGCCACCGCCACCGCCACCGCUCCCCCGUGGCGGCUUCAAGAGGAAGCUCCCGGAACCAAACAACCCCUGGGCGCCCGAGUUUUUCUGAAAGCGGCUUCAGAGAUCUCGUCGUCGGUGGCCAUGGCGGGCCCGUGCUGAGUGCGCGGGCGGGGAGCAGGUGAAGGUCUCCGAGCUCGAGAUCCCGAUGCAGAUCCGGGAGGGCCCCGCGCGGCGGCAGGCGCCGUCCGCCGUGGGGGCGCUGCGGUCGCCGAUGUCCGCCAUGAUGCUCGCCAUGUUCGCUACCAUGGCCUCCUUCUACGUCGCCGGACGGUGAGUCUCCGCCCGCCCGCCGGUUUCCGUCAUUAGUUUCUUCCUGAGAAUGCUCGCCUGCUUGGGUUCUUGUGUUUGAUCGUUUGGGAUGCGUGUGCUACCGAUCAACCGUGGGUGGAGUCUAGAUCCCUGUAUUUCUCUGGCGGGAGCAGCUCAUGGUAUAUACCGAUCACCCGUGGGUGGAGUCUAGAUCCCUGUAUGUUCGCUACCAUGGCUUCCUUGCUAUAGGGAAGUUUUGAUCCAGCCGCCAGCCGGUGGUGCAUUUUAGAACAGCGGUCAGCGGGUGAAGUUUUGAUCUCUCAAACGGAAUCCAGUGCGAGGCUCACAUUUUGUUGCGAUGUUAGUACUUGUUUCCGCAGCACUCUGAUUUUGCAGUGUCACUGUUCAUGAGUGGAGUAUUCCCUUUUUCUGCUAGUAUUGAUGAAGACCAAUCUUAGUUGUCAGGCACCUUACCUUUUAACUUGAUCUGGAUUAUCAUAGUAACGGAAAAACCUGUCCCUCUUUAGAAAUCGUUUGUGUUUUUGGCCUUUUGCUGUUUGUAGAGGAAAAAUUGUUGACUUCCUGAAUUUCAGAUUGUGGCAGGAUGCUCAGAACAGAGUUUAUCUCAUUAAGGAGCUCGACAGACGAACAGGCCAGGUAGGCACCAGAGAUGUGGCUCUUUUGUUCUCUAGCGGAACUAUCCACCUGUGCUGCUUAUUUAAGUGCCCCAUUAACUCUCUUGUGCAUGUGAUUCAGGGGCAAUCAGCAAUAUCUGUGGAUGAUACCUUGAAGGUUGUUGCAUGCAGGUAAUUCUAAGUUUCUAACCUUUCAGGUUAUAUGCCAAAAUUGCCUUUCAAUGCACAACCUGACAAUUUCCUUAAUGCGUUUGAAAGUAUGAAUUUUUGUAUUUGCUGUCUGAUUGGAACUAGUGCUCCAAACAUGCAGAAUUUGUUGUAGUAUGGGAGUUUGGAGCUGUAAUAAUUGCUUCUGUGUAAACAUCUUCCAUUUUUUAGGCAGCAAGGGAAGCGGUUGGCAUCGCUUGAGAUGGAGCUGGCUGCAGCAAAGCAUGAAGGUUUUGUUGGCAAAUACAAUCCUGAGACAAAUGGAACUCAUUCUGGGAAAAAGCCACUGAUUGUUAUUGGAAUAAUGACUAGCUUUGGGAGGAAAAACUACCGUGAUGCUGUCAGGAAAUCAUGGCUUCCGACAGGUACCAUUUGAUCCUAGUCAUUUAUCAUCUUGUAUGUUGUUGAUUGUGUUUUGAAACAAAUGACCCAGUUUUGAUUACUAUGGAUACAGUACCCUUAUCUUUAAAUUAAUGUUUUAAAUUUGUUUUCUGUUUAUAAAUUGAAAAAAAUACAAUUCUUAUUUUAUUAUUCUCUUAACCUAGUGUUGUGUAUAAUAUCCUACUUAUCUGUGUUGUUUAAUUGUACUUGUCUGCGCAGGUUCAAUGCUGAAGAAACUAGAAGAAGAAAAAGGCAUUGUAGUACGUUUUGUUGUUGGAAGAAGGUACCUGAUAUCCAUUACCCAGCUGGAAUAAACAUAUGAGGUUUAGAUAUCUGAUAGUUCUCUCAUAUGUAGUGCAAAUCGAGGAGAUACUUUUGAUAGGGAGAUUGAUGAAGAAAAUAGGAGCACCAGGGAUUUCUUGAUCUUGGUAAGCCUGAUUGAACAAUUGAUUCUGUAGUACUACUCUAUGUUGAUGGAUUCAACGAUAACCUUGUUUAUGUACUUUCUGUGCUCUUUGCUUAAUGUUGAUUAAAGAUUCAUAUACUUUGGUGGUUCUUGCUUUUGUUUAACUUUAUUAUAUAUGCAUUAGUAAUUUUAUAGUACAGUCCUUUGGAUUUUUUAGCAUCAAAGUUUGAUAUAACUAAAAAAAAAGGUGUUAAGAUGAAUGUUGCCAUUAAUAAAAGCUUACUCCUAAUUUAGCUCAUGCUGUUGAUUUAGUUUUGGAACUUGACCAUUAAGUGGCAUUGCAGGAUGAUCAUAUAGAGUCAGAUGAAGAGCAUCCUAAGAAGACAAAAAGUUUCUUUGCGAAUGCAGCAGAUACAUUUGAUGCUGCAUUUUAUGCUAAGGUCAAUGAUGAUAUAUACAUAAACGUUGGUAUGUGCCAUCUGUUAACUUUGAGGGGCUCUAUGAGUGGUUUACGUUUUACAUAACCUAUGAUGCCUCUACAUGAAAAAGUAAUGACUAUUAAUAUUUUGAACUCUGCUGACUUGUUAAAAUGCUCAUUCUGCAUGUUCUGGAAUACUGGAUUGCCUCUGUCAACAAUUGUUUGUAAUCUUGCGUAGAUGUUGUUUUGAAAUAUUAACGGGAACUGUACUUCACAUGGAACAACAUUGUUUUUCUGCAGAUACUUUGAGUGCAAUGCUCGAAACUCACUGGGACAAGCCCCGUGUCUAUAUAGGCUGCAUGAAAUCGGGCGAGGUUUUUUCUGACUCGUGAGUGUUCACAAUAAUUCAUUUUAGGAACUUGAUAGUUUUCUUUUCCCUGUUUGGGUGCUUCUUCUUUUGACAAACUAAACUAGAGCUCCACUGAAAACAGAACCCAUAAGUGGUAUGAACCAGACUGGUGGAAAUUUGGUGAUGGGAAAUCGUAAGUAUGCUUGCCUAAGCAAUUUUAGCUUCUAUUGCAUUUAUUGUUUGUACUAGAUUUAACAUUCAAAUCAAUUGCUGUUGUGGCUCAUCUACUUCCUUUUUGUCAAACAAUAGGUACUUCCGACACGCUUCUGGUGAAAUGUUUGUCAUAUCAAGGGCCAUAGCUCAGUUCAUUUCUAUAAACAAGUAUGCAACCUUGUGCACAAAUUCUAUAUCCUUCUCUCACAAGGAGCUGAAAAGAAAUGUCCAUUAAUUAUAUUUAUGUAUAUAUAUAUUUAUUUUUUGUGAUAGGUCUGUUCUCCGGACAUAUGCCCAUGAUGAUGUUAGUGUAGGAUCAUGGAUGAUUGGCCUUGCUGUGAAGCAUGUAAAUGAAGCAAAACUGUGUUGUUCAUCAUGGCCCUCAGGUUGGUUGGCAUCUUUUGACCUUGACCUUGAUUCCUUUCUGUUUGAUAUAUGUUUACGUUGUUCUAAUGAUCUAUUUUUCUUACUGGUGAAAUCUGACUCUUGAUGAUUGCUUCCAUGCGAUUAUGUCCUUUUGUUUGCAUACUUUCUCAGAUUUUUCAGUCUCCUGAUUUUUAUAUCCUGUAUUUGGACAAUCAUUAUGUUAUGAGUACUGAAACUUUGAGGACACGAGAAGUAACAGAUACAUAUGAACAAAAAAAAAAGCAUAAUUUCCUUUUUCAGUGUGGAAGUAAAAUGGGGGAUAGAGCUAGGGAGCAUAUCUAUAUUCAACUUACCCUGCAGUUGUUAUAACUGCAAAUGUCCUAUGAGUACUAAAGCUAAAGCAUAUUCUUCAGCAUUUAUUCUGGAUUUCGAAUUUCAAUGAUGGACCUGCUAGAGUUAGCAGUUUAUGACCAGCGGAUGUCUUGUUUGUAACAAGUUAACCCAAAAUUUAGUUUCAAGUUUCCUUGGAUCUUGGACUACAAACCAUAGCAGGCUUCCCAAGUUAUGGUUUGCUUAGGUUUUGGACAGAAGGCAAUGGUUUCAUGGUUUCGCAGUAAAUAGAAUGGUCGCAAAUUAGCUUGUUUUGUACAAAAGCAGUCGGUUAUUUUCAUGCUGCAUGUGCACUGAGGGGCUGUUUGGAUGGUUACCCCUUGCUGUCCAGGCCAAAUUUCGGCCGUUGACCGAGUAGGCUCUGCCACGUUUGGAUGUGUGCUGUUUUUUGGGUUGGCCAUCUGCUCUGCUAAUCUCCAGUUCAAUUUGAUGUCCCUGCCCGGCUGAUUUGGGGCGGCUGAAUCAGCUGCCAAAGUUUGGCCAGCGGCCAAGAUUUGGCAUGUCCUACAUAGGUGGCAUCCAAACGUGCCCUGAACUGGUCCCUGGGACCCUGGAUCAAGGGUCCUGUUGAGGUUCUAAAUCUGUCGCUCAAUCUAUUAUAUAUGGCUUACCACAUUUAUUUAAUCUGAAAGAUUGGUGGAUAAAUGGUAUAACCAAAGGCAGUGAACAUUGAACUUCUGAGAUUUUAGAAAUGAACACAUUUUUGCUUGUGUAUUAUUCAUGUACUGGGUUGUUGGAUUGGUUGUCAUUUUCAUCACAAAUUCCCAGAUAAUUUUGCAGGGCUAACCACUAAGAUAAUUUUGUAGGUGCGAUGUGUUCAGCGCUAUAACGAUCAACAAUGCUUGUGCUGAGGAAGAGUUUUGCAAACACCGUGCCUGGUGGAUAAUGCAUACAAUAUGCAGAGAAUGAGGUUGAAUCGGUAUUGAGAAAAUUUUGUUUUCUUCAGCCAUCUUCUGUAGCGUCCUUUGGAGGAAGCUUGUGCGAGCCAGUUCAUACUGAAAUCAGAUAUCUUGUUUUUCUUUUCCGAAGGAAAGGCCUUGCAUAUUUUCUUUGCAAGGCUACUACACUAGAAUCAUCAGAGUUCUAACGAAAAGCCGUCUGCAGAUUUUAUCCUGUUCCGCGUGCCAUUUGUAGAUGCCCCACCCUUACCAUUCUUUUUUUUUCUGACAGACACUGCCAUUGUUGGAGUGACAGAAAUCAAUAGCAAUUCAGGAAAUUAUUUUGCUCCAGAAUACAUGUAUGCGUGUCUUAAGACCUGUUGACAUGGUUGUGAUUUUUUGACACAUACAUCACCUUUUUGAAGUCAAGAAUCUGCCAUGUACAUUCUCUGGUUGUUUUUAACGUACAGAAAAAAGUCCUAUAGCCCAUGCAGAUCAUUAUUGCACUAGAUGGUAUCGCAUGGAAGUCUUAGACUUUCUCGAGAUCUAUUGCAAUAGCAUGUUUGUUGGUCUGAAAAGUCAUGAUUAAAAUAUAAGUGAACGUCCAAAAUGAGCAUCUAACAGUAUCUAUAACCUCACCUCUAAUGGAGUAUCUAUAUAGGAGACUAAUUUUAAGUGGCAUGAGAGACAUGAUUCGAAUAUGAGCAUCAUCUCUCUUGAGAACUUAUUUUGUAAAAGGGUUAUUUUGGAGUUAUUAUGUUGUUGCAGAAGAUUAAAAAUAAGUAUUAAACUUUUGUCUGUUGCACUAACCAAAUCUUAAAUCAGUCUAUAUUUAGGUGGUGUUGUUGGAGACAGUCUAUCUUAAAUGCAUGACAACCAAAAAGUUAUCAUCAUUUCUUUUUAUAACGAGAAAAAAAUUUCUCAUCACUGGCUUUUCUUAUUUCUGAUUUCUGAAGCACGUUUAACAAGAAGUGGAAUAGUUCAAAGAUCCUGCUCAAACCGGGAGUUAUCCCCCAAACUAGUGGAAAUAGAACUAAUUCUUGUAGAGUUUCGCAGAAUCCUAUAAUUCUGAACCUGACAUGUGACGAAGAUCUGGAAACUCAAAAGGAUAAAUUAUAGAGGUUUUGGCUGAAAACUCGGAAGAGAAACUCGGAAGAGUAUAUUGGCGUUUUUGGUUGGCCGACGGGCUGCUUAGUUCUUAAAAAAAAUUAAAAUUUUUCGUCCCAUCGAAUUUUGCGGCAUAUGUCUAGAGCCAUUAAAUAUAGAUAAAAAAUAACUAGUUGCAUAAUUUACAUGUAAUUUACAAGACAGAUUUUUUGAGCCUAGUUAGUCUAUGAUUGGACAAUAAUUGUUAAAUACAAAUAAAAAUGCUACAGUAGCCAUUUUGUAAAGUUUUCUAUAACUAAACAAGGCCUAGUGUUCCUGCGGCUGACAGUUGCAAUGGCAUCAAACAAUGAGGCCUUGUUUAGUUGAAGAGGUGAAAAGUUUUAGGUGCUGUAGCAUUUUCGUUUCUAUUUGGGUUCAAAAGAUUCGUCUCCAAAUUACAGACAAAUUGUACAAGUCAUCCAUGUGUCGCAAGAUUCGAUAUAACAAAGAAUCUUGAUUUUUUUUUUUUGCUUUUGGACGAACUAAAAGGCGUAGACGAGUGAGGCUCUAUUUGUGGUUUGUUAGGCAAGAAAGCUUUCUGGUCUUUCAUUUUGGUCCCCAUCAGACAUCAGUCAAUUCUCUGGUUUUCUAAAUGAACAAAAAUCACUGCAGCCGCAACUUGAGAAACUAAAAUAAAAAAAUAAUAGCAAGGAAUAGAAAUAUUCAGACCAAACUAACUGAACCGACGCUAAACGGUAAAAAAGUGCCAGUCGGUAAAACGUCGCUCUGGAGGCCACUCAAGAGGGCGUUUGAUUCAUGUUGAAGCUUCCUGCUUGGUUAGCUCCUCCUAAAAUUUAGUAAUCUAAAUCUAAUCUUAUUUAUAAGUAAAUAAGCUUUAGCCGAUUAGACACUAAAUUAUUGCUAGAAGAGACUAAACAUUACCUUUUAGUUACUUUGGAGCCAAACACCCUAACUAAAAAUGACUAAAAGGUCUCUUAUAAUAUCUUUUAGGCACCCAAACCAAACACCUAGUGACUAAAGUUUAGGAUGGAAAAACCAAAUAGAGCCUAAUAAAAAAAAUAGUGACAAGAAAUAGAAAGAUGGCCAACUCUGUUUCACAUACCGUCAACUCUACCAUAGAGUAACUCCAUAAAAAAAAUAGACUUUUUGUUAUCUAACUUCAUCUUUUUUUACUAGAGCUGAGUUUGAGCUGCACUUGUUUGCUAAAAAAAUAUAACGCGGACUAAAAACAUGGAGUGAAAAGAGUUCUAAACAGUCCCUAUAUUAAUUUCAGUCUCUCUAUACAUAUACUCCCUCUAUUUCAAAUUAUAAGUCAUUUUGGUUUUUUAGGAAUAUUGGUUUUGCUAUACACUUAGAUAUAUGCUAUGUCUAGAUUCAUAACAAAAGCUCUGUAACUAGAAAAGCCAUAAUGACUUAUAAUUUAGAAUAGAGAAAAUAUCAUUGUACAACAAUGAGAAUGACUUAUAAUUUAGAACGAUGGAGUACCAUUGUACAAUGGUGAUUGAUGAUCAUGAGAAAAAUUAUGUUUUGUUUGGCGUGACUUCUCCUCAAAUGCUCGUAAAGAACAUAAAUUGGAGCUCUAGAUAUAAAACCACUCGUCCUUUACUAUUAGCUAAAAGAUUCUAAAGUAUUCAAUAUGAGUAUAAUAUUACCUAUGCAAACGCCACAGAUGUUUCCUAAUACAAAUCAAACAAGCAAAAGAUAAUAGGUUUCUCCACGGAAGUUGCUGGUAGAGACAAUAGGUUUCUCCACGGAAGUUGCUAGUACAGUCACCGUGCCAAGCAAAUCUUUAUGGUUUACAUUUACAUGCUUCCAUCAUACUCCACAUGCAUAAAAAUUUCUAUGCUUACUUGUCUGGAAAAAAUGAACUAUGUAAAAUAGCGCAUGUUGCCAAUGCCAUGGUUAUAAGUCUUUUUUGGCAGGAUGUGAGAAUGAAAAUGGGAUAUCUGGUUAAAAAGGUUGUUUUUGGAUUCUUCAUAGGUAAUUUACGAGAUUUCAAAUUUUAAAGAGAGACAACAAUGUAUGGAAGGCUCAAACUCACUCUACUUAACGUUCAUGUAUCACAUCUGGUUUUGGCUCGUAAAAAUGGAGGUGCCAUGAGGCAACUAAUCUAGACAGCAUGUUUAGUGAAAAUUGAACUCUUGCUAAAAAAAAAGAAAAGAAAAGGAAUUUGUACUCAGCAAAGAAUUUCUAUUUUGAUAUUUUUGACAAGAUAGUAUUUUUUGGGUAGAAGUUAUUUCUUAUUAAUGAGUUUUUAUAUCAAAAUGGCACAAUAUGAAUGAUACACUAUCAAGAUAUUUUUUGGCAAGUAGUAUUUUUAGGUAAAAGUUAUUGCUUAUCAAUGAGUCUUUUUUUAAUCAAAACAGCACAAUAGGAAUAAUAAUAUCAAAAGAAAUAUAUCUUGCAAUCAAUACCAUCCUCUUCGUAAGUGCUGAGAUCACACUCUGACCUAGCCUACAAAAUUUUUGGAAAAAAGAAAAAACAGUCGCCGGAAUUCAAAGGGAUGAAAAUCGAGACACGACUACACGAUGUCUCCACACGAGAAAAAGAAAACCUAACGCCCUCACAGGACUCUCUAGAAAGCGACACCAACUGACCAACCCCAACCCUGCGCCUCCCUCCUCCCUGCGCCUCCUCUCUUCCAGGAGCCUCCUCUUCUAGAGAGAGAGAGAGGGAGGGACCAUAGCCGUGGCCGCACCGCCAACCACGCCGCCCGAAUCCCCCGAUCGAGACCGGAGCCGACGUGGCCUAGGGUUUCCGAGCCAGUCGGGCGCUAUGGUGGGCUGCUCCAGGGGCUCCCUCCCCACCUGGAUGACCGCCGCCGCCGCGCGGGUCGACCUCUCGGGCGGCGUAACACCUUCGCACCAGGGGUCGUCCUCUCCGUCCCCCUCCUCCUCGGGUCCCGCUCCGUCCGCGGGGGCGGACCAGGAGCUCGGGAUGUUCGAGCGCGCGCUCUCCGCCGCCGGUGCCGCCUUCGUCUCGGCUAUCAUCGUCAACCCUCUCGAUGUCGCCAAGGUCGGUUCCCCGGGGGCACUCACUCCCUCGCUCACGCAGGUCUCUCCUCCCGGAGAGAGAGUGUUUGUGUGCGUCCUCUUCGGCGUCUAACGCGUUUCCUGUGUCUCGAUGCAGACGAGGUUGCAGGCCCAGGCGGCAGGGGUGCUGUACCACCAGCCUGCCCAGAUGGCGGCGCUUGGCCCGGAUGCGGUGAGGAAUCCGAUUCAUUCUGUUCUGCGCUGUGUGUCGUUUGGAUUUGGCAGUGGCUAACUCAGUUACUGAUCUCGGCUUCGAGUGCCUACGUGUAGGUUUUGUAUUUUCGGUGACUAGGUUAGGGAGGAAUCCAAAAUGGAGCUUGUGUUUAUAGAUGUCUAUGGGUAGUACUGGGCUGCUGGCAUGGUCCCUGUGGGAUUGGCCAGGUCACUGGUGUGAUGCAAAUGUUUGUAGCUAUGUUCAUCUGCCAGCUAUUGCUGUUUUGCGGUUGGGCCAAAGGCAUGCACAUUUCAGGUCAUGGUUUUUGUUAUUUUCAUGCUUGUCCAGGAAGGCAGGUAAGAAAUGACAGAUUGGUUUGUGUUUGCGCUAGUGAUCAGCUGGCUAUUCUACCAACCUGAACUGGGUGCAUUGCAUAGAUUCUUCCGAGUUCAUUUCCCUCAACUGCUUGUUCAACAAGCAGGUAUUGAUACUUGGAUAGUUCGUCAGGGGUGUUCAGCUAUUGCACAAUGUGGCAUUUGGCUGCAUUUUGUUACUUUUUGGUAGAUGUACUGAUUAUGUUAUUUACCUUUCUGUAAGACCACUGGGGGUACUAAAUUGUAGUGCUGAUUGUUAGGAUGAGGUAUGCAACCAAUUUUAGGACGUGUGUGUGUAGACAACCCAUUUUUUAGUUGAUAUAUAGAUGGUGCUGAUUUCUUAGUUAAAGCUAUCGUCUUUGAUGACCGCACUUUUAUUGGAAAACUGCAAUGCUUUUUAUGUUGUAAAACAAAAUUUCAUUUCUUAAAAUACUGUUGGUGGUACUGUCUUUUGUCAACAGUCUGAUUUCAUUCUCAUGGAUUUGAUCCUCAAACCAGUGUAUUAGACUUGAGGAUUGUUGCUGAUGUGUUUCAGCGUUUUCCAGAUCCUAUCUGAAUUCAGAUGCUCUCCUUCAUGCACACGUGGUCUUGUAUUAGGAAGUGAGCCGGUUUGUCCUCCUGAUUGCUUUCAGUACAAGGGAACACUUGAUGUAUUCUUGAAAGUGGUUAGACAGGUAACAAGUGUUCCUUCUUUGUUAUAUUUUCUCUUUUAAGCAAGUAGCAAUAUAUGAUGGACAGAUGAGCUCAUAACAUUGCUUAAUUGGUUGUUUUAGGAGGGGUUCGUUAGACUAUGGAGAGGAACAAAUGCAGGCUUAGCAUUAGCUGUACCCACUGUAAGUUCUCUGCUACAUUCCAUUUUUGUGGUCAUUAUCUUGUUUUUAAAUGUUCUAUGCUGCUCUGUUGCCUGCUGAACAUCUGUUUAGUAGUUUCAAUCUGUCCUAUUUGAAUUAUUCGUAUAGUUUUCACUUAGCUUUGAAAGCAAAUUCAGCUUUUUUUUUGUCCUUUGUAUGAUGUGAUAUGUUUAUUUCAUUUUUUGUAGAAGAAGCUUUAUGGGGUUAACCUCUUGGACUAAUUUCCACCUGUCUAACUGAUGCACGUAGUAUCAUAGUUUGUGUUGAGUUUUUAGCCAUAUCACUCAGCAUCCUGUAUAACUUGCUAUCUCUGUUUCUUUAUUGUAGUUUGUACAACGUAAUAUUCUGAAUCUAUAUUACUUUGUAUGUUCAAAUCAAUUGCACCUGUUACUAAUUUCUUUGAUCACAAACAGGUUGGGAUAUACUUGCCUUGUUAUGAUAUAUUCCGCAACUGGAUUGAGGAUUUCACAAGAAGCAAUGCUCCUGGCUUGACACCAUAUGCCCCGCUAGUAGCAGGAUCUGUUGCACGUUCGUUAGCAUGUAUUGCUUGUUCUCCAAUUGAGUUGGCAAGGACGCGUAUGCAGGUACACCUCCAUGUGAAGUUCUUCUAUAUACGGGCUCAUGCCAUAUGUAUAGUUUAUAGUUUAGUUAUGUCUUAUAAUGCAUUCAUCUCAGAUCAUUGUUUCUGCACAAAAGUUAGUCUUAUGUAACUCUUUUUCCAUCCAUUUAAAAUCAAAAUAUCAAGUAGUCACUAGUCUAUGGUAACAGGCAUAUAAAGAGUUUCGGCCUGGAGUGAAGCCUCCUGGAAUGUGGAAAACCUUGGUUGGUGUCAUCUCACCACUUGCAAGUUCAAGUCAGAAUGGUAUGUUGGUUUUAACUGUUUCUGUAACUAGUUGAUUCUGCAUAUUCUUUUUAAUUGGAUGACAUGUCAGCACCAUCUUUACCAUUUUGGCACCUGUCAACUUCUUGUGUUCUUGUCUUGAUUCUAACAGCUUAUUGCUUUGAUUGGCGAAACAGUACAAAACUACCGUGUUCUGUGGACUGGGGUGGGUGCACAACUUGCUCGAGAUGUUCCUUUCUCUGCUAUAUGCUGGUCAACUCUUGAGCCCGUAAGUUUCUGCCUUCUUGGUCAUGGAAACUCAUAUUUGUUAAAUUUAUGGCUCACUUUCAUGACAUGAAUCUCACUUUGCUAACACCAUGUUCAGAUGCGAAGAAAACUGCUUGGUCUUGUUGGAGAAGAAGGCAAUGCAGCUAGUGUAUUGGGAGCAAAUUUUGCUGCUGGUUUUGUAGCGGGCAGUCUUGCUGCUGGUGCCACAUGCCCUCUGGAUGUUGCAAAAACAAGGAGACAGAUAGAGGUUUGUGUAUUAUUUGGUACUCUUUAUUAUAAUUCACGUUCCAUUAUUUUUCACCUGCUACUUGUUUCUUAUGCGUGCAUACUCGUGUGACUUUAUUGCUGCAUAUUGCCAUUUCUUGUUCCUGUUUCAGUUUCUUAUUCCUUUCUUUCUAAAUUUCAGAAGGAUACUGAGAAGGCAAUGAGGAUGACUACAAGGCAAACAUUAACUGAGAUAUGGAGGUAAUGAAAUACCUCAUUCCCAAAAUAUAAAGUAGCAUGUUUGAUGGGCUGUACAUUUUGCUAUUGUGGUUGUGUUGGUUUUCAGUUUUGAACCCUACAUAUGGCUCAUUCAUUGGGCAUAUGAAUUAUGCUUUUACCAUGUUGUCCUGCUGUACCCUGAUAGAGUCGCUAAGUUCCAAUUGCCUCUAUUCAGUAGCAAGCUGUGUUCACAUAAUUGAUUUCUUUUUACAGCCCAGUUUGCAAACCCUAGGUAUAUGCCAUCCUAAAUUAGUUCUUCAUACAUCCCAGUUUGCGAACCCUAGGUAUAUGCCAUCCUAAAUUAGUUCUUUAUACAUCCCAGUUUGCGAACCCCAGGUAUAUGACAUAUAGGUUGACCUGAGACUAGAAUUCUUUUAAAACUCAUCCCUGACUGUAUGGCAUUCUCAUUUGCAGUUUCCAUACAGUAAUUAAAUAUAAGAAAUCUGGCUAGUCAAAUUUGUGUGUAAAAUAUUCCAUGAAUGUAAGCGGGGUCUAUGGUUAGCCAUUGAGCCAAUGCACCUGACAGACUGACCAACACUUCAAUAUUGUGACCUAUUUGACUAUUUAUAAAACAAUCAGAAGCUUCUUUUUGAAAUAUAUACCCUGACUGUUUUAAUCAUCAUUACAAGAAAUAACCUUUUGGAGAUCUUCCAUAAUUUAAACUCCAGUUGAUUUCUAUCCUAAAUACAUAAAAAAUCAGGACUCGCUGUCUAGUUUUAGAUCAUUUGCUUUUAAUUGUUGUUUCUCUGUGUUAGAUUGAAUUGAUAGGCUGACAUAGUAGUAUGUCUCAAAAGCUAGCGAGAGCAAGACCUUAGAAAACUAGAUCAAGCUAAGUCAACCCCUCAAUCAUUCUGAUUGUAUUUGUUAAACUUAAGUACAUUAUUGUAGCAAUUAUUAUGCAUAAUACACAAAUAAUAAUUUUCUAAAUUGAUCUACUCCAAUUAAACAAAUAGGAUCGUAGGAUCAAUAUGAUCAAUGAGUAUGCUUACUGAUUGACUCGUUUGUAGGUUUUGCUUGAAUUUGCUCUUGAGAGUUGCAUCUUCUGAACAUUUAUGCGUGAAACAUAGAAAACUAAAAAAAUAGCAAAAUACAAAUAUUCUGAAGCUAAUAGAAUAUAUGAUACAAAAUAUUUGAUUUUGGUUUCACAUGAGCAUUAAUGAAGUUGAUCGGAGUUUCGAUGGCUUGUCAGUGGAAAUCUGAUAUGCCUUGGGUGUUCAUUUCAUAAUAAGCCAGAAACCAGCAUUUUUUUCGCUGCUUGGGUUCAUGGAUCUUUUUUUGGGUGGGAGGGGUUGGGGGGGGGGGGGGGGUUAACUAUAUAAUCCAAUGAGAUUGACCACCAUGCACAUGGAAGGUGAAACUGUUUAUUAAAAACUUGUAAUGUCAGGACCGCUCUUCUGUCUCAUACCUAAAGGUUUGGAGCUGGGUCAUAAGCUGAAAUCCAGUAGGUGAAUCCUGCUUGUCAUAAUAUUCCAGAAACAAGUCUUGACAUCAUUUAGGUUAGUGGAUCUAGUUUUUUUGCGGUUAGAACGAUUUGUUUGUCAUUUUUUAUGUGAGACUGAUCUACCCAAGGUUCUAAAAGGUGCUAGGCCACUGAUUGGUGCCUAGGAUGCCUAAGGGGAGAUUAAAUCCAACGAAACAUUUGUGCUUUUUUCUUCUUUGUUUUGUUGCCGGUGUGUUUAAGUGCAUCACUGCAUCACAGAUUCAGUCUAGACAACAACAGGCCCAGCAGAUCAGCAGUAGUAUUUCCCUUGGUCCAGAAGAUGUUAAGGGGCACAGGCCCGGCCAGGUAGUCGCAUUUCACAGACUGCAAGGUCUCUGCCCACACAUCCAGCCGCACGUCACAAACCGCAAGGUCUGGGAUCACUAGGGAAAGUGUGCUGGGGUGGCAGGUAUGUGCUGCACCGGCGGCUACUUGAGGAGUUGGUGGCUGCCACUACGGUGCAAGUUUGUGUUUCUUCACGUGCUGCUUCCCACCGCACUCGUGCAUGCUACUGCUGCUCAUCUCUACACAUGCUAGCUUGCCAUCCUCCUGAUUUCCUCUGAUUCUACGCCACUUACACGUUGGCCGGUGUUUAAUUGGAUGCCUAUGGCCUAGGUGAGGCCCCAGGGCUCUGUUCCGUGCUUAAGCAUGCCUAGGCGAGCGUUUAGUUGUGUUUUUGUAGAACACUGGAUCUACUACAUUGGUGCCAAACUGAGCACCAACACAAGUCAACGCUGAGGCUCAUGGUCUUUUAGCUGCCGCUGCUGAACCACUUGCAGCCCACCCAUGCUGUUUGUGCAUUUGCUUGUUUGAUUCAUGACCUAUUCAUUCCUACAAAAUCAUGGUUUGUCAACAUGCUGCACUCCUUUCCCCCUUGUGUAUAUAAAUCGUGCUGGGGUGAAAUUCGCUGAUGUUGAGCCUGCACUUUUUUAGCUUUGAACUUUCACCAAGAUUUCUGAAAGAACUUUGUUGAACCUGCACAUUGCUGCAGAAAAUAAUCUGCCAUCUUUCAUGUAGUUUCCUGCAUUUUGGAAUAGUAUUAAGGAAGAAUGUUUUAGCGACUUGCAUGUUUAGUUUUGAUAUUCCUGAGAAAUUGUAGCAGGUUGCAGACAUUUGAUGUAAUUAGUUUCCCCAGACGAUCUUCCUUAGUUAUAGUUUUGCCAGACUUCAAAUGUUAUGGGCAAAAUGAGAGAUGCGGACCUCCCUGCUUCCAUAUUUCUCUCUUAGUUAUUAUAGUUUAGUAGUUGGUUUAGUAAGGGGCAUCUAUCAUAUACUCGUAAUUGAUUUGCUGCUUGCUUAUAUUGUUCUCUGGCAGGUCUGGAGGCAUGAAAGGGCUGUUCACUGGCGUUGGCCCACGUGUUGCACGCGCUGGUCCAUCAGUUGGUAUUGUCAUUUCCUUCUACGAGGUUGUCAAGUACGCUCUUCAUCAAAGGAACACCUCAUGACCCAGUUUUGUUGAUAAGAUGGGAGUCCAUUCACUUUGUAAAAACAACACUGUCCGUGGUUUCCCAAAGUAGGCCUGGUUACUCUGACCUUCGGACGGGCAUGGCUAGGUGUAACUUGGAAGAUCAGAGUGCUCAGCAGUCAAGACUAAACAGGAUUUUUCAUGGACAAUGUCCAUUUCGGUCGAGGAUGACAUCAGUUUUGCCAUGGAGCAGGCUCCAGUUUCGUCUGGCAGGUUUUGGACCAUCGUCUAAGCUUAUGCUUUGAGUGACCUGAAGCUGCUUUGGUUAACUUAUUAGGUAGGUCCUGUAAUUGAAGGUGUUAGUGCAGAUCAAUAAUACCCUAGAAACUACAGAAGAAAUUUUGCAGAUCCUAGUCUCAUGUCGAUGCUUUCUCUAGACCAUGUUCGGUUGAUGAAAGAGCAUCUUGUUGCUGGCUUAGGUUUAAGUUUGCAACAAGUUUAUGUUGUCGGUAAGAUCUAUAUGUGCGUGCACGAUCGCUGUUCAACAAAGUUAUAUUGGUUAAAGAAGCGUUUGCAGCGAGCCUAUGUGACAUAAGUGCCAUUGCAUUGCACGAGGUGGCUUGGAAAAAUUUCAAUGGUUCCGUAAUUUUUGUAUUUGUGGAUCUCUGAUCGCAGAUGCCAUCGUGACCCGCUCAUGUGAUAGAAGUGCCUAAAAAUUUGGCAACUCUCUACGAGAAUUUUCUUAUUGUAAAAGCCCACGGGGAUCUCUCUAAUUGGCGGAAUCAAUAAUGAAUGAGAAAACGGCUAUUAUAGGACUCCAAUCGUUGUGGCUUCUUCUAAAUAGGACUCGUAACGUUGGUUUCUCCCAAACAGGACUCUAAACGUUGUUUAUAAGCUCUAAUGAUAUUUUGGCUCUUUUUAAUUAAUUUUGGUAAUUCAAAAUACAUGUAUUUUCAGUUAAUGACUGUAUUGCCUUCAGCCUUUACACAGAUUGCAACGUUGCAGUUUCUCUCUAAAAAAAAUCGACGUUUCCACCAUGAGUCUUCCGUCGCCCAUCCUAUUCGACUCCGCCGCCGCCCCACCAUGGUGCCACCUCUCCCCGGCGAUCCACCGUUGCCCGGCGAGCCCCCGGCGGCGGCAGGCGAUCUGCUCCCUCCAACGACCGUCGAAGCCCCAUCUUGCAGCCUCAUCACGCUGGCAGGAGGCCAGACGGCAAGUGACCUAGGGCUUGCCUCGCCGGGCAGGAGACUAGAUGACACCAGGAACAACGCGUUCGCGCACAUGACCACGGUGGGGCUUCUGCUGCUGGUGUGCCUCGUUUUUCGUCUUGUACAUGAUAUUGAUGUCUUGUUCUGUGCCCAGCCCACACUGGAAGUUCUAGGCGUUCUCAGGGUAGGCAGUGACGCUGCUGGUGAAGACGACCAAGGUGGAGAUGGCCAAGUACCCGAUGUCCAGGUGGACCAAUCCCUGCAAAUAGAUGUCGUUGCCCAUGCAAGAUCACUGUUGUCUACUUAAAACAGGCAGCCAGGGGCAAAAGCAUUAUUGCCAUAGCCAAAUACAUGUAUUUAGGACUUAAAACAUGGUUAAUUAUAUUAAAAUGUCAUUAGAGCUUACAAAUAAUAUUUGGAGUACUAUUUGGGAGAAACAAAUAUUUAUAGUCCUAUUUGGGAGAAACCACAACGAUUGGAGUCCUAUAAUAGCCAUUUUCUCAUAAUGAAUUGAGCUUGUUUGUUUGAAAACACAUAGCUGAGAGUAUUUUUUGUAAGAGAAAAAUACUGUUGUUGAACGGAGCCACAAAGGGGUUGGUGGUGUCGAUUACCCUGGGUCCAUGUCUGAGGGGAUGUUUGGUUGCUAGCCAUAAUCUACCACGACUAACUUUAGGCAAGUGUGGCAAGCCACAAAAAGUGUGGCUAGCAAAUUGGUUGCCACACUUUGCCAUGCCUAAAGGAAUCUUGCCACACUUUUUAACUCUAUGACAUGUGGAACCCAAAAGAAUCAUGCCUAAACUUAAUUGUCAACCAAACACUUGCCAACUUGGUCAAACUUAUCUAAGGUAAAGUGUGGCAAACUGUGGCUAGCAACCAAACAGCCCCUGAAUCUCAACGACGGUUAUCCCCAUCACAGUAGAAAGAACGUCGUCGAUUACCCUGUGUCCAUGUCUGAAUCUCAACGACGGUUAUCCUCAUCACAGUAGAAAGAGGUACUGUUCGAGGUAAAGGGCCUAUAAUGCCUACCUCAAACAUGGACUCUGUUUAUAGUCCAUGUUUGAGGUAAAUCGUUGUGGUUUCUCUCAAAUAAACAGAGCCUAUAAAUCUGUUUAUAGGCUCUGUUUAUAGUCUAUGUUUGAGGUAAAGGGCCUAUAAUGCCUACCUCAAAGUAGGCAUGUUCGAGGUAAAGGGCUAUAAUGCCUACCUCAAACAUGGACUCUGUUUAUAGUCCAUGUUUGAGGUAAAUCGUUGUGGUUUCUCCCAAAUAAACAGAGCCUAUAAAUAAACAGAGCCUAUAAAUUGCAACUAAACAAUGCCUACCUCAAACAUGGACUAUAAACAGAGCCUAUAAAUCUAAACAGAGCCUUAGCCCAACUGAAUGAGGCUGGUACUGUUGUGUGUUGGUAACCAAGCCACCUCAAACAAAUAGGCUCGAAUGAGGCUCUGAUGGCUCACGGAGCCACCUCAAACUUUGGUGUGCAUGGCAAGUUUGGUAAGGCCUUGUUUAGUUCCCACAAAAACCAAAAUUUUUUUAAGAUUUCUCGUCACAUCGAAUCUUACGGCAUAUAUAUGGAGUUUAAAUAUAAAUAAAAAUAAAAACUAAUUGCAAAGUUUAUCUAUAAAUUAUAAGAUGAAUCUUUUAAGCCUAAUUACUCUAUGAUUGGAUAAUAUUUGUCAAAUAAAAACAAAAAUGCUAUAAUAUUAAAAUUCAAAAAAAUUUCACAAAUAAAUAAAUAAAUAAGACCUAAGCAAGUCACCAGCGAGGCGCCGAGGGCAAACAUGCUCAGGCCUUGUUUAGUUCCCUAAAAAUUUUGCAAAAUUUUUCAGAUUCUUCGUCACAUCGAAUCUUUAGACGUAUGUAUGGAGUAUUAAAUAUAGAUGAAAAUAAAAACUAAUUGUACAGUUUGGUCGGAAUUGACGAGACGAAUCUUUUGAGUCUAGUUAGUCCAUAAUUGAACAAUAUUUGUCAAAUACAAACGAAAAUACUACUAUUCCUAUUUUGCAAAAUUUUUUAGGCCUUGUUUACUUCCAAAAAAAUUUGCAAAAUAGGAAUAGUAGCACUUUCGUUUGUAUUUGACAAAUAUUGUCAAAUAUGGAUUAACUAGGCUCAAAAGAUUCGUCUCGUCAAUUCCGACCAAAUUAUACAAUUAGUUUUUAUUUUCAUAUAUAUUUAAUACUCUAUACAUAAGUCUAAAGAUUCGAUGUGACGCAAAAUCUGAAAAAUUUUACAAAAUUUUUGGGGAACUAAAAGGCCCGGCCUCAGAAGAAUGUCUCGCAUCAGCAUGUAGCUUGCCUGGAAGCUGACUGCACCUUGUUUUGUUGCAGACUGGUGGGUUGCCUGCCAAUCUUAGCCCGGACUCCAGUAGAAAAACGGACGCUUAAAAAUUUUGCAAAAUUUUUUAGAUUUCCCAUCACAUUGAAUCUUUAGACGCAUGCAUAAAGUAUUAAAUAUAAACGAAAAUAAAAACUAAUUACACAGUUUGGUCAGAAUUGACGAGACGAAUAUUUUGAGCUUAGUUAGUCUAUGAUUAGACAAUAUUUAUCAAAUACAAACGAAAAUGCUCCUAAAAUUUUUUGGAACUAAACAAGGCGUUUGGCUCCUGCUGCUGCUUUGCCUGGACCGGUACUACUCGUCGAAUGUCUGAUUUGAUUGCUUUAGCUAUUUAGGCCCUGUUUAGUUUCCCACUCAAAAAAUUUUCAUCCAUCCCGUCGAAUCUUUAGACACAUGCAUGUAACAUUAAAUAUAGAUAAAAAAAUAAACUAAUUACACAGUUUGGUUGAAAAUCGUGAGACGAAUCUUUUAAGCUUAGUUAGUCCAUGAUUAGCCUUAAGUGCUACAGUAACCUACAUGUGCUAAUGACAGAUUAAUUAUGCUUAAUAGAUUUGUCUUGCAGUUUUCAGACGAGCUAUGUAAUUUAUUUUUUUAUUAGUUUUUAAAAACCCCUCCAACAUCCUUGACACAUCCUAUGUGACAUUCAAAAAUUUUUCAUCUACAAUCUAAACAGGGUCUUAACUACCGUGCAUUAGCUAGUACUUAAUUAAGGCAAACGUAAAUUAGCUAUUUUAUUAAGGCAAACGUGUACCAUUAUUGACUUAAUUUAAUAGGAAUAAAUAUUUUAUUUCUAUUUUACUAUUUUAUUAAAGAAGUGUUUGGUUGGAGGUGUUAAAGCUGUAGUAUUUUCGUUUUAUUUGAACUAAUUAAGCUUAAAAGAUUCGUCUCGCAAAUUAUUCUCUAGCUGUGUUAUUAAUUUCGUAAAUAAUCUAUAUUUAUUACUCUGUACAUGUGUCUAAACAUUCGCAACCAAACAUGGCCUUAAACAAGUUUAAUUAUUUAUUAAAUAUAGUUAAAGAUGUUUGAUUAGAAACAUUUUCUCAAUUUCAUUUUACGGAGAAAACUUUAAUAUAUUUUUAAAAUUGGAUGCCUGGCUUCCGUUUCUUUGCCUGGCAUAACUACAGUUGAUGCAUUGUUUAUUGUUUAUUGAUACACUCUAAUACUCUAUUAAAUUAAAUGAGAGACAUGCUUUUCAUCCAAAAAAAGAGAGACAUGCUAUUAUUGUUUUUCUAUUAGUUUUCUCGAAACUAAUCUGCCACUCAUAUAACAUAGCUGUUCAUUCAAUAAACCAUACUAGAUUGUUUUUCCUCUCUUUAAGUAAACAUAAUUAAUAGAUAAUUUUUUAUAUUUAUAAAUAAUUCUCUAUUUAUUUAAUUCAGAAAAUAUUUAUACAAAUAUAUUUACUUAGUAAAAUUGCAAAAUCUAUAUACUAAUUAUAUACCACAAACAUUAGUUAACACAAUGAUACAUGAAUAUCUCCUCUUAUUAACGUUCUAAUGCACAGGCCUCCAACCAAAUUGGCUUUUCUUCAUGCUAGAAGCCUCGCCAGGCAAAAACCAUUAACUUUUCAGGUAACUCCGAAGCAUCACUCUUUACCACACAAGUUCUUCAGGCUUCCAACUAUAGGCCCUGAAUGUGUUACCAGAACCUGUACCGGAGAGCUGGAAUAGAAUAAAUAAUGGUCAUAGCCUUUGGGGACGACGAAACUUGGAGGCAGCUGUGAGCCUGUGAAGGAUAAAUUGCACUUCCAACUCGGAAGAUGAAACUCCUGUUAGCUUGGAAAAAAUGCUCUAAACUAAAAAGAAAAGGUGGUCUGGGUAUCAUUAACCCCAAAACUCAAAACUCUGCUCUCUUGCUUAAACACUUAGAUAAAUUUUAUAACAAGGAGGUUCCCUGGGUGAAAUUAAUCUGGCAUGCACAUUAUUCUAAAGGCAAUUCCCUCAUGCUACAACCGAAAAAUGUUCUUUCUGGUGGAGUGAUAUUUAAAUCUUUGUGAUCUCUUCAAAGAUAUUCCAAACUGCAACAUUCGAUGGAUCUACUGUCCUAUUCUGGUCUGACGUAUGGAAUGACAAUGUAAUGCAAAUCGAGUAUCCAAGACUUUUCUCUAUUGCAAGGAACAAAAAGAUCUUAGUUUCACAUUUUUUGACAAACAACAAGCUGGACCAAUUUCACCUCCCAUUAUGAGAACAAGCUUAUCAAGAAUAUCAAAGCCUCCAGGGUUAUAUUGAGACUAUCCACGUUCAGCCGAACACAAAAGAUUUAUGGCAUUACAUCCUCAAAAUUCACGUGUUCUACCAAGAGACUCGGUUCACAUUUGCUGGUUAUUUCUCGAUGAUGAAAGAAACAGUAUGCACUCGCUCAUCUGGCCUAUUCCAUGUACGCGUACGUGUUCUAAUAUGACUCGGUUUCUUGGCCAUCUCCAACUCUGACAACCGAUCAACGACCCGAGUCGUGUUCUUGCCUUCUUGGAGCCGCCAGUGUUGGCGCCCACCUUCGCUUGACCCACGCUAACUCUGCCAUCCUUCCCCAUCAAUAGGUUUAUCACCUCCUUUGUUAUGCACAAUCUUCAGGGUCCCCGCAAUCUUUGCCGGCGACAUCUUCUUCUUUCCAGACUUGUCUCCAGGCUUGGCGCCUCCUUUGCUAUCCACUUGUAGUCCACCAUGGCCUUUGCACGCUGCAAUUUUUCUGCCAUAGUCCUUUGGCGUUGAGGCCAACAUCAUCCCGGGCAGAGCUAGCAGCAUUAGAAUUCUCUGUCGACCCUGGAAAGGAGUCUAGGCCAGACACCCUCUCUUUCUCUUGUGGCCCUCCAGUGCAGUGCCUGCCGAAACGCCAGUGGCUAUCUCACCCAUGUUGAAAAGUGGGUUAUCUGUAACCUUGACGUGGGUCCCAUCCACUGCCAUGUCGUGGACUCCUUUGGCUAAUUCUUCGGUCAGAUUUUUAUUCAGCUUGCUAACUGAUUCUUCAAUAGCCUGCGUAUCUCGUAUCAAAGUUGUGUUGCCAUCUUGGUCAGGUUAGAGUCCUAGGCGAAGUUGAGUGUCCGGCUCCUCGCUCAAUAGCUUCACUUCGCUGAACUAGCACCUGCAAGCGCCAACGCUUUAGGCAUGGUUCAGUUGGCAAAAUUUUUAGAUUUUGGGUAAUGUAGCACUUUCGUCUGUAUUUGGUAAUUAUUAUCCAAUCAUGGAUUAACUAGGCUAAAAAGAUCUAUAUCAUAAAUUACAGGUAAACUGUAUAAUUAGUUUAUGUCUAUAUUUAAUACUCUAUACAUGUGCCGCAAUAUUUGAUGUGAUGGAGAAUUUUGAAUUUUUUUGGCAACUAUUAUCCCUCUGCAAGCCUGGAAAGUUUAAGGCUCUGUUCACUCUACUACUAGAAGUUGCCCGCGUCCUUUCUGAUGGGGGAAGGACGUAUUGACAUGUUCCUCAUCAGCGAACUCAUCCACGUUAUGGCCAAUCCUGCUGCACUCAUAAAAGGCUUGUGCUGACGGUUGACAUGUUCCUCAUCAGGGCACUCAUCCUCGUUAUGGCCAAUCCUGCUGCAGAGAAAGCAGAAAUUUGGUACGUUCUCUUACUUGACUCGGAAAGCCAUCAAGCCUUUUUCCCUUGAACGAAAUUCUGCAGUGGAUUUGCAAAGGGGAAACAUCAAUCUAUAGCUCUCAGAAAGUCAUCCACAGACGUCUUUGCUCAACUCUUUUGCUAGCUCCAGAGUGAAGUGAAAGCUUCAUUCAUCAAAACUUCAGGCACAUCAUGAAAUUGCACUCAUAAUCCAAUCCUGUCCACGGCAAUCUCUGAUGGACGCCGGAGGCCGUCGUACGGCAUGACGAUGGGAGCGUCGCCCUUGUGCCUCCAUGGACAGACUUCAGCACAAAACGAUGCUCCGUGAGCGGCCGUGCCUCCAUUGUUUCCUUGAUGCCCCAAGCUCUGCUCAUGUCAGAGAAAAGAACCUUGACAUUGUGUAUGGCUUAAUUACUGGAGUAGAAACACGCCAUCGCAAAGCCACUUCCUCUUGUCGAUCCCCCAGCCACUGCCUCCGGAUUGAAUUCAUCAUCAUCCUCCGUCUCCGCAGCUCCCGCCAGGGGCUGUUGCUGCUUCAUCAGUUCCAGGGAUUCCCCGCCCGGGGACUUCCUCUGUCGCCGCUGCUACCCCUACCACUGCAUUGUUGCCGCCUCUGCCGUCAGGUGAUGCGUCACCUCCCAUCUGUUCCUUGGUAGCAUCAGCUGCAACCUUGCCGUGUCUCCCGCCAUCGCUCGAUCUUCUCCUGCCAUGCCCAGGGGCGUCGCCAAAGAACACGUGAGUACACCACUCGUAAAAACGAGGCUUCGGGUGGGCAAUCUCCUCACCAGAGAUCCCUCCCGUAUCGGGUGGGCCCUGGGUCCGCUGCCUGCCGUGUUCCUAAAGGAAGUCGGAGAUUUACCCAAGUUCAGUCGAACACAAAAGAUUUAUGGCGUUACAUCCUCAAAAUUCACGUGUUCUUACAAGGGACUCGGUUCAUAUUAAUUUGCUGGUUAUUUCUCGAUGAUGAAAGAAACAGUAUGCGCUCGCUCAUCCGGCCUAUUCCGUGUACACGUACGACUCGGUUUCUUGGCGAUCUCCAACUCUUUCUACCGAAUCGACGUCCGGCCCAAGUCAUGUAUGUAUGUAUGUAUAUAUAUAUAUAGACAUCAAAGGCAUCGCCUCUUUAUAUAAUUAUUAUAUAUAAUCAAACCAACCCGGGCUAGUUGACCCUGCCUAGGUCGAGAUCGAGAUAAUAAUGGCGAUGUACAACGACAUCCCGGACCAUCGCUAUCGCUUCAUCAACUUCGUCGGCGACGCCUUUGUGGUCGGCGCCGGUUGCGGCUCUACCUUCCACUUCGUCAAGGGGUUCCGCAGCUCGCCGGCCAAAGGUGGAGGUGGACGCCUGGCGGCCGCCGUCCGUGCUGUCUGCGCCAACACGCCUCGCGUAUCCGGGAGCCUCGGAGCCGCCAUGGCCGUGAUCUGCGCCUUGGAGAGUGCCGUCUCCCUCGCGCGCCAGAGGGAGGAUCACUGGAACUCCAUCCUUGCCGGCACAGCUUCCUAUGGCCUACUGAACGUGCACCGGGGCGCCUCCGCCGCCGCCUUGUCCGCCUUGUUCGGCGCCACCUUUUUUACGGGUCUUGCUGGCGCCUAUCUGGCAGCUGAAUCGUGGCACGGCCGGCUCAUUGUGUCCGGCCGCGAGUGGCGAAUGAAGGACGGCUUGCCAGCGCUGGUACCCAUCAGGCGUAUCAGUAUCCCAGCGGCAGCGACCGCCGUGGUUCAUGAGGACCCAGCCACAGCCAGCGCCGGCACCGUCGAGUAGUAUAGUACAGGUGAAAAGCAAGAGCUGUUUUGUAGCUAAUUUCUCUUCGUUUUGCUUGCUAUUGUUCCUUGAAGUUGAAUUAUCUAUUUGUUUACUACGAUGUUGAUUUUGGAUAACAUGUUUUAGAAUGGAAUAUUUAUUAGUAUGAAUGUACUCCCUCCGUCUGUCCAAGAACGAAUCAAUUUCUAAAAUCCGUGUCGAUCGGUUGACUAACUUUAUAGUUAUAUUAUAUAAAAUGCACAUCGAUAAAUCUAAUGAGCAGUAAUCCCAGCCCAGAGAUCUGUACAUGUCUCUAUCUAAUAAUUUUUUUCAUUAUUUUUAUUUACAACAAACAAAUUAAAGGCAGUGAUUUAUAUUUAAUUAAGCCACAUCUGCGAAAAAAACCAAUACUCUGGGUUUCAUCUUUCAUGCAGAAACCAUGAGAUUACUGCUACCUGAAACGAUCGAUGUUGUUGUAAAUAUGGCAGUUAGUUGAUUCGUUCACCUUUUAAUCUUGUGUGAUAAAAUGGGAGGAGUUUUCGUUUUAGUAGACCCUACUGAAACUACAGGCCCUUGUUGGGUCUAGGCGUCUUUUGGUUGCACGGUUCAUAAAAAAAAAAAAUAUGCGCAUGCAUACAUUGGUUCAGAUCCAUCCAUUCUGUUCUGUGUUUAUAAAAGUACAAUACAUUUUUUUGAGGCAAAAGUACAAUACAAUGCGCCUAUAUUUGUGCAUCUAUCGACGGACUUGCGAGCAUGCGUGAGAGCAUGCAUAUUCGAUGUGGCCUUGUGAGCAGGCCUGAGGCGCAAAAAGAUGCCUGAGUUGGUGUCGCCGAGAAAACAAAAUCUGACCCUUUUUAACUCGGCAACGACGGAUAUAGUGCAAACUCAUCUCUCGUGCAAACUGUGCAAACACUAAUUUGGAUCCUAGGAUGUUGAUCCAAGGGGCACAGACAUAAGAUAAUUUUGCACUUAACCGCCUGCUCUUAAUCAUACUUUUACAAAUCCCUCCUUCCACCUCUCUCAUGCGCCCCCUUGGAUCAACAUCCUGCGGUUCAGAUUAUAGUUUACACAGUUUGCAUGAGAGAUGAGUUUGCACUAGAUCCGUUGCCAUAACUCCCCCUCGCCCAAUAUAUAUAUUACAAACAAUUAUAAGAUUAUCCGUUACAUCGAAUCUUAUAGCACUUGUAUGAAAUAUUAAAUAUAAAUAAUAAAUAAUAAAUUACGCAAUUUACCUGUAAAUCAUGAGACAAAUCUUUUAGGCCUAGUUAGUCUAUGAUUGGAUAAUAUUUGUCAAAUACAAACGAAAGUGCUACAGUAUCAAAAUUCAAAAAGAUUUUGGAUCUAAACACACCCAUAGUCGUUUGCUUUUUGUCCUAAACAAAAUAAUAGGAUAUAUUUUUUGCAUUUUGCAUGUCUAUAUUACUGGGUGCUCCCAUAAGUUUGCUUCAAAAAAUGCUGAUCUUUUUUAAUUUUUAUGACAAUGCUGAUUUGUUGGUGCAAGUACAUCUUUACCUCAAGGAUACAUUCACCAAUCACCAGUGCACUUAAUCAUUUAGAACUUAAUUACCUGUGUACCAAUGCAGAAAAUGAGUUUCGUUUAUGCCAAUUGAACAUAUUGCUCAUAAUUGAAUUUUUAGUAACUAUCGAUAAUGUUUACAAUAAUGCAAUCUAGCGAUUGUGGUUUUUGAAAAAGGAAUUUGCAAAUAUAAUAAUCUCUGCAUAGAUUAAUUCUUGUGCCAGUGAGAGUUUGUGUCAUGCUCGUACACUAGAUUGCAUCAUCUAUCGGUGCUCUGUUAUUUCUUCUUCGGUAACACUCGUCAAGAGCCUUUACAUGCUUGCGAUUGAUGUUUUAUGUUUUGAGGAUUGUGAAUGUAAAAUUAUGUCACCUUCUAUUCUGUUCAUUCACCUAAUAUCUUUUAAGUAUUUAUUUAUUUUGCCCUUAAUUAUGUGUAGGUCAAAAGAUCAUGGGACAUCUAAUCUUUGUCCCAAGGAUACUUGAAGUAUUUGCCAAAGGAAAAAUUCUACAUAACCCCCAAACUAUUUAGGGUGGAUAUUUCAUCCCUCAAACUGUAAAAUCAGAUAUUCUACCCCCUAAUCUUUUAAAACUAGUCAAAUAACCCCCUAGAGUGGUUUUGUCAUUUUCUUUUUUUAUUUAUUUCGGCUGAAUCCUUAAAAAAUCAUAAUAAAUUGUAGAAAAAUCAUAAAAUAAAAAAUUUAAUUUGUUAGACUCCGAUGAGUAGAUCUACACAAUGAAUAUAUAAUAUGGUAUACUCUAGUACAAAGUUUUUGCUGUAGCUUUAAAUCUAUAUUUUUCUAUAAUUAAUUUGAAUAAUUCAUACAUGUAGUUCCUAUGGUCCAAUUGUGGUAAAAUUUUUAUGGUGGGCUCAUUAUUGUAUGCUUGAACUAUGGUAAAAAUUUCAUACUCAUUGGAUCAUGUAUAAAUUAGUUAUAGAUAAAGCAUAUAUUUAACAAGAAUAAAGCUAAAUAAUUCUAGAACUAAGUUAUACGUGAUCCAAUGGGUACGAAACUUUUAUCAUAGUUCAAGCAUACAAUAACGAGCCCACCAUAAAAAUUUUACCACAAUUAAUCCAUAUGAACUACAUAUAUGAAUUAUUCUUAUUAAUUAUAGAAAAACAUAGAUUUAAAACUACAACAAAAACUUUGUACCAAAAUAUACCUUAUUAUAUUUUUGUUGUGUAGAUCUACUCAUCAGGAGUCCAACAAAAUUAAAUUUUUUAUUUUAUGUUUUUUCUGUGAUUUAUUAUGAUUUUUUCAAAGAUUUAGGGAAAAUAAAUAAAAAAGAAAAAGACAAAACCACCCUCUAAAACCACUCCAGAGAGUUAUUUGACUGGUUUUGAAAGUUUAGGGGGUAGAAUAUCCGGUUUUAUAGUUUGGGGGAUGAAGUAUUCCACCCUAGAUAGUUUGGGGGUUAUAUAGACUUUUUCCAUUUGCCAAAUGACAUCAAAGCCAAAUCAUUCCCUAAAAUUACUUAAUAACUUUGUUAUUACAUAUAUUAUUCUUAUGAGUAUUAUUAUAAUAAUGGUAUGCUGUUUAGAGAGCAAAGCAACUCUGAAUUAUAGUGGUGCUUCUUGUAGAGGUCCAGUUUGAAUCGGUCUAAACAUUUUUCUGUUUUGCACAAGAAUUCCCUCCAUUCCAAAUUAUAGGGUGUUUUGGCUUUUGCUAUGCGUUUAGUGUAUACUAGGAGUCUGCCCGUGCAAUCCCACAGGCACAUAAAAGUAUAAACGCAAUUCAUCUAUAUGCAAAGCGCAGAUCUCAAAAUUAAAUACUACUUGUCCUUCAGUAAGCAAAGAAUGAACUAAGUGUGGCUUUGUUUACAAAAUUGUGUAAAUUCUAAGUUGCAAAUUUCAUGCACCCUUGGACCUCACACUUUUGAGUCACAGACAAAUAUCACCUUCCCAAGUCAAAACAAACCAAUUGAAUUUUAUGUAGAGUCGUUAGCCCCCAAGCUUCACCUGUUCACACCUCACACUACUAUACCAAUUAUGUUUAGGAACAUUGAACUUCUAAACAGCCAAACUGUUGUUGUAAGACAACCUCCUUACCUGUCCAACUAUUCAAUUCAAAGCGCACAUGAAAAGACAGGCAAACAAUUAAAGUAGCCAAUGAUCUGUUGUUAAAAGUACCAACAAACAUGCCACAUAUCACAGUUGUGAAUUAAGCGCUUUUUCCUUAGAGCUACGAACUGAUCAUCCCCAUUUAUAAGUCCAAGAAAGAGAGAAGAUCAGGUUCUCAUUCUCAGCUACAGCAUUUCCAUUCUCACGGUACUAUCCAACACAUAAGAAGAAAAAAUGUUUACAAACCUAAGCACUGCACUGGAAACAUCACACAUAUGUUCGAGGCUACGUAGACAUUGCUCUUGCUGAGACAGAAACUUAGGACCUGGCCCCUCUAGAGACCAUUCGAUGAAUUUUGAAAAUCAUGAAUACACAUAUUGUAAUGGGAAACUGAACAGGCGCAGGUGCCGAAGAAAUGCUUUCAACCUAACUUAGAAUAUCGGAAAUGUUGUGGUGCCAUUCGGACGCCACGUGCCCCCACUCCGCGGCUCACUGUUGCCCCCUCUCCCAGCUGCGUGCCGGCACUCCUUGCUGGCUCCUCGCUCUCGCCCGUCCUCAACAUAGGCAGAGCAAUUAGAUAAUCUUCUUGCCCUAAAAAAAGGAGCACACAUAAGUGCAAACAGCUUCAAGAUUAAAGAUACCAGCAAUAAUUAAACAGAAUCCCCAAGUGAUUGAUUAUGCUUUAAUAGAAGCUAGAAAUCCAAAAGUGGUUUUCAUCAAGACUUUUCCUUCUUGGUCAUCUUUCCACAUUAUUUUCCAAAGAAACAAAAGACGAAUCACUAGUUGCUAAGAAUACUGAUAUUUGUUAGGGGAAGUCUUUUAUUAUUUUCAGAUGCAUAUAUAUUUUUUAGUUCAUUUCAGAUGGAAAUUAUAAACUGUCUAAAUUCUAAAUUCCUCUCCCAGGCCUUGUCGACUUGUCCUAUACCAGAGUACACCAGCUACCAAGCUGUCUAAAUUCCUCUCAAAUAAUAUACAGUCUGAUAUUAAUCUAGACUAAAUUGUCCAAUGCAGGUAUCUAAAUGUAGCCAGAAGCUUUACCACAUUCCUUUCCAUUUCACCGCAUAGUUUCCACUGAAGGUCCCCUGAAGGGCACUGGGCACAUAGAACUCGUUUAUACCAUGGUCUCAUUGGUUGCAACUUCACAGACAGGCAUUGUGUUGGCCAAGAUAACAACAGUCACAGAGCAACAAACAGAACCAAAGGAUGGGAAACUGGCAGGGAGCGUGCCUCACCAUCUCGAUGUCCUGCGCCAUCUGAACACAGGGCCCGCACCAGGUCGCGUAGAAUUCAACGAUGAGCGGCACCUUCGUGUGCCCCCUCACCAGCUCCUGCACCUCCUCGGCCGACACCUUCCUCUGCAACCACGAAUAAAUGCAAAGCAGCGCUCAGACUCGAACCCACCGACUGCCGAGUGCCGAGGUGCACAAAGAUUUGCGAUCGAGUGAACCGUGCUGCGUACCACGAGGUAGUCCGGCGCUAUGUACUUGCCGGAGCCCCGCAGGCCGCAACCACCGUCUCCGCGGAGGCGUUCCGUCGAAGGGUUGGCGCGCGGCGGGUGCUGCUGGCGCCUACGCCAACGAGGCUGCUGCGCGCGGGGGAGAGCGAACGGGGAGGAGAAGAGGCCCAGAGGUCAGGGAGGGUGCACGAGGAAGGGAACCAGCGGCGCACGCCGACGGGAACGCGGCGGCCGCCGGUCGCAGCCCGCAGCCAUGGCGGAAGCGGAUAGGGGCGGUGGAGGGAGACAAAUCCUAUCCGGUUGACUCGGAUCCGUGGAAAUGGUAGUACUGGCACUGGCCUACAGGGGUUUCAGUUCCACCUGAAGCGGCAAGGCGACAAGUACGCCUUUUACAAGUGGCUUUGUAACCAACGCUCUCUUUUGUAGAGAUAUUUGAGAAGUGAAGAAGAUUCUUUUUUUGACACUUAAACUUUUGUGGUAGUUCAAUUGUUUAUCCUUACUUUAUAAAACUGGAUUCUUAACCCUCUCAACUUUUAAAACCAUUUAUUUUUACAUCUUAAACGGUUUUGUCAUGUCAAGUUAGCUAUUGAAGAGGAUAAAUCAAACUUGUUUGACAUUUAAGGAUGUAAAAUUAGACAACAACUAUUUCUUUUGAAUAAUUUCUUCCUGGAAAAUUUUGCACUACAAAAAGUUCUAAAAUCUGGUUUAAUCUUAAAAAUCUAUUGAAAAUUUGUUUUGACCUAAAAACUACGAAGCUAAUUUCAUAGUUUUCUUAAAAUCAUGCUCGAUCUUAUCGUGUCAGAAUCAAUACUAUUUGAGUAUUCUAUGGACAUUUUUUGCUUUUAGUUUGCUAGUAGAAGUGCCAAAGAAAUGCUUUUAACCUAAAAUUAGAAUGUUGCACUAGAGGAGAGGAACUGUCAUUAUAUCUGGCUCUGUGUAGCCAGCCUGUUCACUUCUCUUUUCAGCCGUACUUUUUCUGUCAGCCAACAGUGUUUUUCUCUCACAAUAAAUCAGUCUGUAUUUUUACAUCUUCUAGGCAUCGUUGGUCUGAAAAGUCAUGACUGAAAUUACUGUUGGCUGAUUUAUUGUGAGAGAAAAACACUAUUGACUGACAGAAAAAAGUAUGACUGAAAAGAGAAGUGAACAGACUACACAGAUAUUCUAAACACCAUAAAGGUCGAUCAAGUACGAAUGUUAGACCAUAUCUAAGUACCACUCUUUUAGGAAGCAUGGUGUUUCACAAUAUAAUAAUAUAUGUUCCUUGAUAGUAAUUUUUGCUAGAUUUAAGCAUAAUAUGUAACUUCAUUUAACGGUUGAAUUGCAAAUCCUAAGCUAGAUAUGUCAUAAUACAAUCAAACUUGACAUGUUUUGACUCUUAAAAAAAGAUAGCCGACAUCUUUUAAAAAAAGAAAAACAGGCAUCGUUUUGGAAAAAAAAAACAAAAAGAAAAAAACUGCACCACGUAGAAGUAGUACUAGAGAAGAGAGGGCAGUUAGGCGCUCAUGUGCCAGCUGGCGGUCCGCGGCCCCACCGCUCUUGUGCGAGGCGCAUGGGUUAGCCAGCCAGCCGGGUUCGGCGGCCUCUCGGGUCGAUCGGAUAUAAGAGGGGGCAAGCGGCUCGCAGCGCCAAAAAGCAGAAGCGCUCCAGAGAAAACAGAAGAGCAGAACAAAUAGUAGCAGUGCAGCGGAGGGCGCUCUCUUCUCCGACGAACGAGGGACCGUCGCACGCCCGGCGGCCAUGGGGUGGUACUCCCGUUUUCCUCGUCCGGCUCCUUCGAGGUAUUCCUCCCAACCCCCUCCUCAUCAUCCUCUCCUCUAGCUAGUUCUCGUCUGGUCCUCCUCUCAAACCUCCCGGUGUUGCCGUAGCACGCACCCGAACCGUGCUCCGACGAGCGCGUAGCCAACACGGGGAGCGUCGCCGCUCGCCGGGUUCGCUACCCGCUACUCGGACCACGAGAUCCGGCGCGUGGUGCGACACCAUCAGAUAGUUUGAGAGGAGAGGCCGCGUGGUUGGGUAUCGAUCCGUCGUAGUCGCCGCGCCGGUACGGUCGCCGGAAUUCUGCUUGUGGGAAAUCGAGACGAGAAUGCACGUGGUUGGGAUUUCUUGCUGCACGCACUGGCGCAUAUGUUGAAAGCGAGGGAGGGGAUGCGGCCGUAUUGCCGUCGCAACACGCCCCGAACCCGUGCUCCGACGAGGAGUAGCGAACUCGGGGAGCGUCGCCGCUCGCCGAGUUCGGUACCGGCUUGUCCGAGCACGGGCUCCGGUGGCUGGUGCGACACCACCGGCACCGGCGCAGUUUGAUUUGAAAGGUGAGGCGUGUGCUUAGCGACCCGUUGUCGUCGGCGCUCGUCGGUUGUUUAGGGUACGGUGGUGGGUAAUCGAAACGAAUGCUGCUUGUUUGCUGUUCGUCUGCACGACUAAGGGGCUCGCGAGCGGGGGCGGCGGCCAUGCAUGGGCGUGGGGUGGCGGUGGCGCGGGCUCGUGCGGCGUGUGGGGCGGUGGCCGCGGGCUGCAGGGUGCAGCGCGCGGUCGCGCGGCGGCGGUUUGUUGUUACAUAUGCGUGCUCCUGUUCAACGUACUAGGUACCAGCUUCUGAUCGUACUAUUGUGGAUGCCGAUACCACCAAUUGGAGGACUGGGAUCAUGACUGAUCCCCUGUUUAGGGGUCUAGAAAGAUUGAAUUUCAUGUUUAGGAUAGGGUCAUAGGGAGUUCAUUUAAGGAUUUGAUGGGUGUAUAUUUUAUUCAUACUUUCGAUAUCUUCAACAGCUGCAUAUCUAGACUGGUGUGCGAUCCUUAUGUGCCAGUAACUUUUACUGUUUAUUAGGCAUAAAAUUGGUUUGUUAUGGUAUCUUGGCCAACUGUUAACAUUUUAAAAUGGUCAGCUAUUUUUGCAAGUUAGAUGACACAGUAUGUGCUAGUUUCAGUCAAGAUAUUUAUAGAUGCUCUAGAUAGUCACUGAAAUGGCUGUAUUUCCAAUGUGCCACUAUCUUUCAUAACUCAUUUACCCUUCCAUCUAAAGAAAAGUUAGAUUCACCACCAAUUGUUAUUUCUAAAUCAGAUUCACCACCAAUUUUAUUCUUACUGUAUAAGGCUUUUGAUAUGAUGCUUUUCUGGUUAUGGAUGUAUACUCGGUGCACCUGCAAUAUUACACAUUUUACCACAUGGAACAUUGUCAUCAAAUUGUCAAUAAACACCAAUUAGACAUCCAGUUUGUGCCUUAGACUAAACUGGCUGAACAAGUCAUCUGACUUGUAUCGUUGACCUGGCCGUUUUGAUCAAAUGAUUUGCUGCGAUUGUUGAGCAAUGUUAGAAUCUCUUGCUACUGCAUCUGACACUAUGUUUUGGUAUCAAAAUGAUUUGCUGCGAUUGUUGAGCAAUGCUUCUCUUGCUACUCUGCCUGACGUUCUGUUUUGGUAUCCAGGAUCAAAGAUCUCCUCAAGAAGCUCGCGGAGACCCUCCUUCCCGGAGACAUCCGGGAUCUGCCUGCAAUGAAGGACAGAGCAGUCGAGCUGUGGAGUACUGUAAAGAGCCGCAUUGGCGUGAAGACAAACGAGGAUGAUGGGAUCCGCACCGAGCCUGACGACGAGGAUAACAACCCGUUCGUCUAAUCAAGUUCACGACGUGGUGAAAGUUUUGUAGCUGAUUCGUCGUCAUCUUACCUGUUGAGUAGUGCACACAAUGAUCUUGGGAAGGAACCAAAGGGUUAUGGAUUUACUUCUGUCGUCUAUAGUUCUUCAGCUGCGGCCGUAUCGAACAUGGUUUUUUCUGAAUUCAGAUUCUUAUUGCUCGAUAGUGCAACAUACACUUCUGUGAUAUUGCGAUGAAACUUUGUGCUGCUUGUUGCUGCCAAAGUACCAUUUGCUGGUUCAGCUGUUGUACUUGCUGCAUAAAAUUUUGCUGAAGAUGCUCAGUUGGGAGCUGUUGCUGUUCCAGACUCUGAUUGUGUUGAGCAUGCAGGUAAUACAGUUGUUGCUGACAAUAUUGCCCCAUUUGUGAUGCAUACCCUUGCAUCAUUUGGAGAUACUGUUGGUUUCCAUGAUUCGACUGUGCAAAUAAUUGAUUUGAACAUUCUGAGACAUUGUAAGCUCUUGCUGCUGCAUGUUUUGUGAAAGGUUAUUAGAUUUAUGUGUUUGAGCAUUCCGCAACUGGUGUCGAAUUGGAGCUUGAAAACCGACAUGGUCCGAUUUUGUUUUCGCUAAGUCCAAGCUCGAAGGUUUUGCACAGGCUGAGAGUUCAUGAGACUGCGAAGAUUGAAUAUAGACCAGUGGCAGAGAUUUCCUUGUCACAUUCAGUUGGAUUUGGACAAUCAAAAGACCUCUCUAGGUUUGCAGUACUGACAGACAAAUCAUGCUCUGAGUACCUGAACCUCCACAUGUUGCCUUUCCUCCAGCUCCGGAGAUAUUUGUUGAAUUAAAACUUAGAUUAACAGGAUCUUAUCUUAGUCUAAAUAUGAUCACUAACUAAAACUUAUGCGGAAAUUAAUCUGAUACUAACCAGAGUCCUCCGAUAGAAGAAUCGAUGUAGAUGAAGUAGAUCUUAGUCUUCACCAGAUGGACUUGAUGCUCCUAGUUGGUAAAGAAUGCGAUGAAGAUCUUGCAUUACCUGGAUGGACGUAGGUAAACGGCCUUCCUAAACCCUGCAACGCCUAAUUGACCAGUUAUGUGAAGAGUCACAAAAAUUAGAGUCCAUGUGACGCCAGGGGCGCCUCUCUUAUUUAUAAUGGCGUUGUGGGUCAGUGGGCCGAACCCUUGGAACUCUAGGGGCUACCGUCGAUCACGACAAUUUUUAUUUAGUUGGAAAUAAAUGAUGAGUGGUUGGACGAAAAAUUUAACGCUCAAUUAAUCUUGUAAUUAAGUCACAUUCCUAUUGCCAUGUAACUCAACUUCACCCACGUAGAGUAUUAGGACAAUAAAAAUUUUCACCCUUUUUUUUUAUAAGCAUAAUUGGUCCGCUUAGUAAAAUUCUAAACCAUAGUGGACUAGGUUUUUAAUUUAAAUUUUUUAAAAACUCCCUUUGAACUCGUGCUUAGAAUUAUAGACCCUUUUGUAGUCUAGUGGUUUGACUUCAUCACAAAACUUAUUAGCACCCACACUUAUAUAUACUUAUGGACCUAAGAUCAUGAAAAUUGCUAGGUUUAGAAUAACAAAAUUCCUCUUCUGAUGUGGUCAUCAUGGACCACAAGCAGUUUAAUCACAAUAGAGGUUUACUUAUGUGCCUAAUUAUCCACUAAUGAUUGCUACAUAUAUCUAUCGUGGCACACUAAUUGACUCUUGAAAAUCCAUAAUAUAAAUUUUAGUAAUUUAAAUAGAGGUAUACUAAUGGUUUAUGGCACAAACUGAGAUAUUUAUCUCUUCUCGAGUCAUUGAUACAGAAAACUUAGUCCGUAACUCUCCAAGAUGUUAUCUUCCUCCUUUGUGAACUCCCACUAGCUCCCACUAAUUUUUGUAUUCUCUAGGAAUACUUCUCUAGGAACACAUUCAUCAAAUCUUAACGUAGUGAAAUAGUUAUAAUAGUAGAAACACAGUCCCUUGAACUUUGCUCCCACUGAUUUCUGUGUUCUCUAGGAACAUAAUUAGGAGAAUCACAAUCACCCGACUCAGCUAUAGCCUCCGUCUCACGAGAAUUUGUUUUCUCGUCAUUUUGUUCGCGCAAAAUUAGAUCUUGAUUAGUCUCUUCUUUGGCAUGUGAAUUCAUUGUUGAGAAUAUGCUCUAGAGGUAAUCAUAGAGAUAAUGAUAUUACGGUAUCCGUGACAUAUAUUAUGAGUUCAAUGAAUAUCUAUUAUAGACAAACUUGUAUCGAUUGACAAUUAUGUGAAUUUGUUUAUGAAACUCUUUUACUUGUAUGGUUAUUCUAAAGUUACUCGUAAUUAGAGUGCAUGUGAGGACACACAUAAAUAUUAGAUUAGCACAUGUAUUAGUUGAUGACUAUAUUUCACAAGUCAUAGAUAUAGAGAUGUCAAACUAAUAAUGUGGGCACGUGUAUGACAUAUGGCUGGACUGACCCAACGUGAGAUGUUCUUAUUAUCUCUUUAUGCAUCAUGUAUGUUAUGUCCUUGUAACACCCAAAAUUUUGAUUUCAAUUAAUAGGAAUUAAUUUGAUUUAUUUAAGUAUUUUUGUGAGCAUUUGAAUCUAGCAAAUAAAUAAUUUGGUGAAAAUUAAAAUUCAUCAUAAGUUUAGAAACGUGAUUUUGCAUUCAUGGUGGAGCAUAGUUAUUUUUGUACUGUUGCUUUGUUUUUAUUUUAAUUGUUUUUGUUUUAAAACUCCUUUGGAAAAAGAAUUGAAAAAGAAAAUAAAAAGAAAAGGGGGAAGAAGCCCAGCCAGCCCAAUCCCCUUUCCCCCCCCCCCGCAGCCAGCGCUUUCCCCCUCCCCUGGCCAGUUUUCCUUUUCCCCCGCAUCGCGCAAAGGCCCAGGGCGUGGCCCAGUGCUCCCCGCGGCCCAGCCUGCUUCCAGCCACCGGGCCAAGGCUCAAACCGUGCGCAGCUCCCUCCUCUCCCUUUCAGUCUCUGGCACCGGGGUCCCACGUGUCGGCGCCCUCCUCCGUCCUCCUCGCGUCGAUAUCAAACCGGACACCGUCGAAGGCAAGAACGCCCACCCCGAUUUUCGGGAUUUCUUUCACCCAAGCGUUAACCGAGUCCUUUUAAGCCCUGUGCUCACCUCUCAGAUCUCGCCGAACUCCAAAAUCGAGCCGCCACCUCGCACGCCAUCUCCGCUGUCUCUCGGACCCAACCAAGCGCAUAAACGGGAUCGCGGUGAGCUCCUCCUCCGCCUGGUGCUUUCUCUUUGUCCCCUAGCGCUCGGAGUCGCAAGAUCCGCUAACUCCGGCGAGCUCCGGGGUGGCAUCCAUGGCGUCCGUCGUGGAGCUCGCCGCCGGCCGGCCGCUUCCUCCCCUGAGCGAGUCUCGGCCGUAGAUCGUGAAAUCAAGCGCUUGGAUUAGAAGAUACCCUUUCGGGGUAACUUUGCUAAAGAGGCCCUGGGCAAUUCCAUAUUAGAACCCGCCGUCCAAAGCGCUUUCCCGAUUUUACGCCUUUUAUUUUGAAAAACGUAUUCUUCAUCGGUUUGAACUAGAAUACGCUUUCUGCUAUUUACAAGUUUGUCACUGAUUUUAUAAGGCUCAUAAAAUAUUCAUUUUAAAUCCGAUUUGGUCUAUUCAAAUUGCGUUAGGUUCGUAUUUUCAAGCUCUAUAGGUUAGAGGAAUUAUUUUUCUGUUUUGAAACUUUUUAUUUUCGCAGUAGCAUUUAAUUAGUUAUUUAUCUAUAGAAAAUCUUAGAAAAUUCGUAACUUCCACGUUUUAAUUCCGAUUUUCGUGAACUUUACGUUUGUGUGAUCGUAGCGCUGCGUAGAAUAUUUUUAUAAACUUCUAUAUUUGAUUUACCACUGGUUGGUGUAAUGUUCUAAUUAUAGCUUGUUUGCUUUGUGUAUGAUUGCCUCAUUGGAUUGCGUGUUGUUGAUUGAUGUUUGGGAAUAGACGGUGAGCCGUACGUCGGUGACCAAGACCCAGGCUUUUGACGACCAGCAGCAGGCUCAGGAGAGCUUUGAUCAAGGCAAGUAUAACUUGGCACUAUCCUUGUUACCUAUACACAAUCAGUACAACAUUUAUCAUAUGCAUGUGUCCACCUUGAUGACCUUAGCAAAAUCAUAGAUGAUUGUUAUCCUGAAUUUCUUGUUACCUACUUGAUAUGCAUUUGAAGUAGUUAUGCUAGUGCUUGAAGUAAUCCAUGAUCUUGUAAGAUGAUUAAUAGCUAUGCAAUGAACGUAAAAGGAUGACAAAUAACUAUAUGAGAUCUUGUCUGUACGUGAUUACCCGGGACAACUGUGCAACCAUGAGGGCUAUAUGGCUCUGGCUUUAGCUCAGUAUGAGGACCUUUUUCUAGCUUGUUAGCGGUUACCUUAAAUGGCGUAAGAAUGGCUAGACACGUUGGGUAUAGUGUGUGUAACACCCUAAAAAUUAAUUUUCAAAUUAGUAUUUAAUUUGGCAUAAUUAUAUGAAUUAUUUGAGAAUUGUUUAGGCAAAAUAACAAUUUUUGGAAUUAUUUAAAAUAAACUAUAAGGUCUAGAAACAUGAAAUGCUGCAUUCAUGCUGGUGCAUAAUAUUUUGAUUGUUUGUAAGACUAGGUUGUUUGGUUUAAAAAUCAAUUUGAUAGAAAUUUAUACAAAUUUACAGCUCUAAAAAAUAUAAAAGAGUUUUUCUUUUAUUUUGUUUCCUUCACCUCUGGCCCAGCCCCAAACCCUGGCCCAACACACCCCCGCGCUCACCCCUGGCCUUGGGCCGUUGGCGGCCCAGCUCCCUGCCCUCGCUCGCGACGCGCACGCGGCCCAGUGGCGCGGCCCGCUCCGCGCGGACAGCCCGUGCGCCUCCCCUUUCCCCCUCUCACUGCGCAGUAGGGCCCGCCUGUCGGCGCUCUUUUCCCUCUCUCUCUCUCGCUGCACCGUGGGGCCCGCACGUCAGCGUCUUCCCCCUUCUUCUCCACCGAGCCGGGAACGCUGCAAUGGGCAUUCAUCCCCUUCUUCAAACGCCGAUUGAUGGAGACCAUCAAUCGGGGCUCCAUCAAGCCUCUUGACGCCGGGAGUUAACGCCCGCAUGCGCGCCCCCUCGACGCCCCUGCUCGCCCUAUAAAACCCCAGGCCGAGCCCCCUUUGCUGCCCCUAGCCACCACCGGAGCACGGUUUCUCUCCCCCACCUCGGUUUCCCCUUGCUCGAGCGACCCAGAGCCCGGAGAGCGCCCCGGGAGCUUGGUUGGGACUCGCCGCGACCGUAGGCACCUAUCUCACCUCUGUUUUGAUCUUGUAUGCCAUGAAUUCGAGCUCACCGACGUUUUCUUCUCUCUCCAGUCCGCCCCGACCGUGGUCAAGCCGCUCAGAGCUUUUCCGGACGCCGCGAACGCCUCCAACGGAACCUCGGUAUUCCCUCGAUGCUCCCCGUGCCUUUAAUCUCAAGUUUAGAGUGCUCUAACGCCGAACCCGAGCCUUCCGAGGGCGCGACAAUGGCGCCACCACGGGGCCGUCGUCCCGACGUGCUCCCCGCCCUUUCUUUGUGCCCUAUCGUGUUUGCCUCGUCGCGCUUGUUGACACCGUUUUUGGGCACGUGUCUAGGAUGGCAGGAUAAGGUGGCAGUACGAUGUUUACAAAGCGGGUUGCCGAUGAGGAUGGUUGCUGAUGAGGGAGAAGUUGAAUGUGACAGGCAGUAAUAUGGUGCCGAUGGCUAGAUAAGAAAGUCUGCCGAUGACUAUGGCAAAGGAUCUGCCGAUGAUGCAAAGGAGGAGUCUGGAAGCUGCCGGUCGUUAUGUGGAGGAGUUUCGGUUUGUCACGAGGGAUAGUUUUGUUAUUUCCUUAAUUAUUUGCAUCGUUUUGUAUACGGAUUCCGUGUAAUUUGGAAUUCGAAUUCUAAUCGUGUCUGGUUGUAGCUCUUUGAGCAGGGUAUAAAUAUAGACCCUAGGGCCUUGUAAUAAUCAAUCAAGAAAUCAAACACACGUUUUUACUCAUAUUCCAGCAUUUACUUUUCGACGACUUAGUCAUACUUUUUCCUUUUGUUACGAGUUCUUAGGAAUUCGUCGACUUAAGCUCGGCGUGUUCUCAAGUUCCGCGUGAGUACCUCUUAGCCGUGACAUCCGGGCGCAUCGCUGUUGUCAGGACUGAAGUAUUCGAGUUAUCACCUUUGCCGAUAGCAAGGUCAAAUCGGCUGGCACGCCUUAACGUUUGAAUCGGGUAUUAGCCCUUUGUGUUUGCAGACCAGUUUUGCAUCAACAGCGCUGGUCGUUGUGGUAGCGUUAUUUUUGUUUGGAGUGGCCGGGAACGAGAUUCCGGCGAGCUCCGAGGAGCUCACCUGGUCGGCGACAAUGGCGCCGCCGUGGUCGGCCUCGGCUCAGGCGAGCGCCCCGCCGCCCUUCUUCCUGAGCCGUCCGAUCGGAUUCCAACGGCCCAGAUUACAUACCCCUUCGGGGUUAUGUAACCGGGCCACCGUGGACCAUGGACGCGGUCCACGGGCGCUCGGCCGGCCGGUCCACGCGCACAGUGGUGGACCGAGCGAACCCCAGCACGCCACGUGGCCCCCCUGUCGGCCAGCGACGCGGUCAGCCGCGAACCGCUGGAGAUUUUGCACUUUAACCCCCCUGUUUCAAACAAAUCAACCCGCGGUCCAACCUAGUUCAAAAGUAUUUCUUUUAAUCCUGUUUUCUUCCGUUUUAAACCCUGUACUUGUAUAUAAUAGUGCGCGCGGUCCAGACCCGUUAGAAAUUCAGUUUUAAUUCUUUUAAAUUCGUUUUUAAUUCAGUUUAUUCACAGAAAUGCCAUCCAUUUUGUUUUAUGCAUAACUUUCACGUUUUAAGUCUGAUUAGAGUGAUUCUUUCGCUCAUGUGUUCGUAGAAAUGCAUAGAGUAGAUUUAUAUACUUUUCAGUCACUGUUUUUACUGUUUGGUGUACUAUUCUAAUAGAACUCUAUUUGUAUGCAUGUGAUGAUUGGACUGGAUGCUUGAUUGGUGUUUGGAUCACGAAUAGAAGGUGAUCAGGUUGGGGUGGUUGAGGAACAGUUUGUGGAGCUCUACUAGGAAGAAACUUUUGAGGAAGGCAAGUGUAAUAUAGGCUUCCUUGUACCUAUGAACAUUAUUUAAUUCAUACAUAUGCAUGUGUCUAAAUUGAAAUACCUAUAAGGAUUUUACCUAGAUAAUUUUGUACCACAAAUCCUUGAUACCCAUGGGAAGGUGUGCAUUUAUUUAGGUAGUUGCUGCUACGUUUAAAACCCAAGAUUAUAAAUUAAUCUGAUUAAUUGGUAUAUGCAAUGUGAUAAAAUAUGUUCUAGUAACUUGGUCAGGGGGCUAGAGCUUGGAUUAUGAAAGCUCUAGAUUCCUCUCCAUAAGGACUUAAUCCUGAAGCGGCCACCCAGGAGGUCACGUACAAUCCCGAGAGUCACAUGGCUCUGACUUUAAUCAUAUAACUAGUAUGUCUCUAGCAAAUUAGUAGUUACCGAAAGGCGCUAGAGGGGGUGCCUCGUGGUGUAUAGAUGUCACUCCUACCUUGGUGUGUACAGUGCCGCGACCACAUGUGCCUCUUGAAGGAGGUCGUCUAUGCACACUUGCCACUGAAACCUCGCGGCUACUAUUUUGUUAAGGUGACUAGUGAAAGGUUAAGUAGUGGAACCCUGUCACACUUCCUCGGUAGAAGUGGUGUGGGCCUUGCAAACCCCGACACUAGGGAACCACGGCUCGGGGGUAAAGUUGUACAAUUUCUGCAGAAAUCUAAAACCUGUUAUAACAGCCGAGCUCUCGGUCAUGAGCGGCCUGGAUCCUUCUUGGUUAGCGGUUACUUGGCUAUACUUGGGAAAUGUGAUAACUUUGAUUAAUACUUAUGUAACCAGGGUUGGUCUCUCAUUAAAAGUAGCAAGUCUUGGAUAAUAAAAUAUGACCAACUAAAAUGCUAAUCGCUGUUAAACCGAGUCAAGCCUUUGAGCCUUCAUAUACCCCUAUGUUAUACUUGCUAAGCAUGGUGCACUUACACUUGUUUAUAUUUCAAUGAAAAUUCCGGAUGGGUAACAGAUGUGUGUACUGAGGAGUUCCCCGAAGAUGUCCAUGACUACUAGAGAGCUGGUGUUCACCAGUUGGUGUCCCUGUGGCAACAAGGGCUUAGCUUUCCGCUUUAUGUAAUAAUGUUGCCAAUGAGCAAGACUAUGUGAGAUGUUUAAGUUGAACAUGCGAUGUAAUAAAGUACUUUACUUUGAUAUAUUUACAAUUUGUGAUAAUAUAUGUGUUUGGACAUCCUGGGCGCACAUAUUUGAGUACUUGGUUUUGUUAUCAAAACUGGGUGCGACAAAUUGGUAUCAAAGCUUAGCCUGACUGUAGGACGAACAACCUAGUUAGAAUUGGACGAUCUUAGGGUCUUGAGCACUUAUUUUAUUAAUUAUUUUCUUAUAAAAUUAUUGCUUACAAUCUGCCUAAUAUCUAUUGAGAAAAUUAUUUUGUUCUAAUCCUCAUAUCUUUUCUUAUAGAUGGCCCGUACCAAGUGGACAGCUCGCAAACGUGUCAUCAUGCCCAACAAGAGGACAAGGUUCACUCUAGGCAAGCGUGUUCCCCCGCAUCUGGUUGAAGCACUGAGAGACAUGGAGGAGGAUCCACAAGAGGAACAAACCAUGGAUGUACCCAUGGAUGAGGAUGCUGAGGAGGAAGUCAUGAUAGAGGAACCUGUUGAAGAUGAGGACACCGAAGAGGAGCCCAUGGAGCAAGAUAAACAAGAGGGUGCUGGUGAUCCAGAUGAUGGAGAUAGUUCUGACAGCUCUGACUCGGACGACCAUGACAAUUGUGGUGAUAAUGGUGACAGUGAUGGAGAUAUCCAAGAUCACCAUGCUGCGCUUCUGGCAAAGGGAUGGACAGUGGUGAUGCAUUUUGACUUGCAUGGUGACACCUACUACCACCGGAAGCUCCUUACUCUCGCACGUCGUUAUCACGCCCGGUGUACCGUACAGUACCGCACCGAGCAUUGGACCCACCCCGACUACAUCGGCUUUUGGGAGACUGAAGCUUACAUCCGAGAAGGAAGUCGGGUGUGCUACAUCCACCGUGCGAUCACCGCCAGGACCACCCACGCAGCAGCUAUCCGGGACGCUGCCCGGCAGGCCUCGGUGGUGAACCGCGACCGCCACUUUGCUGAUAUUGCAUGGGAAGAAGAUCGCUAUCUACCUCGCCGGCGGAGUGGUCAGACAUCCUGCAACAUCGCUGCACCACUUGGGGUAGGGAACCCCAGAAUUCGACCCACCUUGGCAUGUUUGGCUCAAACCAACACUGACUUAGAUCGAGUCUCAUAUGAGCUAGAUGCUCUGAGGAAGGCCUACCUCGAGUUAGCUGUUGAGAACGCCAUGUUGAAGCAACAGCAGGGGAGUCAUGUUGAAGAAGUACCACUCAUCCUCGCAGAGUCACCCCCAAGGAACCAUGAGGACCCCAACACCGGCACCAACCUUGACCCUUAGGAGGAUUUUCCCCAUUUGUAAUAUGUACGCAUAGAGAUGCGAGAGUGUGUUUUUAUUUUCUACUGAUUGAACAAUUGCUACUACGUGAAUGCAUGCUUGUAAUAAUGCUUAAUGGGUGAGUUGGAUUUUUGUCAUGAUUUCAAUGAUUGUGGGCCUGUCCACAGUCAUUUAGGUUAGGGCUAAGGUCUAAGGAUAAUAUGAAUAAAUAGUUGGGUUUUACUUAUAUCUUGCUGUCCACCCAUGUUUUUCCCUCUGAGCAGUCUGCCUUAAUAUCUGAACAUUCCGAGUUCUGGAUGGUCUAAAAAUACAAAAAAAUUUUGGAAUAAAAUAGACUUCUAUAUCUUUCAUCUGGCUCUGGAACCACCUCAAUAUCUGUUACCGUUUGAGAGAUAAAAUUGUUACAAUGUGACCUCUCUGCGCAGUCAGAAAUUCCAGAACAGUAAAAGUUGUCACUUGUUUUUACCUAUGUAAACGCCAGAAAUUGAGGAAGUGAUCUGAAUGAAAGUUGUAGGAAAAUUUCCGAGCUUUUCAGAAAGUUAAAUUUCGCAGUGAGACGUUAAACAGAGAGAUGCUUGUUUUACUCCACUGUAACUUUAGUGAGGACAGCAGAAAAAUGCAGAAUGCAUACUACCUUGUACUCACAACAUAUGUAAUUCCGUACUUGAUCAGAUGGUAUAAAUUUCAGCAUGUUAUAUCUCUUGAAAAUUAAGUAUCAUAGACAUAUGAGACUCAUAUUAUGUAUCUGGUACAGAUGGCCAACACCAGGAGGAAGAGGAGGGGUGAGGACUUGCCACCACCACCACCACCUCCUACUAUGGAGCAGCUGAUGAUGAUGCAAACACAACUGCUGCAGCAGCUGGCUCAAAAUAUGCAGAACAAUGGAAAUGGAAAUGGAAACGCACCUCCUCACGUUAGGGACAAGAGAGGAGAAUUCUUGAAGGGACAUCCACCUGUUUUCAAACACUCCACCGACCCUCUCGAAGCUGAUGACUGGCUUCGUGCUAUUGAAAGACAACUAGAGAUUGCACAGUGUGAUGACAGAGAGAAAGUGUUGUAUGCAGCGGGGCAACUGCAAGGAGCUGCCCUUGAUUGGUGGGAUUCUUUCCGUUUUGGCCGUACAGAUGCUGACCCCAUAACCUGGAUGGAGUUUCAUAAUGCUUUCCGCUCUCAUCAUGUCCCUGCCGGACUAAUGAAACUGAAAAAGAAAGAAUUUCUCUCCCUCAAGCAAGAAGGUAUGUCUGUUGCUGAAUAUCGUGACAAGUUCAUACAAUUGUCACGAUAUGGUCCCACUGAAGUGGAGAACGAUGAAAAGAGGCAGGAACUAUUCAUGGAAGGGUUGAAUGAUGGGCUCCAGUACCAACUGCUAUCCCACACUUUUGCAAGCUUUCAGUAUCUGGUGGACAAGGCUCUGGUGAUUGAAAACAAACACCGUCACAUGGAAGAUAAGAAAAGGAAGUUCCAGGGACAACAGUCAGGAAACAACACGCGUACUCGUACCUGUUGACGGUCCUUAAGUAUCAAAUUUAAUUAUCAAAUAAAUAAAGAAAAGGAUCCAAAUGAAAUCAACAUCUAGACUUAGGGUUUUAUCUGACAGAAUUCCACGAGUUUUGGUGUUUGUCUAUUUCUGCAGGGGGUUAUCAGGAAAUAUGGAAGAAAGGCCCACACGUCGGGAUUACGUAAAGAUAUUAACGUGCCGCGCAAUUAUCUUACAUCUAGAAGACUCCAGAAGCCACGAGACCGAAGCGGAGGCGAAACGGGGCCUGACCCUGGGCGCCCGCCCAGUUGGUCAGGGCGCCCGCCCUGCCCCUAAGUCCAAUCAGGACUCUGCUUUGCGGGAGGUUUCCACCGACCUAAAGGAUGAAUCUAAAGCAUACAAUCUAUGUCGGUUUGAUCCAACGGACCGUAUUCACUUGAAGGGACUAUAAAACCAGACCCCCUGGCCCCUGGAGGAGAGAGCCUCUCAACCCUAAUUCAUUGUUCCAUCAAGGGAGAAGAAGCCUCUGAUCAAGAUUAGAGCCACCACAUCAAUUAGAUAUCUAGAUUAGCAUAGCUACAUAGGAUUAGAACUAGAAGGAGUCAAUCUUCGAUUGGUUUCCGGAUCUGUCAGGAGGAUUCUUGGUAAUUCUCUAAUUGUGCUUCUAAUUGCUUUCUAAUUAUCUUUGUUCUUUAAUAUUAUGAAUAUGACUUUGUUCUACUUCAAUAUAUUGCUUAUGACUUUGCUCUACUUGCUUAUAUUCAAGAUUAUAUUGUUCUUAGUUUAUCAUAGUUAUGUACUUGGCUUAGUUAGAUUGGAUCUAUAUACAUGCUUAGGAUCGUAUAGCGUUUAUCCAUCGGAUCCAUGGGUAAAUGAUAGAUAUUGUGUAGGCGUGGUGCUUAUACCGUAUUUAUCUGCGAUUGUACCCAAUAUGCCAGAUCGUGGGGUGGUUCGUGAUAGUGACAGCUUCAUUGAUUCUUAUAUAGUCCCCCUCUCGUGUAUUGGGCUGGCAGAGCAACAUUAUUACAGGGGAGUGAUUGCUAUGUUUCUCAUAUUCCUUGCUAAUAUCACUAUGCAUGGGCGUAGUCUUGUCUCACAAUGAUUGCUAAGUAUGCUUGCACUAAUUAUGAUAAUGCUAGACUAUAUAGUUGAGAAUAACUUAGGGAAUAUUCUUGUUGUUCGUUCUAAUACCAUGCUAAUGACUUUCUAGAGUAUAUAAUUGAGGUGCUUAUAAUAUUUAUUAUGUGGCUAGAUCAGAUUAAUUAUCCUUGUCACUAUUAUUAUCUCAUAUAUCCUUUAUGUGACACUUAUCCCUGUAUGAAGAGUUAGAUAUAAUGUUCUCAAUUAUACAUGCAAUGAUAGAUGCUCAAUCUCAUAUUCUAUUCUGUAAUCAAUAUUGAUGAUUGCUAAUCCCUUCCCAGUGGUAAAAAUAUAAAUAACGAUACCUGGAAUACUUCCCGGUUAAAAUGCUGCAUCGGUAUUAAUCUGUGCGCUUGCAGACCCCAUUCAUUAUUUAUUUAGAAGAGCAAUUGCAUAUUUCAAUACCGUGUCUCUUAUAUCAUGCUGGGGAUGACAACUUGGCUUAAGUGGUGUGAGGGAUAGGUUUGGCAUUUUUGGCACCGUUACUAGAUUUAGAGAACUUAGUCUACUUUUGGUAAUGAUGUUAAGAAUACCCAACAAGCAUUUUUGGCGCCGUUGCCGGGGAAGGUUGAUUACUAAUCAGGAAUGGAAUAAAGGAUUUUGAGUUAUCAUUCGCAUCACUAAUAUGAUUGAGCUUAUCUAUUCUCUCAUACAGUUUUACCCCGAUAUUUUUCUAUUUUAUCUUAUGCAGGGGAAUGUAUGAAUAGAAGACAUCUUCUAGGAAAUUUUGUUGACAAUCCCGAAGCAUUAUUCAAGAAGACGAGAGCAAAGCUCAAGAAGAAAUCAUCAACACUUCAGCAAGAAGCUUCAUCCAAUCAAGAAGAUCACCGGAACUUGUCUUCAGAGUUCGAGGACAUGGCGAACAAAUCAAUCCGCGAGUUCUCAGCUCCCACUACGGACAACAUCCGCACUGGACCUGCUGCAGAGAUCGAUGGCAACUUUGAGCUCAAGCCUGGACUUAUCAACAUGGUGCAAUCCAAUCAGUUCUGUGGGAAGGCACACGAAGAUGCUAGUGCUCAUUUACAACACUUCCUGGAGAUUUGCAACACAUUCACCAUAUCAGAAGUUUCCAAAGAUGCUAUACUACUUCGCCUCUUCCCAUUCUCACUGUUAGGAAGAGCGAAGCAGUGGUUCUACGCUACAAAGGAGAAGAAUACUACGUGGGCACUCUGCUCAACAAACUUCCUGGCAAAGUUCUUUCCCAUGGGCAAGACCAAUGCUCUUCGUGGGAAGAUUACAAGUUUUCAGCAACAAAAUGAUGAAUCUGUUCCAGAAGCAUGGGAGCGCUUUCAAGACUACAUCCUAGAAUGUCCCCAUCAUGGAAUGGAGAGUUGGCUAUUGAUGCAGACGUUUUAUCAUGGGCUUGGCAAUAGUGCCCGAGAAACCAUGGAUGCUGCAGCUGGAGGAGCAUUCUUAUCACUUACUAUACCACAAGCCACAGCUCUUGUGGAGAAGAUGGCGUCCAAUCAAAGUUGGAAUGAAGAGAGGACCCAGACACGCAAGAGAGGUGGAGGUAUGCAUCAGCUGAAGGAGGUAGACAUGCUGUCUGCAAAGCUAGACCUGCUCAUGAAGAAGCUCGACGAUAGAGCUGGAGACAAGAAAGAAGUUAUGCACAUCUACGACUCUCACAUGACUUGUGAGGAGUGUGGAGACACUAGACACUCAGGCAACCACUGCCCUGAGAUACUUGAGGAUGUGAACUACAUCAACAACAACAACAACAACUACUACAACCGUCCUCAACAAAAUCAAGGUUGGAAUCAACAGAGGCCUAACUACUCAGGUAAUUAUCAAGGUAACAAUUCUUAUAACAAUAAUAAUAAUUUUCCACCUUUGAGAGAGUUAGUGUCUAAUCAAGGCAAGCUAAUGGAUAAUCUAUCUAAGAAGUUGGCAUCUAAUGAUAAAAUGCUAGAAAAUAUAAAUAAUAGAAUGGAUAAUUUCUCUACUGCCAUCAAGAAUCAAAUUAGCUUUAAUAAAAUGAUUGAAUCCCAGUUAAAUCAAAUAGCUGCUGCUGUUCCUACUACUAACCCUGGUAUACCAUCACAACCGGAAGGAUUAGAAUCUGCAAAUCUUGUAGACAUGUUUGAUGCAGGUAAUUGGAGUAACCCCAUCACUGAAUUUUCUACUGACCGUCUGCCGGUCAAGAGAGGCGAUCCAGGACGCCCCGUCAUCCCGAUCUCCAUCGGCAUGGUGGACUUCCCAGAAGCACUCUGUGACUUUGGCUCCAGCGUCAACAUUAUACCCAGGGUACUCUAUGAAAAAUUCUUUACAUAUCCUUUAUUAGAGACAACCAUGUGUUUGCAGUUUGCAGAUCAGACGAUAACUUUUCUGAAAGGAAUAGUGAAGAACCUUUGUGUCUGAGUUGGUACCUUGUAUGCCCCAGCAGACUUCGUAGUGGUAGAGACCGGAAAUAAUGAGAGAGCACCUAUCAUCUUAGGGAGGCCAUUCUUGAACACCACGGGAGCUAUCAUCUACGCUAGUGCUGCCAAGAUCAGUUUCUAUGUCAAAGGGAGGAAGGAGACAUUUUUCUUCAAGAACAAGACUACACAAAUUCCAAAUCAAUCCAGACGUGAAUCAAGGAAGAGGACCAACAGGAGGAACAGGAACAAGCAAGUGUGGACCGAGUCAGCGAAGAUGGUCACUGUAGUUCAUAGAGGUCAAGAUCAUCAACUUAAGUCACCGUUUUUGACCAAGAAGGACGACCCAGGAAUGCCAAGCAUCUACUGCUCCAUACAUGGAUAUAGCUUCUACAAGACAAUUUGCGACACCGGAUCGGGCGUCAACAUAAUGGCCGCAGUCACCUAUCGGCUCUUUUUCGGGACCAUGCCACUAAGACCAACAUACAUUCAGCUCCAGAUGGCAGAUCAGACAUUUCGAGAAGUUAAAGGAACAAUAACUGAUGUCCCAGUCAAAAUAGACGAUCACUUUAUCUACACAGACUUUCAAGUUGUUGACAUGGGAGAAGACGAAUACGAUCCACCCAUCAUCCUUGGAAGACCGUUCCUCAGCACCGUUAAAGCAAUUAUCUACAUUGGAACCGGAGAAGUCCAUAUGCACUUCCCCUCAGAGAAGGUACGCCGUUAUUUUACUGACCCUAACUAUAUCGUUGAAGAAUCUAAGCAGGUCAGAAAGAGACGCAACCACAACCAGAGGAGGCAGAUCAUCAAGGACGGAUGGGCAGACUAUGAAGGAGAAGUUGUAAGGUCAGAAGACGUUGAGUUUAAACAGAAUUAUCCAGAGGAAAUUGAAACACCGAGUCAGGUAUGGAAAAUGAAGAUAACUAUACAAGAAGAGGAGGCGCUGCCGGAAGUACCGACUACGCCACCCAACGAACCUCAGGACGAUUAAGAAAUUGGAGAGUCCCGUUCGGAGGACUUAAAAACACCGAACGCCUUGCCAAGAGGUAAACUUGGUAGUUAUCCUUUCCCUUUCAGUUAUUUCAAAUAGUUUAUUUAGUUAAUCAUGUUCGUACUAUCCUAAAAAGAAAAUAAAAAUAUGAAAAACCAGUAAGCCCCAUGUGAGUAUACGGGUGGCAUAAAACCCAUAAGUACAUUCACUGUGGUGGCAUAAAAAUAAAAUAAAUAUUUCUUUUCUGCUUUAUAAAAAUGAAAAUACAAAAAAUAGGGAGUAACAUUUACUAAGGAGUCUCAACAUGAUAAAGGCUAGAUAUUUAUGCUAACACUUAAUCAGUUCCACAAGCUUUGUUGUCUAUUUGAGCUCCACAGAAUUUAAGAAUCAAGAAGACUAGCAGACGGAGGACAUUCUAAUCGCUGGCAGAAUGCUGCUGACUUUCAAAUACACCUCUGCCACCUGCUAGCUACAUCAAGAGAAAUUACGUCAAAAUUCAGCUUGGGGGAGAGCACUCCCAUUUAUCUCGAUAAGUAUUUCUAUCUAUCUUUACAUUCAUAUUAUUUUAGAAUAUAAAUAUACAUAAAUAUGAAAAAAAACAAAUAAAGAUUUUGUGCUUAUAUCUUUUGCUUAGUGUGUUUAAUAAAUAAAUAAAGUGACUAUGCUAAUCUGUAUCUAAAUAAAACUUAAGCAUGGAUAUGAUGAAUAGUUGCUCUGCCUAAUAUGCAAAUUUUAAGUUCUCUCUCAAGUUUAGAUAUAACUGUUAUAAUUUAAAGCUUGCUCUAGACCUAAACCUGUGGGAUGAAAACUUGAUCUAAAGUCUAAGUUGUUAACGGAUACGAUAUAGGAAGGUUGAGCUGCUGUUUAUCUGUUCCUAGAGAUGCUAGAAUUCUGGAGAAUUUUAUCUUUGAAAAUCUUUAAAAUGUUGCAUGAUAUGUUCCUGUAUGAUGAGAGUUUAAAUUCCUACCACAGCCAUAUAUACAUGCUUAUUAGACUUUGAGCCACACAUUUACUAUUUACUGCUUAUGAGCAUUGAGUGUGGUCAAGCUGUGUAGACCCUUAGGAGCUUAUCAUGUGGUUAAAUCAAGAUUCACUUGCACGUUCACUCAUAUAUGCUACUUCUACUCCAGAAGUACCAUCCAUAUAUAUCCAUCCAUUUCCAUCUCCAGAACCACCUAAAAAUAUUCUACUCCUAAUCCGGGAGAGAAUAACCAAAAAUAUUUCUGUUUUUCCCUUGUGAAAUAAAUGCUCAAGUUAUCUUGUUACUACCACUUGCUAUCUUAUCUCAAGAGAUGAGUGUUCUAGAAAAAAAAGAAAAAAAAGAAGAAAGAAGAAAAAAAAUACGAGGAAAUAAAAAGGAGCAAGUGCUCGGAACCUCGAAGGAAAAGAAAAAGUGAGACGAGAGGUAAAAAUAGACAAGUGUCCGACAGUAGAAUUAGGGGUACAAGAUGCCCACCUGAGAGAAAAAAAAGAAGAGCAUCUCAUUCUCCUCAUAAAGUUUCUAAAGCAAGGAAGGUAUGUAUCCCCUCAAAGAGCAAAGUAGAAUUAGACUUCCACCACCAUUGUUUUCACCAUUGUUAUCACCAUCAUCACCAUACAUCAUUCAUUCGCCACACAUGCACAUCUUGAUUUGGCUUAUUGAUUUGUUUCUUUGGAUCCAUGGUUUGACUAUGCAAUAAAUGUCUUGUAAGUAUGUAUACUUUAUCUCCCACCUAUGAGCUCCAGAUAUUAAAGCCUUAUUAGUGUAGGGUGAGAGAGAAGGCAAUGUCACUAUGCCUUAUACCACAAAUACCACAUAUCUUGAGAGAAGGCAUAUACCAUCACUGCCUUGGUAAGGAUCCAGAAAUACCACAAAAGAGAGAUCUGAGAGAAUCAUACAAGGAAUCUCUGAGUUUUAUUUGAAAAUCUGCAAAAAACCCCAGAGCUAUAGCUGAUCAAGAAUAAGAGACAUGGCACUUGGCUAGACUGUUCUAUCUUUUAACUACUCAAGACAGAAGUGACAGUUACAAGUCCCAUGGUGAAGGUAAAGUAAGUAAGUUUUAAGUCUUGACAGUUUACUCUAACUCAGAGAUGAGAUCUUAUUUAAAAGCAUGUGUACCGUCAAUUUUUAAAGAUAUUGCAACAACUUAUGAUCCAUAGCUGAGUCUAUCCUUGCUCAGGGACGAGCAAGAGGUAAGCUUGGGGGAGUUUGUUGACGGUCCUUAAGUAUCAAAUUUAAUUAUCAAAUAAAUAAAGAAAAGGAUCCAAAUGAAAUCAACAUCUAGACUUAGGGUUUUAUCUGACAGAAUUCCACGAGUUUUGGUGUUUGUCUAUUUCUGUAGGGGGUUAUCAGGAAAUACGGAAGAAAGGCCCACACGUCGGGAUUACGUAAAGAUAUUAACGUGCCGCGCAAUUAUCUUACAUCUAGAAGACUCCAGAAGCCACGAGACCGAAGCGGAGGCGAAACGGGGCCUGACCCUGGGUGGCCGCCCAGUUGGUCAGGGCGCCCGCCCUGCCCCUGAGUCCAAUCAGGACUCUGCUUUGCGGGAGGUUUCCACCGACCUAAAGGAUGAAUCUAAACCAUACAAUCUAUGUCAGUUUGAUCCAACGGCCCGUAUUCACUUGAAGGGACUAUAAAACCAGACCCCCUGGCCCCUGGAGGAGAGAGCCUCUCAACCCUAAUUCAUUGUUCCAUCAAGGGAGAAGAAGCCUCUGAUCAAGAUUAGAGCCACCACAUCAAUUAGAUAUCUAGAUUAGCAUAGCUACAUAGGAUUAGAACUAGAAGGAGUCAAUCUUCGAUUGGUUUCCGGAUCUGUCAGGAGGAUUCUUGGUAAUUCUCUAAUUGUGCUUCUAAUUGCUUUCUAAUUAUCUUUGUUCUUCAAUAUUAUGAAUAUGACUUUGUUCUACUUCAAUAUAUUGCUUAUGACUUUGCUCUACUUGCUUAUAUUCAAGAUUAUAUUGUUCUUAGUUUAUCAUAGUUAUGUACUUGGCUUAGUUAGAUUGGAUCUAUAUACAUGCUUAGGAUCGUAUAGCGUUUAUCCAUCGGAUCCAUGGGUAAAUGAUAGAUAUUGUGUAGGCGUGGUGCUUAUACCGUAUUUAUCUGCGAUUGUACCCAAUAUGCCAGAUCGUGGGGUGGUUCGUGAUAGUGACAGCUUCAUUGAUUCUUAUAUAGUCCCCCUCUCGUGUAUUGGGCUGGCAGAGCAACAUUAUUACAGGGGAGUGAUUGCUAUGUUUCUCAUAUUCCUUGCUAAUAUCACUAUGCAUGGGCGUAGUCUUGUCUCACAAUGAUUGCUAAGUAUGCUUGCACUAAUUAUGAUAAUGCUAGACUAUAUAGUUGAGAAUAACUUAGGGAAUAUUCUUGUAGUUCGUUCUAAUACCAUGCUAAAGACUUUCUAGAGUAUCUAAUUGAGGUGCUUAUCAUAUUUAUUAUGUGGCUAGAUCAGAUUAAUUAUCCUUGUCACUAUUAUUAUCUCAUAUAUCCUUUAUGUGACACUUAUCCCUGUAUGAAGAGUUAGAUAUAAUGUUCUCAAUUAUACAUGCAAUGAUAGAUGCUCAAUCUCAUAUUCUAUUCUGUAAUCAAUAUUGAUGAUUGCUAAUCCCUUCCCAGUGGUAAAAAUAUAAAUAACGAUACCUGGAAUACUUCCCGGUUAAAAUGCUGCAUCGGUAUUAAUCUGUGCGCUUGCAGACCCCAUUCAUUAUUUAUUUAGAAGAGCAAUUGCAUAUUUCAAUACCGCGUCUCUUAUAUCAUGCUGGGGAUGACAACUUGGCUUAAGUGGUGUGAGGGAUAGGUUUGGCAUUUUUGGCACCGUUACUAGAUUUAGAGAACUUAGUCUACUUUUGGUAAUGAUGUUAAGAAUACCCAACAGUACCAAUCCUCAGCAAGCUUAUCCACAACAAUGCUAUCAGGGACAGUCAACCCUGGUCAAUCGUAACCAGUAGCCACAGCGUGCACAGCAGCAGCAGCAGUACAAAGCUCCUAACCAACGUCAGCAGCCAGUCAAUAAUGCUCCCGUGAAGACAAAUGUUCCCAAUGCUCCACCAAAGAAUGGUGCACCAAAAGCACCAAAUGCCAACAAUGAUAACAAAUGUUAUAGCUGUGGUGAGCCGGGACAUUACUCCAAUAGGUGCCCCAAGAAGAUGGCCCAAAACAAUAUCAGAGGCAGGGUAAAUCAUGUGACAGCCGAGGCGGCACAAGAGGCACCGGACGUGAUGCUCGGUAUGUUUCCAGUUAACUCAAGCCCUGCUACAGUUUUAUUCGAUUCCGGUGCAUCACAUUCCUUUAUUGCUCAGUCAUUUGUCAAGAAAUAUGAUAUACCCAUGAUUGCUAUGAAAAAUUCCAUGAUAGUUAGCUCACCUGGAGCAGAAAUGCAAGCUACCCUUAGAUGCCCUCUAGUAAACAUCACCUUACGGGGGGUAGAGUUUACAGUUAGCCCAGUGGUUUUGAAAACUUCUGGUAUUGAUGUUAUCUUGGGUAUGGAAUGGUUGAAACAGAGAAAGGCAGUUAUACAAUGUGAUAGCAAAACAGUUCAGUUAAUGACACCUUCAGGACAGCAAAUUGAGAUAGAGGUUAGUAUGUCAGCUAAACAAUACUACACAGUUAAUCAACUGAAGGGGACAUCAAUAGAAGACAUAUGGAUAGUGAAUGAGUAUCCGGACGUAUUCCCUGAGGAACUGCCAGGUAUGCCACCUGACCGUGACAUUGAGUUUAUAAUUGAACUUUUACCUGGAACUGCAACCAUGGCUAAAAGACCAUAUAGAAUGGGAGUGAAUGAAUUAGCAAAACUUAAGAAGCAAUUAAGAGAAUUGCUAGAUAAGGGUUAUGUUCAACCAAGUUCCUCACCUUGGGGAGCACCAGUGUUAUUCGUAGAAAAGAAAGAUGGGACACAAAGAAUGUGUAUAGAUUACAGAUCGCUUAAUGAGGUUACAAUUAAGAACAAGUAUCCACUCCCUAGAAUCGAUGACCUGUUUGACCAGUUGAAAGGAGCUUGUGUGUUUUCUAAGAUAGACCUUCGGUCUGGUUAUCAUCAGUUAAGGAUAAGACGAUCUGAUAUCCUUAAAACUGCUUUUGUGACUCGAUACGGACUAUAUGAGUUUACAGUCAUGUCCUUUGGUUUGACAAAUGCACCUGCCUACUUUAUGUAUUUGAUGAACAAAGUAUUCAUGGAAUACCUUGAUAAGUUUGUGGUUGUGUUCAUUGAUGACAUACUUGUUUUCUCUAAGAAUGAGAUAGAACAUGAGAAACACUUGAGAUUGGUGCUGCAAAAGCUUAGAGAACAUCAACUUUAUGCUAAGCUUAGUAAGUGUGAAUUUUGGUUAAAAGAGGUAUCUUUCCUUGGGCACAUCAUCUCUAACGGAGGGGUAGCAGUGGACCCGAAAAUGGUUCAGGAUGUGCUAAGCUGGAAGCCACCUAAAGAUGUGAGUGAAAUUAGGAGUUUCCUUGGAAUGGCUGGGUACUAUAGAAGAUUCAUUGAGGGUUUCUCUAAGUUAGCCAAACCAAUGACUGCUCUGUUAGAAAAAAAUGCUAAAUUUAUAUGGUCUAAAGAGUGCCAGGCUAGUUUCGAAGAGUUAAAAAAGAGACUGACUUCUGCCCCUGUACUCAUUUUACCUGACAUCACUAAGAGUUUCUCUAUCUACUGUGAUGCCUCUCGGCAAGGUCUUGGUUAUGUGCUGAUGCAGGAAGGCAGAGUUGUGGCCUAUGCCUCUAGACAGUUGAGGAAACACGAGUUAAACUACCCGACCCAUGAUUUGGAGUUAGCGGCCGUGGUGCACGCUCUGAAAAUAUGGAGGCACUAUCUAAUUGGUCAUAAAUGUGAGAUUUAUAAAGAUCAUAAGAGUUUGAAAUAUAUCUUCACCUAGUCUGAUUUGAACUUAAGGCAACGAAGGUGGUUGGAACUGAUUAAGGAUUAUGACCUGGAAGUACACUAUCAUCCGGGUAAAGCUAAUGUAGUGGCAGAUGCCCUGAGUAGAAAGAGCUAUGUUAAUAUGGCUUAUGUGACUCAGUUACCUAGGGAGUUGUGUGAAGAGUUUGAACAGCUGAACUUGAGUAUAGUAGCUAACACUAUGGGAUUGGAGGUGGAACCCACACUAGAACAAGAUAUCCGUAAAGGACAACUGGAAGAUGAGAAAAUUAAAGAUAUUGCUGAACGGAUAGUGAUCGGUAAGGCACCAGGUUUUCACAUGGAUGACCAGGGAAUAGUAUGGUUCGGUAAGAGGAUUUGUGUACCCUAGAUAAAGUCUAUUAGAGAGACUAUUCUGAGAGAAGCUCAUGACUCAGCCUAUUCUAUACACCCGGGUAGCACUAAAAUGUACCUCGACCUUAAAGAAAGAUAUUGGUGGUAUGGCUUGAAAAGAGAUGUAGCAGAAUAUGUGGCUAUAUGUGAUACGUGCCAAAGAGUAAAAGCAGAACACCAGAGACCAGCAGGAUUACUUCAACCCAUGAAAAUACCUGAGUGGAAGUGGGAAGAAGUUGGAAUGGAUUUCAUAGUGGGACUACCUCGAACACAGAAAGGAUACAAUUCUAUCUAGGUUAUUGUAGAUCGAUUAACCAAGGUAGCUCACUUCAUUCCUGUCAAGACUACCUAUUCCGGGGCAAAGUUGGCAGAAUUGUACAUGGAAAGGAUUGUGUGUUUACAUGGGGUGCCAAAGAAAAUUGUUUCUGAUAGAGGGACACAGUUUACAUCACACUUUUGGCAGAAACUACACGAGUCCAUGGAUACAAAAUUGAAUUUUAGUUCGGCCUACCAUCCUCAAACAGAUGGGCAGUCAGAAAGAACAAAUCAGAUACUAGAAGAUAUGUUGAGAGCUUGUGCCCUGCAGUACGGGACAAGUUGAGACAAAAGUUUUCCUUAUGCUGAGUUCUCCUAUAAUAAUAGCUAUCAGAAGAGUCUCAAAAUGGCACCUUUUGAGGUAUUAUAUGGCAGGAAAUGCAGGACACCACUGUUUUGGAGUCAAACUGGGGAAAGUCAAGUUUUUGGGCCAGAGAUUUUGCAAGAAGCAGAGAAACAGGUGCACACAGUAAGACAGAACUUGAAAAUAGCACAAUCUCGACAGAAAAGUUAUGCAGACACAAGGAGAAGGGAUUUGGAAAUUCAGAUAGGAGAUUAUGUGUAUCUCAAGGUCUCACCUAUGAGAGGAGUCAAGAGAUUUCAUACCAAGGGGAAGUUGUCUCCUAGGUAUGUAGGUCCCUUUAAGAUCAUUGCUAGGAGAGGAGAAGUAGCCUAUCAACUGGAGUUACCUGAACAACUCUCUAGUGUUCACAAUGUCUUCCAUGUGUCACAGCUUAAGAAAUGUCUGAGAAUACCCGAAGAACAGUUACCUCUAGAAGAGCUUGAUGUUCAAAAAGAUCUUUCCUAUAAAGAAUAUCCUGUAAGAAUUUUGGAGACAACAGAAAGAAUCACCAGGAGCAAAGUCAUAAGAAUGUGCAAAGUACAGUGGAACAGGCAUUCUAAAGAUGAAGCAACAUGGGAAAGAGAGGAUGAUUUGAGAUCUGAGUACCCUUAUCUUUUUGAGCCAUCCGAAUCUCGAGGACGAGAUUCAUCCUAAGGGGGGUAGGUUUGUAACACCCUAAAAAUUAAUUUUCAAAUUAGUAUUUAAUUUGGCAUAAUUAUAGGAAUUAUUUGAGAAUUGUUUAGGCAAAAUAACAAUUUUUGGAAUUAUUUAAAAUAAACUAUAAGGUCUAGAAACAUGAAAUGCUGCAUUCAUGCUGGUGCAUAAUAUUUUGAUUGUUUGUAAGACUAGGUUGUUUGUUUUAAAAAUCAAUUUGAUAGAAAUUUAUACAAAUUUACAGCUCUGAAAAAUAUAAAAGAGUUUUUCUUUUAUUUUAUUCCCUUCAUCGAAUCUGGCCCAGCCCCAAACCCUGGCCCAACACACCCCGCGCUCACCCCUGGCCUUGGGCCGUUGGCGGCCUAGUGGCGCGGCCUGCUCCGCGUGGACAGCCCGCGCGCCUCCCCUUUCCCCCUCUCACUGUGCAGUAGGGCCCGCCUGUCGGCGCUCUUUUCCCCCUCUCUCUCUCUCGCUGCACCGUGGGGCCCGCACGUCAGCGUCUUCCCCCUUCUUCUCCACCGAGCCGGGAACAUUGCAAUGGGCAUUCAUCCCCUUCUUCAAACGCCGAUUGAUGGAGGCCAUCAAUCGGGGCUCCAUCAAGCCUCUUGACGCUGGGAGAACGCCCGCAUGCGCGCCCCCUCGACGCCCCUGCUCGCCCUAUAAAACCCCAGGCCGAGGCCCCUUUGCUGCCCCUAGCCACCACCGGAGCACGGUUUCUCUCCCCCACCUCGGUUUCCCCUUGCUCGAGCGACCCAAAGCCCGGAGAGUGCCCUGGGAGCUUGGUUGGGACUCGCCGCGACCGUAGGCACCUAUCUCACCUUUGUUUUGAUCUUGUAUGCCAUGAAUUUGAUCUCACCGAUGUUUUCUUCUCUCUCCAGUCCGCCCCGACCGUGGUCAAGCCGCUCGGAGCUUUUCCGGACGCCGCGAACGCCUCGAACGGAACCUCGGUAUCCCCUCGAUGCUCCCCGUGCCUUUAAUCGCAAGUUUAGAGCGCUCUAACACCGAACCCGAGCCUUCCGAGGGCGCGGCAAUGGCGCCACCGUGGGGCCGUCGUCUCGACGUGCUCCCCGCCCUUUCUUUGUGCCCUAUCGUGUUCGCCUCGUCGCGCUGGUCGUUGUGGUAGCGUUAUUUUUGUUUAGAGUGGCCGGGAACGAGAUUCCGGCGAGCUCCGAGGAGCUCACCUCGUCGGCGACAAUGGCGCCGCCGUGGUCGGCCUCGGCUCAGGCGAGCGCCCCGCUGCCCUUCUUCCUGAGCCGUCUGAUCAGAUUCCAACGGCCUAGAUUACAUACCCCUUCGGGGUUAUGUAACCGGUCCACCGUGGACCAUGGACGCGGUCCACGGGUGCUCGGUCGGCCGGUCCACGCGCACAGUGGUGGACCGAGCCAACCCCAGCACGCCACUAUUGACGGUCCUUAAGUAUCAAAUUUAAUUAUCAAAUAAACAAAGAAAAGGAUCCAAAUGAAAUCAACAUCUAGACUUAGGGUUUUAUCUGACAGAAUUCCACGAGUUUUGGUGUUUGUCUAUUUCUGCAGGGGGUUAUCAGAAAAUACGAAAGAAAGGCCCACACGUCGGGAUUACAUAGAGAAAUUAACGUGCCGUGCAAUUAUCUUAAAUCUAGAAGACUCCACAAGCCACGGGAAGGAAGCGGAGGCCGAGAGGGGCUAGAGGCAGGGCGCCCGCCCUGUUUCCCUGGGCGCCCGCCCACCUCUGGAGCCCAAUCGGGACUCUUUCUCUCGGGAGAACUCCACCGACCUAAAGGAUCAAGGAUAACCGUUCAAUCUAUGUCGGUUUGAUCCAACGACCCAUAUUCACUUGAGGGGACUAUAAAACCAGAUCCCCUGACCCCUGGAGGAGGCACCCCUUGAUCAUUAUUCAUUAUUCAUAGACAGAGCAAAAGCUAGGGUUUAGAGAUGAGAGCUCUCCUCUCUUCUCUACACUAGAGUAGAUCUAGAUAGUAGCAAGAUGCAGAGCGAAGGAGGAUUAGAGGAGAGGUCGGCCUGUCGGUUCUUCCUCCGGUUGUACUUCGUCAUGAUCAAGCUCUAAUCAAGCUUGCUCAUGGGAUGACUCUGGUAAUCUACUUCUAAUUCAUUAUGCAAUUACUAAUUAUGUAUGUUCUGGUUCACAACUCUUUUGAGUACUUCUAAUCUAUAGGACGCUAUAGGUUAGAGUUGUAGUAUAGGUGUAAGCGUGGUGCUUAGACCUAGAUUACUUGUGGAUAUCCCCUGUCUAGCUGGAUCGUGUGGUAGGCCGCGUAGGUGACAGUUACGGUGGUCCUCUGUAGUCCACCUCUCGUUAGCAGGACAGGUAGGGUUUAUCGGCCUAUGGAUAAGCAUCCUUUGUGGUGUAAUCUUAUCACGUGGUUCGUCCCAGACAUAGACAUACCCCUUUGAAGUAGAGAAGCCAUAGUUAUUCUCUCUAUUCUGCUACCAUCACCCAUAUACUAGAUUGCUCUACUCUCUAUUCCCAUAUUAUCACUCACUGUUAUCUUGCCUUUAAUAUUGUUCUUAUUCGAUUCUACCAUCUUUCCUAUUUACACCUAUCUAUUUACCUUGGUUAAGUUAGAGCGUAGUUGGUUCUCCCGUUUCCCUGUGGAUACGACAAAACCUUUAACCGGGUAAAAGCUUCAACGGUAUCCGUGCGCUUGCGGAUUAUCUAUGUGCGUAUAAAUACCAUAGUACACUCUUGUGCCAUGCUGGGGAUGACAACAUAGUAUUCAAGUGGUGUUAGCAAGUGUCAACAAGCAUUUUUGGCGCCGUUGCCGGGGAAACGGUUGCUGAGUUGACUACGAACUAGCUUAAUCAUUUUCUAAAAAAAAAUAAAAAAAUAUUUUAUUUUUAUCCUUUGCCUCAUCUCUGCUAUUCUUUCGUCUUAUCUAAUCCUUGAUCUCUGGUCUAUCAUGAAUUCAAACAUGUCUAUCUAUGAAUUUCAUAGACCUACUUGCACACAUCUCGAACCACCAAAAUCUUCAAAGCCUAUCAUAGCAUCUAGUUUUGAGAUAGACCCUGAAUACAUAGAAUUUGUUCAAAAACAACCUUUCUCAGGAGAAGGUGAGGAAAACCCAUAUACACACCUAAGAGAGUUUUAUAGAGUCUGUGACCUCCUUCGCAUAGAAGGCAUGUCCGAUGAGACCCUUAAAUGGAAGCUCUUUCCGUUCUCUUUAAUGGGAAAAGCUAGACAUUGGUAUAAACUCAAAGUAGGGAGUGUUCAUGGAGAUUGGAAGGAGUUACAUAGUAGUUUUCUUUCUAAAUAUUUUCCAAUCUCCAAAGUGGUGGAACUUCGGCGUGAGAUUCUUUCUUUUUGACAACUCGAAGAAGAAUCUCUUGGCAAAUCAUGGGACCACUUUAUUAACCUUACUCUCACUGGCCCAAAGCUUUCUAUUCCAAAAGAAGUUCUUCUAAUUCACUUUUUUGAGGGCCUUAGUGGGGAAAAUAAGCAAACCCUUCAUGCAGCCUCUGGAGGAUCUUUCCACCACCUAUCCGCUAGUGAAGCUUGGAAUUUGAUUGAUUUAAUGAGCGGAAAGUCUCCUAGCUUUUAUAUCCCUGAGAAAGAGACAGAACCAGUUCCUAGACAAGAAGAAGAAGUUUUGAUAGCCAGAUCACAACCACUUCAAUUCCAAACUUUAGCUAUCGAUCCUAAACCAUCAAUACCCCAAAAUUCUCCAAGGGAGGAAGGAAUUCCGACCUUAAAUCUUUCAGAUGCUGAUGGUUUAGACUUCUGGUUCCAUAAGAGACCUUCAAGCAGGGAUAAUUCAAAUCCUCGCAAUAAUGGUUCUCUUAGAGAAUGUCCUGGUUCCUGUUAUGAAGAAGUCGAGGAUGACAUAUCAAGUGAAGGAGAGUAAGCCAUAUUGAAAAUUCUAACACCUCCCCUUUCCUGAUCACAAGUUCUAAAUGGCUAGAAUGUGUAGAAUGGAUGGAUAAGGAAGAAGCCUUAAUGAAUUCUGACUUUGGCUCAAUUUCAAAUGAUGAGUUCUUGACUCCCUUUGAAGAUGAGAUUCAUCCAACUACAGAAGAGGACAUAGGUGAGACCAAUCCAGGAGAAACUCCAAAUAUUCAGAUUGGAGACGAAGAUAACAUUAAUGAGCAUGGAAUUUAUUUCAUAGCCACUUCAUUCACUCCAUGCUCAUAUGCAACAUCUUCCCAAUCUAUUGGUCUCUCCAACUUCACCACAUUUGAGAUCUCCAACCCCCUCUUCCUUUCUAUUUAUAAAAACUUUAAAAGGGCGGUUGUCGAUGCAUAUGUUUAUAAUAAAUAUUGCAGAUCUCGUUGAGUUGAUCUUGAUUUAGGUCAGCGUUGGAAGGGAAACCACUUCGCCGACAUAAAUUGAUGGUUUCCCAAGGACAAGCUUGGUGUCCUAAAAUAAGCACUGAUCAGAUCAUAACAUGAGUUUUUAAUUAUUUGCAACAUUACCUUGUGUAUUGAGCAUAUAAGGAUAAUUGUAAAAAUAUUCCUUCGGGUAUUCUUGUCACUAACCUUUCCAGGAUUGGAACAAGAAGAUCAGAUGAAUGACAAGCAAGUACAAGGUAUGUCCAACCAAUCAUCAUGCAACACCGAAUUAAAUUCAUCCAAACUUGAAUUCUGCAAAAUUCAAGCUUGGGGGAGUACUUUACAUAAAAACAUCCUUUGCCUUGUUGCUAUGUUGGUUCUCCCUACCUUUAAGACAUGCUCAGUUUGUUAAAUACUAAUCACACUACUUCAUCUCCACUUAAGUAGAUCUCUAUAAAUGCUGUCAUGCUACCUUUGUCUAUUUACUAGUAAGUGUUAGUUUGGAAGUACUGCACAUACUUCUAUUGGCUUUUAAAUUAAGCAUGGUGCUUAGGUUAAACAACCUUCCUUAAUCUGAUUAGACAUGGAGUCUAGUUCGGUUAUUGAACUAAAAACUACUUGUGUAGACAUUGGUAUAUUUUUGUCGGACUAACCCCUGCAGAGAAACUUUCAAUAUCGAUUUGGGAAGUCCUGAGAUAAACUCACAUCAGAGACGAAGAGAGUGACACAUGAAGUUUAACAAUUUGCACAAGAAGGACAUAUCUCAUUCAUCAUAGAGAGAUGAUCCAUGGAGGGUGCCACAAACACGAUGCACAACCGCUAAGAAAGGAAAGCUUCCACAAGGUGAUACUGUACCAUCACUCUUCAAGCAAGGUAACAUCUUAAGGUACUUGACUAUCACUUUUAUAAGCUUCUCCUUGGUUUUGGCGUUCAUAUAAAUAAAAGAGACAAACAUGUAUGAUUUACAACUCUAGAUUAACCAACCCAACUGAUUCAACAUGUUUAGUCCUUUAAUCCUUGUUCUUAGUACUACCUCCAUGAUCCCACACUCCUAAUCAUAUGAGCUAAAAUGUUACACAUUCAAUCUUUGAGAGAUAUAAAGAAAAAGACAUAUACAUAUAUAGAUUAUCUUUCCAUAAGGUUGAGUGAUCUGAUCUGACAAAUGUUAUAAGUGCUGCACUCAUGAACUUUUCAUCCAUCAACUUUGUCUUGCUCACUAUGCUUAGGGUUAGAGAAGAACAAAUACACUUUAGGUUCUGUUGGUGUUUUCCACCAACAGGACCCAUGCACUUGAUCUCUGCCUUGUCUCUAUGAGUAGGUACACUUCGAGCAAAACACGGAGGAGUUUUAUAACUCUCAGACUCUACCAAGUGAAGGACCUGGAUCUACGAGCACAAACACACUGAGCAAGACACUGCCAACGCCGCACUUCAAACUGCUGGGCAAACGAAAAGGUGCAGAUGUAAAGGUCCGCACCUGAAUCAAAUGACGCACCUAAAGAAUGAACACAGUGAGAAGUCUUGUUUAGAAGACUUAAAACAUUGAACCCUCGCCGAAAGGUAAGAUCGGUAGUUAUCCAUAUUUAUCCUUUCUGCAUUCCCUUUUCCCUUUAAUUAAUUACUUUCCUUAAAUAGAUUAUUAGUUAAUCAUGCUAUCUUGAAAAGAAAAUAAAAAUGUUAAAAAAUACUAAGCCCCAUGUGAGUAUACGAGUGGCAUAAAACCCAUAAGUACCUUCACUGUGGUGGCAUAAAAAUAAAAUAAAUAUUUCUUUUCUCCUUUAUAAAAUAAAAAUAUAAAAAUAGGGAGUAAUAUUUAUUGAGGGAGCUCAACAUGAUAAAGGCUAGAUAUUUAUGCUAACACUUAAUCAGUUCCACAAGCUUUGUUGUCUAUUUGAGCUCCAGAGGAUUUAAGAAUCAAGAAGACUAGCAGACGGAGGACAUUCUAAUCGCGGUCAGAAUGCUGCUGACUUUCAAAUACACCUCUGCCACCUGCUAGCUACAUCAAGACAAAUUACGUCAAAAUUCAGCUUGGGGGAGAGCACCCCCAUUUAUCUCGCUAAGUAUUUUUACCUAUCUUUAUACUUAUAUUAUGUUAGAAUAUUAAAAUACAUAAACUAUGAAAAACCAAAUAAAUAUUUUGUGCUUAUAUAUAUAUAUAUCUUUUGCUUAGUGUGUUUAAUAAAUAAAUAAAGUGGCUAUGCUAAUCUGAAUCUUAAUAAUAAAACUCUAGCAUGGAUAUGAUGAAUAGUUGCUCUGCCUAAUUUGCAAAUUUGAAGUUCUCUCUCAAGUUUAGACAUAACUGUUAUAAUUUAAAGCUUGCUCUAGAUCUAAACUUGUGGGAUAAAAACUUGAUCUGAAGUCUAAGUUGUUAACGGAUAUGAUAUGGGAAGGUUGAGCUGCUGUUUAUCUGUUCCUAGAGAUGCUAGAAUUUUAUCUUUGAAAAAUCUUUAAAAUAUUGCAUGAUGAGUUCCUGUAUGAUGAGAGUUUAAAUUCCUACCACAGCCAUAUAUACAUGCUUGCUAGACUUUGAGCCACACAUUUACUAUUUACUGCUUAUGAGCAUUGAGUGUGGUCAAGCUGUGUAGACCCUUAGGAGCUUGUCAUGUGGUUAAAUCAAGAUUCACUUGCACGUUCACUCAUAUAUGCUACUUCUACUCCGGAAGUACCAUCCACAUAUAUCCAUCCUUGUCCAUCUCCAGAACCACCCAAAAAUAUUCUACUCCUAAUCCGGGAGAGAAUAGCUAAAAAUAUUUCUGUUUUCCCUUGUGAAAUAAAUGCUCAAGUUAUCUUGCUACUACCACUUGCUACAUUAUCUCAAGAGAUGAGUGCUCUGAAAGAAAAAGAAAAGAAAAGAAAAAAAAUAAACGAGGAAAUAAAAAGGGGCAAGUGCCCGGAACCUCGAAAGAAAGAAAAAGUGAGACGAGAGGUAAAAAUGGACAAGUGUCCGACAGUAGAAUUAGGGGUACAAGAUACCCACGUGAGAGGAAAGAAAAAGAAGAGCAUCUCAUUCUCCUCAUAAAGUUUUAAAAAGCAAGGAAGGUAUGUAUCCCCUCAAAAGAGCAAAAGUAGAAUUAGACUUUCACCAUUGUUAUCACCAUCAUCACCAUACACCAUUCAUUCGCCACACAUGCACAUCUUGAUUUGGCUUAUUGAUUUGUUUCUUUGGAUCCAUGGUUUGACUAUACAAUAAAUAUCUUGUAAGUAUGUAUACUUUAUCUCCCACCUAUGAGCUCCAGAUAUUAAAGCCUUAUUAGAGUAGGGUGAGAGAGAAGGCGAUGUCACUAUGCCUUAUACCACAAAUACCACAUAUCUUGAGAGAAGGCAUAUACCAUCACUGCCUUGGUAAGGAUCCAGAAAUACCACAGAAGAGAGAUUUAGAGAGUCAUACAAGGAAUCUCUGAGUUUUAUUUGAAAAUCUGCAAAAACUCCAGAGCUAUAGCUGAUCAAGAAUAAGAGACAUGGCACUUGGCUAGACUGUUCUAUCUUUUAACUACUCAAGACAGAAGUGACGGUUACAAGUCCCAUGGUGAAAGGUAAAGUAAGUAAGUUUUAGUUCUUGACAGUUUACUCUAACUCAGAGAUGAGAUCUUAUUUAAAAGCAUGUGUACCGUCAAAUUUUUAAGAUAUUGCAACAACUUCUGAUCCAUUGCUGAGUCUAUCCUUGCUCAGGGACGAGCAAGAGGUAAGCUUGGGGGAGUUUGUUGACGGACCUUAAGUAUCAAAUUUAAUUAACAAAUAAACAAAGAAAAGGAUCCAAAUGAAAUCAACAUCUAGACUUAGGGUUUUAUCUGACAGAAUUCCACGAGUUUUGGUGUUUGUCUAUUUCUGCAGGGGGUUAUCAGGAAAUACGGAAGAAAGGCCCACACGUCGGGAUUACAUAGAGAUAUUAACGUGUCGCGCAAUUAUCUUACAUCUAGAAGACUCUAGAAGCCACGGGAAGGAAGCGGAGGCCGAGAGGGGCCAGAGGCAGGGCGCCCGCCCACCUCUGGAGCCCAAUCGGGACUCUUUCUCUCGGGAGAACUCCACCGACCUAAAGGAUCAAGGAUAACCGUUCAAUCUAUGUCGGUUUAAUCCAACGGCCCAUAUUCAUUUGAGGGGACUAUAAAACUAGACCCCCUGACCCCUGGAGGAGGCACCCCUUGAUCAUUAUUCAUUUUUCAUAGAUAGAGCAAAAGCUAGGGUUUAGAGAUGAGAGCUCUCCUCUCUUCUCUACACUAGAGUAGAUCUAGAUAGUAGCAAGAUGGAGAGCGAAGGAGGAUUAGAGGAGAGGCCGGCCUGUCGGUUCUUCCUCCGGUUGUACUUCGUCAUGAUCAUGCUCUAAUCAAGUGUCACCCAUAUUUUAAGAACAAAAUAGGAUGCAUAAAAGACUCAUAUGUGCCCCAGGAAUAGUCGCACACAUAAGUAGACAAAUCUCAAAUGUACCAUUGCAGUGUUUAUUACAUAGCGGAACAAUAAUAAAUCACAUAGUCUCAUACAAAGAUGAUAGCAUAGAGUAAACAACGCUCUCGACGGAAGCUUCACACAGGGACAGCAUUGCCUGGUUGACUCCAAACCUAGUACUCAUAACGAUAGUCCUCAUUCCAGUCAUCUUCAUUAUCAUAUCCUGAGGUGUUGGGAAAUUGCAAGAGUGAGCACAUAUCGUACUCAACAAGUAUAACUAGGGGCUCAUGAGGCUCAAAUAGCUGACACUGGUUUGACUGCAUUUAGCUUUUAAUAGUUGAUAGCAUGUUUAAUUAUUGAAUAGCAAAUGUCAAGGUAGCAUAAUAAAUUCCAUAACCACAUGAUCAAUGUAUACAAGAAUUAAGAAUAACACAUAUAAACAAUAUAAUAAACCAUCAUUUAUCAUCAUUAAUCAUGUUCGUCAGAGUCCAUCUAUUCCGUCAGUUUUCCGGGCCGCCCGUAUCCGUGGGCACGGCUAGUAUACCAGAUUUAACACUCUGCAGAGGUUGUACAUCUUUACCCAUGAGUCGUGAUUUACCCUUUCGCCCGAGGUGAUCAGCCUCUUAACCCACUACAAAGGAAGGUCGGCAGGGAUCACUAUGAAGUCUUUCAAAGGUUCGUCUAACAUGUUAGGGCCACAAGGUUUCCUUUGCGCGCAGAUAUAGAUACGCCCCUUCCGAAUGGCACAAUGACGCGCAGCCUAUACACAUAGGGACAGGGGCUCGCACUAUACCCAAAACGGUUCAGCCCCUCCGCCCUUUCGGGUAACCUCUAACAAGCUAGAAAAGCUUACUCAUACUUGACUAAAGCCAGAGCCAUAUAGCUCUCAUGGUUGUACGAGUUGUCCCAGCUUUUGCCAAGGGAUAAGUCCUUAUGGAGGGUCAAGAUCAAUCCAGCAAAAGCCAGAGUUCUUUCCACCCUUUAUAUUCAAGUUGCUAGAAAGCUUAUUUUAUUGUUUAUUGUAUAUUCAAAUAUUCAUGUUACAAGAUCAUGGAUUAAUAAUCAAGCAUUAGCAAGAACUACCCAAAUGGAUAUCCAAAUAGGUAACAAGGAAUUCAGGAUAACAAUCAUCUAUGAUUUUGCUAAGGUCAUCAAGGUGAUAGCAUGCAUAUGAUAAAUGUUAUAUUAAUUGUGUAUAGGUAACAAGGAUAAUCCCAAGUUAUACUUUCCUUGAUCAAAGCUCUCCUGAGCCUGCUGGUCUUCAAAUGCUUGAUCUUGAGCACCAACGUACGGCUCACCGUCUAAUUCCAAACAUCAAUCAACAACACGCAAUCCAAUGGAGACAAUCAUACACAAAGCAAACAAGAUAUAAUUAGAACAUUACACCAAACAGUGGUAAAACAAAGAUAAAAGUUUAUCAAAAUAUUCUACGCAGCGCUACGAUCACACAAACGUAAAGUUCACGAAAAUCGGAAUUAAAACGUGAAAGAUAAGAAUUUUCUAAGAUUUCCUAUAGAGAAAUAAUUAAUUAAAUGCUACUGCAGAAUUAAAAGUUUCAAAACAGUAAACUAAUAAUUCUAACUUGUAGAGCUCGUUGAAACGAAUCUAACAAAAUUUGGAUGGACAAAAAUGAAAUUAAAAUGAAUAUUUUAUGGCCUAUAGAAACUCAGUGGCAAACUUGUAAAUUCACAAAACGUAUUUUCGAAGUCAAUCUGGUGCUUUUCCGUUUUCUAAAAGAGAAAGCGUAUUUUUGAACUCCGCUUUGGAUUGCGGGUUUAUUCUUAAAAAGAGCAGGGGCUCUUUAGCAAGAUUCACAGGCGAAGGGGUACGAGGCGAUCUGAUACGUUGGAUUAGGCGCGGACGGCUCAGAUCGCGUCUGGGUGAGUGGGGCGGCCGGCGGCCGGAAUUAGGCGCGCCCGCGGUGGAGCUCCAUUACCGCCGCUGUGCAGUUCACCGGCGAAGCCCAACCCAGUGAAUCCGUGCACCAAAAUCAAAUAUAAAAGCACAGGGAGGUGGAGCAGAACCUGGCGAACUCUCCAGAGGCAAUUUCGGAGGUAGAGAAACCCCCGAGGACGGCCGGCUUCGGGAUUUGGCGGACGCGAGGCUUCCGGGAACUUCGGCGACCUGAGGCAGGUGAAAUAGAGCAUGAAAUUGCGAGAGAGAACGCUCGGUGGCUUCGCAAACGCAGAGCGAAGCUCGGCGUAAGAUUACAACAGCCUGGAAGCAAUGCCAUCGGAGAAGGGUGGCGGCGGCUGGUUUCUGUACCUCGGCGAGAUCCCCAACUUGCGACUCGGCAGCUAGGGCGACCUCGGCACGACGUAGAUGAGAAAAGGAAUUGCGAGGGGGAAACGUUGGGUACUUAUAGGGGCUUGGCACGCUAGAUGGCAAGAAGAUCACGGGAUUGAUCUCCUCCCGGGAGUCCUGCUCGGCUUCGAACAGGGAAAGGAGAAGGGGCGCUGCGCAGUGGGGCCGUAUGGCAGAGAGAGAAGGGGAGGGGGCCCGGCUGCCAGAGAGGGAAGGGAGAAGGAGGGAGGCGCGCGCUGGGCUGGUCUGCUGGGCCGGUCUGCGCUCUGGGCCGCAGUGAGGAGGAGGGGAUGCUGGGCUGCGGUGUGGGGGCUGGUUUCCAGGGGCUCCUCCCCUUUUGUUUUUUUUUCAAUUCUUUUCCAAAACAUUUUUCUAAAGACUUUUUAAAUAGAAAUUUGAGAGCAAAUAAACCCCAACAAAAGCCAGCAGCACAAUUAAAUGAAGACGCUCCAGCAUGAAUGCACAAUCAAAGUUAUUAAACCUAUGAUGAAUUUUAUUCUCAACAAAAAGUAUUUAAGUGCUAAAUUUAAAUGCUCACAAAAAAAUACUCAAAUAAAUCGAAUUAAAUCCUUUUAUUUGAAAAUCAAAUUUUGGGUGUUACAUCAAGCUUGCUCAUGGGAUGACUCUGGUAAUCUACUUCUAAUUCAUUAUGCAAUUACUAAUUAUGUAUGUUCUGGUUCACAACUCUUUUGAGUACUUCUAAUCUAUAGGACGCUAUAGGUUAGAGUUGUAGUAUAGGUGUAAGCGUGGUGCUUAGACCUAGAUUACUUGUGGAUAUCCCCUGUCUAGCUGGAUCGUGUGGUAGGCCGCGUAGGUGACAGUUACGUUGGUCCUCUGUAGUCCACCUCUCGUUGGCAGGACGGGUAGGGUUUAUCGGCCUAUGGAUAAGCAUCCUUUGUGGUGUAAUCUUAUCACGUGGUUCAUCCCAGACAUAGACAUACCCCUUUGAAGUAGAGAAGCCAUAGUUAUUCUCUCUAUUCUGCUACCAUCGCCCAUAUACUAGAUUGCUCUACUCUCUAUUCCCAUAUUAUCACUCACUGUUAUCUUGCCUUUAAUAUUGUUCUUAUUCGAUUCUACCAUCUUUCCUAUUUACACCUAUCUAUUUACCUUGGUUAAGUUAGAGCGUAGUUGGUUCUCCCGUUUCCCUAUGGAUACGAUAAAACCUUUAACCGGGUAAAAGCUUCAACGGUAUCCGUGCGCUUGCGGAUUAUCUAUGUGCGUAUAAAUACCAUAGUACACUCUAGUGCCAUGCUGGGGAUGACAACCUAGUAUUCAAGUGGUGUUAGCAAGUGUCAACAGCCACGUGGCCCACCUGUCGGCCAGCGACGCGGUCAGCCGCGGACCGCUGGAGAUUUUGCACUUUAACCCCCCUGUUUCAAACAAAUCAACCCGCGGUCCAACCUAGUUCAAAAGUAUUUCUUUUUAAUCCUGUUUUCUUCUGUUUUAAACCCUGUACUUGUAUAUAAUAGUGCGCGCGGUCCAGACCCGUUAGAAAUUCAGUUUUAAUUCUUUUAAAUUCGUUUUUAAUUCAGUUUAUUCACAGAAAUGCCAUCCAUUUUGUUUUAUGCAUAACUUUCACGUUUUAAGUCCGAUUAGAGUGAUUCUUUCGCUCAUGUGUUCGUAGAAAUGCAUAGAGUAGAUUUAUAUACUUUUCAGUAACUGUUUUUACUGUUUGGUGUACUGUUCUAAUAGAACUCUAUUUGUAUGCAUGUGAUGAUUGGACUGGAUGCUUGAUUGGUGUUUGGAUCACGAAUAGAAGGUGAUCAGGUUGGGGUGGUUGAGGAUAAGUUUGUGGAGCUCUACCACGAAGAAACUUUUGAGGAAGGCAAGUGUAAUAUAGGCUUCCUUGUACCUAUGAACAUUAUUUAAUUCAUACAUAUGCAUGUGUCUAAAUUGAAAUACCUAUAAGGAUUUUACCUAGAUAAUUUUGUACCACAAAUCCUUGAUACCCAUGGGAAGGGGUGUGCAUUUAUUUAGGUAGUUGCUGCUACGCUUAAAACCCAAGAUUAUAAAUUAAUCUGAUUAAUUGGUAUAUGCAAUGUGAUAAAAUAUGUUCUAGUAACUUGGUCAGGGGGCUAGAGCUUGGAUUAUGAAAGCUCUAGAUUCCUUUCCAUAAGGACUUAAUCCUGAAGCGGCCACCCAGGAGGUCACGUACAAUCUCGAGAGUCACAUGGCUCUGACCUUAUCAUAUAACUAGUACGUCUCUAGCAAAUUAAUAGUUACCGAAAGGCGCUAGAGGGGGAUGCCUCGUGGUGUAUAGAUGUCACUCCUACCUUGGUGUGUACAGUGCCGCGACCACAUGUGCCUCUUGAAGGAGGUCGUCUAUGCACACUUGCCACUGAAACCUCGCGGCUACUAUUUUGUUAGGGUGACUAGUGAAAGGUUAAGUAGUGGAACCCGGUCACACUUCCUCGAUAGAAGUGGUGUGGGCCUUGCAAACCCCGACACUAGGGAACCACGGCUCGGGGGUAAAGUUGUACAAUUUCUGCAGAAAUCUAAAACCUGUUAUAACAGCCGAGCUCUCGGUCAUGAGCGGCCUGGAUCCUUCUUGGUUAGCGGUUACUUGGCUAUACUUGGGAAAUGUGAUAACUUUGAUUAAUACUUAUGUAACCAGGGUUGGUCUCUCAUUAAAAGUAGCAAGUCUUGGAUAAUAAAAUAUGACCAACUAAAAUGCUAAUCGCUGUUAAACCGAGUCAAGCCUUUGAGCCUUCAUAUACCCCUAUGUUAUACUUGCUAAGCAUGGUGCGCUUACACUUGUUUAUAUUUCAAUGAAAAUCCCGGAUGGGUAACAGAUGUGUGUACUGAGGAGUUCCUCGAAGAUGUCCAGGACUACUAGAGAGCUGGUGUUCACCAGUUGGUGUCCCUGUGGCAACAAGGGCUUAGCUUUCCGCUUUAUGUAAUAAUGUUGCCAAUGAGCAAGACUAUGUGAGAUGUUUAAGUUGAACAUGCGAUGUAAUAAAGUAUUUUACUUUGAUAUAUUUACAAUUUGUGAUAAUAUGUGUGUUUGGACAUCCUGGGCGCACAUAUUUGAGUACUUGGUUUUGUUCUCAAAACUGCGUGCGACAGUGUGGCCACUGUCCGUGUGUAUAGGCUGCGGGUUAUGUGCCAUGGAAGGGGGGCUCUAUAUCUGCCUGCCGAGUGAAUCUAAUGGCCCUAACUUGUUAGACGAAACCUUUGAAAGGCUUCAUAGUGAUCCCUGCCGACCUCUCUUGGAAGGGGGUUAAGAGAUUAGCUACCUCGGGCGAAAGGGUAAAUCAUGACUCAUGGGUAAAGAUGUACAACCUCUGCAGAGUGUUAAAAACUAGUAUACUAGCCGAGCUCACGGUCAGGAGCGGCCUUGGGGACAUCUACAUUAAGAUGAUGAGCUUGUUAUGUUAUUAUGUUCAUUUGAUUAUCGUUUAUGCUAAGAUUUAAUUAUGCUUACAUUUGAUCAUGUGAUUAUCGGAUUAUUUAUGCUACCUUGAUAUUUGCUAUAUAAUUAAGAACAUGCUAUCCACUAUUAAAAGCUAAAUGCAGUCAAACCAAUGUCAGCUUUUUGAGCCUCAUGAACCCCUGGUUAUACUUGUUGAGUUUGAUAUGUGCUCACUCUUGCAAUCUCCCAACACCCCAGGUUAUGCUAAUGAUGAUGAUUGGAAUGAGGACUAUCGCUAUGAGUAUUAGGUUUGAAGUCAACCAGUCAAUGUUUGUCCCUGUGUGGAGCUUCCGUCGAGAGCGUUGUUUACUUUAUGCUAUCAUUUUUGUAUGAGACUAUAUGGUUUGUUAUUGUUCCGCUAUGUAAUAAACACUGCAAUGGUACAUUUGAGAUUUAUCUACUUAUGUGUGCGACUGUUUCUGAGGCACAUAUGAGUCUUUUAUGCAUCCUAUUUUGUUCUUAAAAUAUGGGUGUGACAAAUUGGUAUCAAAGCUUUGUUGACUGUCGGAUGCAAGCCUAGUUAGAAAUUGGCCAUCUUAAGGUUUUGAAAUUGCUAUAAAAUCUUUGUUCUAUAAACCUUGAUAUUUUCUCCUAUACUAUAUCCUUUUCAUUGCUAUUCAUCUUCACCUUGUUGCUUAUCUUAAAAGUACUUGUUCUCAUCUUCACUCCUUGAUUUGUUAUGCUUUUGGAACCUUCUCUUACCACCUGCUUACAUAGUUGAAAGAGAAUCUUAGGAUCUUUGCCUUUAAUAGGAAGAGGACGAUAGUACCGCAAGUUGAGUCAAUGCUUGAAGUGUGAACCUUUGAUGCUUGGUUUGGUUUGUUGUUAUGCCUAUGCUUGAUUUGGAUCUUUGUAUUGAAUGUAAUGAUCUUGUGGAAUUUCUCUACAAUUUCAUUUAGUUAUAGGCUUAAGGCAUAAGGAUUAAUGAACUAAAUAGUUGGGGUUGGUUAAAAUCCUGUUUCUGUCAUCUGCUGUUUUCUAGAGUAGUCUGCAAUAAAUCUGGUACAUCUCAAAUUCUGUUCGUGCAAAGUCCAUCAAAUUUUUCUGGUGACAAGUAGACUUUCAUAUCUUUCCAAUGCCGCAAGAAUGACCUUAGAAUCUGUUAUGAGUUGUGAGAUAUGACUGUUCAAAGUUGAGGUUUCUACGCAGUCUGGGAUUCUGGAACAGUUUGGUUAUGCCCAGUUUCGACUAAUUUAACCACAGAAUCUGUUAAUAUGGUCUAAAUGAAAGUUGUAGAUAAUUUCUUUAGCUUUCCAACGGUAUACAGUAUGUCUCCUUUCGAGUUCUGGAACUCGAGAUAAGACUGGUUUUCCGAGCUGCUGCUGUUGGUCAUCGCCCAGAAAAAAAUUCAGAUUCAAUUAUCUCUUGUAUUUGUCAUGUUGGAUAUUACUGAGAUCUAUUUCUGUAUCUUAGAAUGCAGAUGGCAGCAAGAGGUAGAGGCAGAGGUAGAGGUCAUGGAAGGGGUGCUAAUGCCCCAAUCUCUGUGGAGGAACUAAUGCAUACACAGAACGAGAUGAUGCAUGCAUUCCUACAACAUCUUCAGCAACAGCCUAUAGCUCCACCACCACCACCACCUGCCUAUGUGAUGGAUAAGCGUGACGAGUUUAUGAAGGGACGACCUCCAGUGUUCAUUCAUUCUGCUGAUCCUAUGGAAGCAGAUGAUUGGUUGCGUGCUGUGGAAGGACAGUUAAACAUAGCUCAGUGCAAUGAUCUAGAGAAGGUGCUAUAUGCUUCUGGACAGCUACAGGGAGCAGCUCAAACUUGGUGGGAAUCAUACCAAGCUGCUCGUCCUGAUAAUGCUCCCGCCGUCACUUGGCAAGAAUUUUGUAGAGAUUUUAAGGCACGUCACAUCAAUGAAGGGAUGAUAGAGAUAAAGCAAGAAGAGUUUAGAUCACUCAGAAUGGGCUCUAUGACCGUUGCAGAGUAUCAUGAUUCCUUUGAGCAGCUGGCACGCUAUGCUCCGAAUGAGGUCAAGGAAGAUCUUGAUAAGCAGCGUCUAUUUAUGAAAGGCCUUUAUUAUGAUCUCAGAUUGUAGUUGGCUGGAAACACUUACCCUACUUUCCAAGCUCUGGUAAACCGUGCCAUUGUGCUGGAUGAUAUGCGCAAGAGUCAAGAUCGGAAAAGGAGAAUGCAAGGACAACGUCCGGGUAGUAAUAACCGCCAGCGUUUCGGCUCUCAACAAGUUUUCCAUCAGAGCUAUCAGGGACCAAUUAGUCAGUGGGACCAUGAUUAGUAUCCUCAGCAAUUCCAUAAUCAACAGCAGAGUGGGAAUCAACGCUUUCAUUUUCAGCAGCGUAACUCUUAUCAGUAGCAAGAUGGUCGACAGUCAUCUCAAUCAAGGAAUCUUAAUGUCACCCCUAGGAAGAACAGUGCUCCCAACACUCCUGACAGGUGUUUUCGCUGUGGAAAAGAGGGACAUAUGUCUUAUGAUUGUCCAGAGAACUUCAACCCACAGAACUCCCAAGGGCAAAAUAGCAACCAGGAGAACAACCAAGCACCCAACACUGGAAGAGUGAAUCAUGUGUCUGCAGGGACAACUAUGGAGGAACCUAAAGUUAUGAUUGGUAUAUUUGAUGUCCAUUCCACUCCUGGUACCGUUCUUUUUGAUUUUGGAGCUUCGCAUACAUUCAUUUCACAAGCUUUCAUUAGGACACAUAAUAUACCUGCUCGUGCCAUGAAAAACACUAUAACUAUAAAUUCACCAGAAGGAACUAUACUAGCUUCACAUUGUUGCUUUCCAAUUAAUUUGACUCUAAGGGGGUAGACUUUAAAGUGAGCCCCAUAGUGCUGAGGACAGCUGGAUUUGAUCUCAUACUGGGUAUAGAUUGGAUGAUGCAACAGGAUGCAAAGGUUAAGUGUGAAGGGAAGGUAAUGGAACUAACAUCACCAACCGGGGACCGACUCAAGGUUGAAGUGCAGGAACAAAGGACAGCCAUAGUGAACCAGUUGGAUGAUGAUGCUAAUCCUCAGGAUCGUGUUGUGAAUGAAUACCCAGAUGUAUUUCCAGAUGAGUUGCCGGGUAUGCCACCUGACCGUGACAUCGAGUUUGUAAUUGAAUUACUACCUGGUACUGCAUCUAUAGCUAAAAGACCAUAUAGAAUGGGGGUUAAUGAACUAGAAGAACUUAAGAAACAAAUAAAGGAAUUGCAAGAUAAAGGGUUCAUUCGUCCUAGUUCUUCACCAUGGGGUGCACCAGUUAUCUUCGUUGAUAAGAAGGAUGGUAGUCAGAGAAUGUGUGUUGAUUAUCGGUCACUUAAUGAUGUUACUAUCAAGAAUAAAUAUCCAUUGCCUAGGAUUGAUGACUUAUUUGAUCAGUUAAGAGGUGCAUGUGUGUUCUCUAAGAUUGAUCUGUGAUCUGGUUAUCAUCAGUUGAAGAUCCGCAAUUCAGAUAUACCAAAGACAGCUUUCACAACAAGGUAUGGUUUGUACGAGUAUACAGUUAUGUCUUUUGGUUUGACCAAUGCACCAGCUUACUUCAUGUACAUGAUGAAUAAAGUGUUUAUGGAGUAUCUUGAUAAGUUUGUGGUGGUAUUUAUUGGUGAUAUACUUGUAUUUUCUAAAACAAAGGAAGAACAUGCUGAACAUCUGAGAUUGGUCUUACAGAAACUCAGAGAGCAUAAGUUGUAUGCUAAGCGUAGUAAAUGUGAGUUUUGGUUGGAAGAAGUUUCUUUUCUUGGUCAUGUUGUCUCUAAUGGUGGUAUUGCAGUGGACCCUAGUAAGGUGAAAGAUGUGCUGAAGUGGAAACCACCUACAGAUGUAAGUGAAAUUCGCAGUUUCCUUGGUCUAGCUGGUUACUAUCGUAGAUUCAUUGAAGGAUUCUCAAAACUUGCAAAGCCUAUGACUGUUCUGUUAGAGAAGAAUGCUAAGUUUGUAUGGUCUGAGAAGUGUCAGGCUAGUUUUGAGGAAUUCAAGAAGAGAUUGACUACUGCACCUGUGUUGGUAUUGCCAGAUCUGAGUAAGAGUUUCUCUAUUUAUUAUGAUGCCUCUCGUCUGAGAUUGGGUUGUGUUCUUAUGCAAGAAGGAAGAGUUAUGACAUAUGCAUCUAGACAGUUGAGAAAACAUGAACGGAAUUAUCCCACUCAUGAUCUAGAAUUAGCAGCUGUGGUCCAUGCACUGAAGAUUUGGAGUCACUAUUUGAUUGGGCAUAGGAGUGACAUAUAUACUGAUCAUAAGAGUUUGAAGUAUAUCUUCACCCAGACAGAUCUGAACUUGAGGCAACGAAGAUGGUUGGAACUGAUAAAGGAUUAUGAUUUGGAGGUGCAUUAUCAUCCUGGAAAGGCGAGCGUCAUAGUUGAUGCACUUAGCAGAAAGAAAUAUGCUAAUGAGCUUCGGGCGACACCUGAAUCUGAGGAGUUGUGUGCUGAAUUUGCAUAUUUGAACUUGGGGAUUGUAGUAAAUGCUAUGGAAAUUGAGGUCACUCCUACUCUAGAGGAAGAGAUAUUGAAAGGACAGUUGAAAGAUGAGAAACUAAAGGAGAUAGCACAGAACGUGGUACUAGGCAAAGCACCAGGAUUUAGAAUAGAUGACAAUGGUGUACUAUGGUUUGGAAAAAGGAUAUGUGUUCCUGAAGUAAAGGCUAUUCGUGAUAUGAUUCUGAGAGAGGCUCAUGAGUCAGCAUAUUCCAUUCAUCCUGGUAGCACUAAGAUGUAUCUAGAUCUGAAACAGAAGUACUGGUGGUAUGGCUUAAAGAGAGAUAUGGCUGAAUAUGUUGCUAUAUGUUAUACUUGCCAGCGAGUGAAAGCUGAACAUCAGAGGCCAGCUAGACUGUUGCAACCAAUGAAGAUUCCGAACUGGAAGUGGGAAGAAGUCGGUAUGGAUUUUAUAGUGGGUUUACCACGUACACAGAGAGGGUAUGACUCAAUAUGGGUGAUAGUAGAUCGUUUGACUAAAGUCACUUCAUACCUGUUAAAACUAAGUACACCGGAGAACGUCUAGCUGAGCUGUAUAUGGAGAGAAUUGUUUGUUUGCAUGGGGUACCUAAGAAGAUUGUGUCAGAUAGGGGUACUCAGUUCACAUCUCACUUUUGGAAAGCAGUGCAUGAAUCCUUGGGAACAAAGUUGAAUUUUAGUACAACGUAUCAUCCACAGACAGAUGGACAGACUGAGAGGAUCAAUCAGAUACUGGAGGACAUGUUGAGAGCUUGUGCUUUGCAGUAUGGGACUAGUUGGGACAAGAGUUUGCCAUAUGCAGAAUUCUCCUACAACAACAGCUAUCAACAAAGUCUUAAGAUGGCACCGUUCGAGGCACUGUAUGGUCGUAAGUGCAGGACACCUUUGUUUUGGAAUCAGACAGGAGAAACUCAGGUGUUUGGUACAGAUGUGCUUAGACAUGUGGAACAACAAGUGCGGACUAUUCGGGAUAACCUGAGAGUUGCUCAGUCUCGUCAUAAAAGCUAUGCAGAUACACGUAGGAGAGAACUGGUUUUUGAAGUGGGUGAUUAUGUCUACUUGAAAGUAUCACCAAUGAGGAGUGUGAAGAGGUUUAUAUGAAGGGAAAGCUAGCUCCAAGGUAUGUGGGUCCGUUUAAUGUUUUGCAAAGGCAUGGAGAAGUAGCAUAUCAGUUAGAAUCGCCUGAAAGUUUAUCUGGGGUGCAUGAUGUGUUCCAUGUGUCACAACUUAAGAAGUGUUUGCGUGUACCUGAGGAGCAAAUACCAUUGGAAGAGCUUUCUGUUAAAGGUGAUCUCACUUAUGAAGAGUAUCCGGUUGGAGACAGCUGAGAGAGUCACCAGAAGUCGGGUCAUCAGAAUGUGCAAAGUGUAGUGGAAUCGGUAUUCAGAAGCUGAGGCAACUUGGGAAAGAGAGGAUGAUCUGAGGAAAUCAUACUCAUAUUUGUUUGAGUAAGCACUGCUCAAUCUCGAGGACGAGAUUCUUUUAAGGGGGGUAGAGUUUGUAACACCCAAAAUUUUGAUUUCAAUUAAUAGGAAUUAAUUUGAUUUAUUUAAGUAUUUUUGUGAGCAUUUGAAUCUAGCAAAUAAAUAAUUUGGUGAAAAUUAAAAUUCAUCAUAAGUUUAGAAACAUGAUUUUACAUUCAUGGUGGAGCAUAGUUAUUUUUGUACUCUUGCUCUGUUUUUAUUUUAAUUGUUUUUGUUUUAAAACUCCUUUGGAAAAAGAAUUGAAAAAGAAAAUAAAAAGAAAAGGGGGAAGAAGCCCAGCCAGCCCAGUCCCUUUUUCCCCCCGCAGCCAGUGCUUUCCCCUCCCCUGGCCAGUUUUUCUUUUCCCCCGCAUCGCGCAAAGGCCCACGGUGUGGCCCAGUGCUCCCCGCAGCCCAGCCUGCUUCCAGCCACCGGGCCAAGGCCCAAACCGUGCGCAGCUCCCUCCUCCCCCUUUUAGUCUCUGGCACCGGGGUCCCACGUGUCGGCGCCCUCCUCCGUCUUCCUCGCGUCGAUAUCAAACCGGACACCGUCGAAGGCAAGAACGCCCACCCCGAUUUCCAGGAUUUCUUUCACCUGAGCGUUAACCGAGUCCUUUUAAGCCCUGUGCUCACCCUUGUAAACCCCUUUUUCCCAUCUGCACGGUCUAGCCAAGCCCUAGCCGUCCCGACGCGGUUUCUCAGAUCUCGCCGAACUCCAAAAUCGAGCCGCCACCUCGCACGCCAUCUCCGCUGUCUCUCGGACCCAACCAAGCGCAUAAACGGGAUCGCGGUGAGCUCCUCCUCCGCCUGGUGCUUUCUCUUUGUCCCCUAGCGCUUGAAGUCGCAAGAUCCGCUAACUCCGGCGAGCUCCGGGGUGGCAUCCAAGGCGUCCGCCGUGGAGCUCGCCACCGGCCGGCCGCUUCCUCCCCUGAGCGAGUCUCAGCCGUAGAUCGUGAAAUCAAGCGCUUGGAUUAGAAGAUACCCCUUCGGGGUAACUUUUGCUAAAGAGCCCCUAGGCAAUUCCAUAUUAGAACCCGCCGUUCAAAGCGCUUUCCCGAUUUUACGCCUUUUAUUUUGGAAAACGUAUUCUUCAUCGGUUUGAAUUGGAAUACGCUUUCUACUAUUUACAAGUUUGCCACUGAUUUUAUAAUGCUCAUAAAAUAUUCAUUUUAAAUCCGAUUUGGUCCAUUCAAAUUGCGUUAGGUUCGUAUUUUCAAGCUCUAUAUGUUAGAGGAAUUAUUUUUCUGUUUUGAAACUUUUUAUUUUCGCAGUAGCAUUUAAUUAAUUAUUUAUCUAUAGGAAAUCUUAGAAAAUUCAUAACUUCCACGUUUUAAUUCCGAUUUUCGUGAACUUUACGUUUGUGUGAUCGUAGCGCUGCGUAGAAUAUUUUUAUAAACUUUUAUAUUUGAUUUACCACUGGUUGGUGUAAUGUUCUAAUUAUAGCUUGUUUGCUUUGUGUAUGAUUGUCUACAUUGGAUUGCGUGUUGUUGAUUGAUGUUUGGGAAUAGACGGUGAGCCGUACGUUGGUGACCAAGACCCAGGCUUUUGACGACCAGCAGCAGGCUCAGGAGAGCUUUGAUCAAGGCAAGUAUAACUUGGGACUAUCCUUGUUACCUAUACACAAUCAGUAUAACAUUUAUCAUAUGCAUGUGUCCACCUUGAUGACCUUAGCAAAAUCAUAGAUGAUUGUUAUCCUGAAUUUCUUGUUACCUACUUGAUAUGCAUUUGAAGUAGUUAUGCUAGUGCUUGAAGUAAUCCAUGAUCUUGUAAGAUGAUUAAUAGCUAUGCAAUGAACGUAAAAGGAUGACAAAUAACUAUAUGAUAUCUUGUCUGUACGUGAUCACCCGGGACAACAGUUCAACCAUGAGGGCUAUAUGGCUCUGGCUUUAGCUCAGUAUGAGAACCUUUUUCUAGCUUGUUAGCAGUUACCUUAAAUGGCGUAAGAAUGGCUAGACACGUUGGGUAUAGUGUGGCCUCUGUCCGUGUGUAUAGGCUGCGGGUUAUGUGCCAUGGAAGGGGGGCUCUAUAUGUGCCUGCCGAGUGAAUCUAAUGGCCCUAACUUGUUAGACGAAACCUUUGAAAGGCUUCAUAGUGAUCCCUGCCGACCUCUCUUGGAAGGGGGUUAAGAGAUUAGCUACCUCGGGCGAAAGGGUAAAUCAUGACUCAUGGGUAAAGAUGUACAACCUCUGCAGAGUGUUAAAAACUAGUAUACUAGCCGAGCUCACGGUCAGGAGCGGCCUUGGGGACAUCUACAUUAAGAUGAUGAGCUUGUUAUGUUAUUAUGUUCAUUUGAUUAUCGUUUAUGCUAAGAUUUAAUUAUGCUUACAUUUGAUCAUGUGAUUAUCGGAUUAUUUAUGCUACCUUGAUAUUUGCUAUAUAAUUAAGAACAUGCUAUCCACUAUUAAAAGCUAAAUGCAGUCAAACCAAUGUCAACUUUUUGAUCCUCAUGAACCCCUGGUUAUACUUGUUGAGUAUGAUAUGUGCUCACUCUUGCAAUCUCCCAACACCCCAGGUUAUGCUAAUGAUGAUGAUUGGAAUGAGGACUAUCGCUAUGAGUAUUAGGUUUGAAGUCAACCAGUCAAUGUUUGUCCCUGUGUGGAGCUUCCGUCGAGAGCGUUGUUUACUUUAUGCUAUCAUUUUUGUAUGAGACUAUGUGAUUUGUUAUUGUUCCGCUAUGUAAUAAACACUGCAAUGGUACAUUUGAGAUUUGUCUAUUUAUGUGUGCGACUGUUUAUGGGGCACAUAUGAGUCUUUUAUGCAUCCUAUUUUGUUCUUAAAAUAUGGGUGUGACAGUCCUUAGACCUGAGAUUGUCGUAUGUUCUCAAGAUGUGAAACGACCUACUUAGGAACUAUUAAACGCUAGUCCGUAACAUGGUAGUUAUAAAGGUGGUCUUUGAGUUUGUCAAGAAACAUGCUGUGAGACAUAGAUAAUCAAGAUGAAACCUACCCCUCUCUAUGUGAGAGAGAUAUCACCAGAUCACUCAAGUGAUUGGAUCAACAAAUGUAUGGUCGUGCUUGGGUUAAGUGUUAAUCCACGAGUUGAACAAAAUAUCGUGUGGCAAGGGAAUAACAUGCAUGUGUUUGUAGGGGUUCGUCUGAUAUGAUCUUUGCGCGUGUAUAAGAGUUAUCACGCCUUGCUAGAGGCCACUGUCAACUAUUGGACGAGAAGGAGUACUCAGCCCAUGUCUAUAUGUACGUGAGCCCAUAGGGUCGCAGGCUUAAGGGGCCAGAAGCCUAAUUCAGGUUGGACCCGAAUUAGACAAGGCUUAGGGUUUUCUAAUUGGGCCUCCAGCUCAGGACUGAUUAGGGGACGCCUAUAUAAGAGAGGGAGGGGGCCCGAUCAGGGUUAACUCAUGCCAUUAGGCAGCUGCCGCCGCUCACCCACGCUCACGCCUAUUGCUCCUCGCGGACCUAGCAGUCUGGAGGUGCGAUGCUUCUUCCCCGCAUGUGGGAGAUACCUCGGAGGUGUUGCAUCUAGAGCACAAGGACGAACUGCACGAGAGGGAUUGAUGUGGUGGACGACCAGACAACUGCACGACACUGCUACUAUGCGCACGACUACAUCAAGUCGCUUCCGCUGCACUUACGCGUCUAGUGGUAUUCCCGUGAUCUAUAACUAGCAGUUGAUCCUAUUUUAUAAGGUCAAAAUUUUUGUUUCCUGGCAAGCAUAGCGUCUUCAUAAUCCUUCAUUCAAUUGCUUAUGCAUUCCAUUUUGGUCCAAUAUAUGUUCACUCUACAUUCCUAUUUCCUUUUCAUGAAUCCACAAUGUCAUUGCCCACUUGUGGUUCACUCUCUUUAUGAACUGUAAGAGAAAAAUCAUUAGUUUUUGGUGGCUAUUUUAGUUUGAUUGUAUCUUCUAAGGAAUGAUCAUGAGCAACCAUCAUAGGUUCUGUUUUUAUCUCUUUUUAGUCUCUUGAAGGAUAUUCCCCAUACUAGAAUAAUGCUGUGAAAUGUUCCCAGUGUUGUGAGGAAACAAUUUACUAUGCCGAGCCCACGCCUUUCUAAGUUCUUUAAUACCACCAUAGAGGUCAACAAACUGUGAGCAGGAAAACAAAUGAGGCAUGCAUAUAUAGUAUAUAGGAGACAAUGUAUUUUAGGGUGCAUUUGAUAUAGGGUAAAAUGGGUGGCCUAAGCUCCCCAACUGCAACUGGGCCUGUUUGAUUUUUUGGCCCAGUUUGCGGCCUAGCUUCGUAGCUGCAAAACACACUCCCUCUCCUAUCUCCUAGGGAAUGCUCCUAGGGUUCAUUUUUUGGGAGCCAGGCUUUCUCCAUCCUCAUGCCAGACCCUAAAACUUCCUCCUGCGCUCCACCUCAGCAAAACCCAUUGCCUAUAUAUGGCGCCCUCCUCCCUUGCUGCCUUCUUCUACUUCCUUGUUCCCCGUCUUUUCCACUGUGCACGUUGAGUGACCGGAGGAGUUGGUGCGGUGGUGGUGUGACGUGGUGGGCUUCAUCUCUGAGCUUCUUCUCAAUUAGCGAGGACCAGAUCCGGUUGGCGACGAAGCUGGUGGUACUCUUGCCGGGCUCCAUACAAGCGGUCAUCUUCCCCCUUCAUCUUCUUCCUCCUUCGUUGGUGUGAAUGCUAUCGGUGUGGUGGAUCUGUGUCGCAUGGACUUGACCUACUACUGCUUGUUUGUGACUUCGUCGACUCCCUCGAGGUGAAAUCCCCCCAAAUCCCCUCUGAUUUGAUUAUAGGGUUUACUGUUUGGUCGUUCUGCUUUAGGAUUUGAUGUGUCAGGUUACUUGUUAGGGUACAUGAUGCUUGUAGUGAUCAUAAUAUUAUUUUGUUAUUAUGUUGCCUGAUGAUUUUUUCUAUCUUUUUGCUGAAUUGUUCACUAUUUGAUGGUCAAUGAUGAAAAUGUCCACUUUAUGAUGCAAUAUUGUUGCUUAAAUGGUCGAUGCUGAUUCUGUCCAUUGCACUGGAUGCAUUUUGUUUAUGCAACCAUGCUCCUUUUUAACUGAAUGUCUGCACUAUAUGUAGAGGCCAGCUAGGGUCUACUUAGUCUGAGUGUUGUCUUUGAAUGUGGAAUGCAUGUAGAUGGAACCUUCUAGGAACUGAGAAAUGAUAGCCAGGCAAGCAACUUCCUUGGUUGUGGUUAUGCUUUCCUUUGUGAUGAUUGGACUUGAGCAUGUCCCUUAUGGUCCUAGGUCUUUAGCACAAUAACAUAUGCAAUCUACCCUCCAAAUGAUCUAUAACAACAAUGAUGCUGAGUGUUCAGCUAUGUUGCGUAUGACCAAAGCUCCUUUUCUUGCACUGUGCAAGCACUUUAGAGAUAGAGCCCUAAUUAAAAAAACAAGUGGCUGCCCUAUUGAGGAACAAGUUGCAAUGUUUCUGCAUGUUGUUGGUCACAAUCAGAGGUUCAGGGUGGUCCACUAGUCAUUUAGAAGGUCCAUUGAGACAGUGAGUAGAGUCUUCCACCAAGUGAUCUAUGCUAUGGGUGAGCUUAGGAAUGAAAUGAUAAAACCUCCAAGCACUGCCACUGUUGGUAUUUGUAAUACACAUAGAAUAAUCAUAGAGAAUGAUCCACAAGCAUAUGGAUACCAUUAUAGCUUUCACUCAGAGGUUUUAAAUAUCAUAUCCACAGGGAACCAUGUAAAACUAACUAUGAUCUAACUCAACAAAAGGAGUGAUAACUAGAUGGAGGUGGAUGAUAACUAAGAAUAGCAACAAGAUUAGGAUAAAUAGGAGCAUAGAGAGGAUAACUAUGGGUCCUCUACUUCCAACUUGGGUAAACUAUGCUUUCUAUUGUCCAACUUCAGCGGAUGUCUUAUAAAGAACAAAUGGAAUUUCUCCUCUACAUGCACUAAUAAACCUAUCAAAUUGUAUUAAUUAGAUGGUGGGCUAUAGAGGACUCAAUAGGUCUGUCGCACCCACGAUCUACCACCAAAAUUCAAAAAAUAGGGUAAUUUUAUGAUUAACCUAAGCCCAAGCACCAUGCCUACACUUAAGAUUAAUUCUCUACUCCCUCCAGUGCAAGAAUAAAGCACUCAAAAGAGUCACAAAUAAUUGAACAAUAUAAGCAAAGUAACUUUUAUCAAAACUUGAUUACCAGAGAAAUCUCGAAGACAAGCUCAAGUAGAACUUGGAUCCGCUAAAGUACAAGCCGUAGAGGGAGUACCGAUAGGCCGACACCUCCUUCAAACUCUUCCCUCACUCUCUAUCUCUCUAUUUCUAUUCGUAAGACUUGAUCUUAUGGAGAUCUAAUCUUCUCUUGAUGGCUAGCUCUAGUAGGUAGAUCCAUUCAUGGGACCCCUCUCUUGAUCCUAGCAGAAGUUAGGGUUUUGGGACAACUAUAGAGUGGAGGGGGGCAGGGGUCUCCUUAUAUAGCUUGGUGGGAUGAACGUGAGCCCUUGGCUCAAACCAACUUGAAGGACGGCGUAGAUGCAAUCUAAGAAGGUGAUGAAGGAAGCUUCUAGAAGUAGGAGGUGAGGCGGCUUAGUGGUAGGCCAGCCAGCUAUAGGCCUAGGUUGGCUAGCCCACUUUCGUGGCCAAAUGGGCCCAUCUUUGCUAGUUUGCCUUCUAGUGCCUUCUAGAGCCUUCCCACAUAAUUUUCCUACUGGAAUUUUGUCAUUUCUUUGACAAUUAGAUCCCUCUUGGUGGUUUCCUGGAUAAAUCUUGUAGAUAUCAUAGAUUUACCAAAACUCUUGCAAUUUAUUAGUUUAAACCCUAAAUAUUUAUUGGUGAUCUCAAAUAUGUCCCUAUGCAUGUUUAUUUAACUAUAAAAUGUUGACGUUAACUACCACCAGCAAGCUCCUCCAAGCUUAACCUUUGCUAGUCUUUUAGCAAAACUUAACUUUAGCAAUGGAUCAGGAGUUUUAAGACCUUUGAAAACAUUGUAGCAACUCCUCAAAAUUACACAUGCUUCCAAACAAAAUUCUCCUCUAGAUUAGAAUAAAUUGAUCUAACCUUCAAACUUACCCAUAUUACGUUUAACUAUGGGGCUUCUUAGCCUUCACUUGGGUCUUGAGCAAGUGAAAGAUAGAAUAAUCAAGUUAGCACUAUGUCUCAAGCUCUUUGUUUCACCAUUGUUCCAGAGUUUUUGUAAGUUUUUAAAAAUAAAACUUGGAGGUUCUAUUGUAUGACACUCUCAAGGCUCUUAAUAUUUGUGGUAUUUAUGGAUCCUCGCCAAGCCAAUAAAGAUGUUAUGCCUUUUCUCUUCCUACUAAUGUAUUUAUGGAUCCUCACCAAGUCAAUAAAGAUUUUGAAACACAUGUUGUUUGUCCAGAGCUUUAUUGUAUUCCUUCUAUGCUAAUGAAAAGAUGGUGUUGAGAUUAUUUUAGAAUAGAUUUUAUUUAUCAUGUUCUAUACAUGCAUGGCUCAAGGUAAAUAGUAACUUGCAGCAAAAGUAAAGUGAAUGAACAUUGAUCCCCCAAGGCUAUAUAAUCAAACUCUUUGCCUCCUUCAUGGAGCAAUCCCAAAACCUAAUUCAUAUUCCUUUGUUAGGAUCAAGAGAGGGGGUCCUAUGAAUGGAUCUACCUCCUAGAGCUAGGCAUCAAGAGAAGAUUAGAUAUCCAUAGGAUCUAGUCUUAUGAAUAGAAAUAGAGAGAUAGAGAGUGAGUGAAGAGUUUGGAGGAGGUGUCUGCAUGUCACUACUAUCUCUACAGCUUGUACUUCGGCGGAUCCAAGUUCUACAUGAGCUUGUCUUUGAGAUUUCUCUAGUAAUCAACUUUUGAUCUAAGUUUACUUUGUUUAUAUUGUUCAAUUGUUUGUGACCCUUUUGAGUGAUUUAUUCUAGCAACUAGAGGGAGUGGAGUAUUAAUCUUAAGUGUAGGUUUGGUGCUUGGGCUUAGGUUUAUCGUAAAAGUCCCCUAUUGUUGAUGGUAGAUAAGUACUCUUUUUAACCAUCAACAUAGCAUGAGAAAGGACUAAAAUUAGAAUACCAUCUAGCUAUAGGGGUUAUUACUAAUGGAAUUCCAUAAGUUUUGGUGAUUAUCUAUUUCUGCAGGGGUUAUCGGAAUAAUAACAAAAGCAGGUCCACCUGUCAGAUUUACAUAGAGAGAAGACCUGAACGUCAACUCUAGAACAAUCUAGAAGACUCAGGAAGACAUGCCCUGAAAGCUAGGGCCCACCUGCCAUAGGGCAAGGGCGGGCGCCUAGGGGGACAGGGGUGACCGCCUAGGGGUAGAAGCCAAUCAGCUUCCACCUUGUGGAUCCUGCCUCCACCGACUUUGAGGAUUAACCUUAAGCACACGUUUAAGUCGGUUUGAUCCAAGGGCUAUGGUUCCUCCUAGGGGGUGGAAAGAUUAGUACCACAUCACUAGUUCAAGGAAGAGGAGGGGUCAGAUGCCCCUAUAAAUACAAGCCUAACCCCCUGGAGGAGAAUCAUUAUGAGUUGUAGAGGCGCCCCUCGAAUGGAUGACCUCUCUUCUCUAGAGAAUUAGGGCUAGACAUUCCAAUAUAGUAGAGUAGUUCUAGUCGGGAGUUAGGGAGAGCGGAGUUAUGCUUCGGUUCUGCAGAAGUCUUUAGCGUUUUGGUAUGUUUUCAUAUCUCUUCUUUGUAAGACUUAUGCUUUAAUAUAUUAUCUUCUCUAUUUACUUUAUGCCUAUUUAUGAUUAGUGUAGUUGUUAUAUCUUGGUAUGGGAUCUCCGCUCAUAUUGAGUGCUCUUGUUAUUCAAUGUAACUAGAGUAGUAAAUGCUAGUGUAGACGUGGUGUCUAGGCUAUAGUUUACCUGAGUUUGCACCCAAUCCCACAGAUAGUUGUGGUAGCCCCAGGGGUGACAACCCUGUCUUUGUAAUCCACCACAUUCGGGUUGGUGUUUCGUAGAGCUUUUGGCAGCCUGUUGACGGUUCUUAAGUAUCAAUUUUAAUUAUCAAAUAAACAUAAGAAAGGACCAAUAUGCAACCAACACCUAGAAUUAGGGUUUGAUCUCACAGAAUUCCACGAGUUUUGUUGUUUAUCUGUUUCUACAGGGGGUUAUCAGGAAAUAAGGAAGAAAGGCCCACAUGUCGGGAUUACAUAGAGAUAUCAACGCACCGUGCGAUUUUACACCAUCUAGAAGACUCCAGAAGCCACGGGAAGAAGACGGAGGCCGAAAGGGGCCAGGCCCAGGGCGCCCACCCUGGUGAUCUGGGCGCCCGCCUCCUGCUGGAUUCGAUUCAGGACUCUCUUCGCUCGGGAUGUUCCACCGACCUAUUGGAUCAAGGAAAACAUAGUACCACCUCGCCUAUCGACCCAAAAACGCAUAGAAGGGGGGGACUAUAUAAGGAGACCCUCCUGGCCCCUGGAGAGGACAUGAAGAAAUUAUCAUAGAGACUGAGGGGUGCCCUCGAAGGAAAACCUCUUCUCUAAUUAAUAUUUCUUUUUAGGCUUAGCAACCAAUGUAAGGUAGAAAUAGAUCUUCUAGUUUCUACUAGAUUGAGAGAGAUAGAGUGGAGGUGUAGAUUGGAGGAAGCCCGGCCUGUCGGUGUCUACUCCAAGCUUGUACCUGCGGGAUCAAGUUCUCCUAACCCGAAGCUUGCUCCUAGGAUUCUUCAGUAUUUCGACUUCUAAAUUCUAGUAAGUUCUUGUUUUAUUGUUCUUAUGGUUUAUGAGUUUACUUUAAUCUCAGUAAUCAUUGCUGGCGUAAACGUGGUGUUUAGGCUGGGGUACUCAUAGAUAUUCCCUGACUAGCUGGACCGUGGUAGUAGUGAGGAACGUGACAAUUCCGAGUUACCUUUGUAGAUCACAUCUCGUUAGCAGGAAGGAUAGGGUUUAUAGGUGCGGGUUGAACAUCCUUUGUGGUGUCUAGAUUCCGUUAGCCUCCCCAUUAGAACAGUAGAUCAUCCUUACCAAGGUUAGAAGGAGACUACGGUUGCAGUGUUCUCUAUUUAUCACUCACAUCGAAAGACAUUCUUUGUGCCUAAAGGUUAUUAGUAAUAGACCGGUUAGUCAGAUGCACUCUUUCUCCUAGUGGUAAAAAAAUAAAUACGAUACUCUGGAUAAUUUCCCGGGUGAAGUGCUCACCGAUAUCCGUGCGCUUGCGGAUCAAUUCAUUAUUGCGUUUCCAAAUAUCAACAAGCAUUUCUGGCGCCGUUGCCGGGGAGAAAGACGGUUGCUGAGAUAAUAUAACACCCUAAAAUUUCUAUUUCGGGUUGUUAAUAGAAAACAAUAAAUAAAAUGAAGGUUUUAAAUAUAUUGAUAAAAAUUUUCCAAUAAUAGUUUAGAUAUAUGGUUAUCAAAGAAAAAUGAUGCUUUUCAAAUAUUGUGGAAUUAAUUAGACGAGCUUUAGUUGAUGUGAAGCUUGCUUGUUGCUUGAGUUAGUUGUUUUUGUAUGUGCUAAGUUUCAAAAAUGCGUUUAGACGUUGAGAGAUCCUUCCGAGAAAUUUUCUAGACUUUUUCGGGCUUUUUCUCAUUUUUCCUAGAGCAAAAUCUAAUUUUUAGACGCUCUAAAAUACUUUUUCAUGGGCUCCAAAAACUUUAUUUGGAUUCAAAAUCUCCCAAUCUAUCGCUACAAAUUUUUCUUGGAUUUUUUGGAAUUUUAAAAAUAUUUUUCAGAGAUUUAAAAUGAUUUCAACUUUUUCUGGAAUUAUUUUUUUAAACUGAAAAUGACUUUAUAAAAUCCCGAAAUUAAGAAAUUUCGAAAAGUCUCCAAACCCUAGACCUAUAUAUAUGCCGGUGUUCCUCUCGUCACGCUGAUCGCAGAUCUAAAAACGUCAUCCCGAGCCGCCACCUGUAGCUCCCUCCAUCCCUCGCCGAAGUUCGCAAAAGCUAGGUUUCCGGCGAACUCUUCGAUGAGCUUUUCUGGCAAAACCAUCGCGUUCCGGUAUCAACUAGUACCACCAAGAGGUAGCCCCUCGUCGUUCUCUUUGCCGAGGUAUACUUGUUUAUACAAAUCCAUUACCGUUUGACGUGUUUCCCAUCUCAUCUUCUUUAUCUCCGGCGAGGUUCCACCAUGGCUGAACUUUCUUUUUUCUUCUUCCGGCCAACCUCGCUGUCCUUUCUCCUCCAGGCCCGCGGUGCCCACCCACACGAUCUCACCUCGCCCAGCGCCCUUCCUCGGCCUCCCCUUAGUGUGCGCCUGCAGCAUGGGCAGUAGCGCCGCCGGCAUUUUUGCCAUGGCCGACGACCACUUUUGGGGAGCUGAGCACCUCACCCCGGCCCCACGCGUGGGACCGCGCCGCGCCCUUGCUAUCCGGCCGAGCCGCUCAGGCUCCUGUCCGAGGCCCCUCCCCUGCGUGCGAGCUGCAGCUGCAACAAAUUUUUCUCCAUGGCCAGAACACGUUCGAGAGGAUGCAGAUGACCCAAGGUACAAGAUGCACUUAUUUACAGUUUUGCCAUCCAACGAGUUUAGUUAUAUUUUGCACGUUUUAAGUCUGUUUCACCCUCAUUCAGUUGCGUUAGUUUUGUAACAUGGUAUUCUAUGGAGUAGUGCUAACCCUUAUCAUGUCACUCAAUUAUAGAUUUAUUAAUUUAAAUACAAUUUGUUUAAUAUUUAUUUAAUAACAUUCUAAUUAAAAGCCACCUAGAGUUGCAAUUUGGUUCUUGUUGUAUUGCGAUCAUGUCGGUGUAAACUACAUAUUAGAGACGCUGUUUUCUAUGUCUUUUUGAAUAUGCUUAAUUUGUUUAAUUUUUAUUAAGAGCCCUUUUUAAUUAAUUAAAAACAUUUAGGGUUUACACUCCAAUCUUUUUAUAAUCAAAUAUUAACUUGAUUAAUAUUAACUUAAAUGUUUCUUAAUUAUAGUUUAUUUAGUUAAAAAUGAACCAUGUAAUUAAUUUGUUUAAUAUUUAACUAUUGUUCUUUGAAAUUAAAAGCAAUAAAGGUUUAUAUACCGGUCUUUCAUAAAUUAAUUAUAAUAUGAUUAAUGUCAACAUUAAUAUCUUUUCAAUAAUGACCUCGUUAGAUCAACUUCAAUGCAUAUAAUGAUUCGAUUAGUCGCUCUCACAUGUUCUAUAUUUUUUGAAAACUAUAAAUAUUUAUAUGGCUUAAAUGGUAUAUAAUUGUUUAUAAUUAGAAUAUGACUAAAGUUUAACCUCAACUCUUAUAAUUCUUUAUAAUUUGGUCAAUUCAACUUUGAGUUAUUUCUUUGAAAAGUCUAUCACCUUCUUUUAUUAAAUAAAAUACGACCAGCGUAUAGUCGUCUUCUCCGUUACUCUUCGAACCUCGAAAGUCGUGUCCGUUUAACGAUAGCCCCGUUCUCAAUCGUUCUUGCGUUGUCUCGAUCGUAGCAACAAGUCGUGUCGUUUAGUGCGCUCUUUCUAAGCUUUUCUUUGAUUGUCGUUUAUUCUUAGUCGUGAUUGCUGUUUGUCUGUUUGUGUUGCUUGGUUGCUACGAGUAGAAGAAGCGUGGUUCGUCAACAGUGAAGAUCAGGAGCUGAGGACCGACAGUCGAAGCAGAAGAUAGAUAUCAGAGGAUAGAAGCCAAAGAAUUCUGAGCAGUUAUACACUGGGAAUAAAGGCAAGUGCACCCUUUGAUCAUAUUGUACCUAUGAACUUUAAAUACAUUUACUUUCCAUUGCAUGUGUCUUAAUACUGCAAACCAUAAGGACCUGACUAGUCUUCUACUAUAUUCCUUGUACUCCUGGGUUUUAUACAUGGGUAGUAUAGUGAACAAUAGAUAUGCUUAGCUGCUUUGCUCAUCUAUUCCAUAUAAUAAAUGAAAGUAAAUAAUCUUGCCUACUGAAUUCUUCAAUGAUGAUUAAUGAUUAAAUGGUGAACAAUGGUCACUUCGGUGAUGGAGAUGUUGCGGUGCUUGCGAGCAUCGUGUUUUGGUUGAGGACAGGGGGAGCGGGUACUGUUGGUGGUCCGGUUUGCCGGGCGUACCCGUCUCUGCUCUCCGUAAGGACUUAGUCAGGGAGCGGCCCCCUGGGACUUACAGUGCAGCUCCAAGCUAUAUGGCUCUGGCUUGACUAAUUAGCAGGACCUCCACUAGUAGGGUGUUACUUUCCGGGUAGGCAUGAGGAAGUAACUUGGGUAAUGAAUAUUAAGUUGUCGGUUGAUCGGUACGCCAUGGCUAUGGGUAUCGACUGCCGAGCGCCCCGGCAAAAACUCGCGAGUGGCAUCCUAUUAGUUGGACCCUGUGAAAGGUCUCGUAGUGAGACCCUGCCUGCUCACCUUGGUAGUGUUUUGGGGAGUCGCGACCCCGGGCAAACGGGAAUCACGACUUGGAGUGAACGUGCACACCUCUGCAGAGUGUAAAACUGAUAUAUCAGCCGUGCUCACGGUCACGAGCGGCCCAGACCCUCACUUGAUGAGCAAAUUGGAUUCAUUGGAUACUUGGAGAUGGAACUUGGCGAGGUUGCUACCUCGUGUUUUGGCGGAAUGGCUAUUCCGUAUUGGUAGGAUUGCUAUCCUGUGUUAAUAAUUGGGGUUAAUCCCUGGACUACUACAAUUAUUAGAAUAGUCUCUUAAAAGAUGCUAAUUAUUACUUACACUAAUUAAGGGUUGGGUUUAUGCUACUCAUACUUAGUAAUAGGUUGUUCUAAUAAUAGUCUUAAUUAAAAGUGAUCAACUAAAAUGCUACCGCAGUCAAACCAAGUCAGCUUUACCUUGUUUUAAGUCUUGCAUGUCAUUAUUUUUCCGUCUGUGCUUGCUGAGUUCGACAUGAACUCACCCUUGCUACUUUCCCCCACACCCCAGUGUGUAGUAAAGUGCUGCUCAGAAGAAGGAUAAAGAUGUCAUGAAGUUUUCUAGAAGUAUAUGAAAAGUGCUUGGCGUACGGAGCCCCCAGUCAACCGUCCCUGAGAAGAAUGGAGCCUAAGAAGUUUUAGCUACUGUUUCCGCGUACUUUGAUGUUUGUAAGUGUUGUUAUAAAUAUGUUUUCCGCUAUAUAUAACAUUGUUUCUGAUAUUUCUAUUCUUUUGUUAUAUGUGUGGACUUCCUAGGCACACAUAUGACGACUCUGGUUUUCUUUUAAAAGCCAGGGUGUGACAGAUAACCUGAGUCUUACUAUUAGCUUGUAUCUAUACUUUUAUCUUUUCUUAUCUUUUACAUUCUUUAUUUAUUUUCUUUAUUCUUACCUUAUGGAAAACCAAAAUUCUAAAUCGAUCCAUGAGUCUGCAAUCCCUUUAGCAACUGACCUUUUACCAUGGGAAUCAUCACAGCCUAUCCAAACAUCCCAGUAUAAGUUAAGUUCUAGGUUGAUUGCCAUGAUUCAAAACCUAUCUUUUUUGGGAAAGGAAGACGAAAACUCUUACCUUCACAUUAGAGAUUUUGAGCAAACAUGUGAUUGUCUUCGCAUUGAAGGCAUUUCUGAUAAGACUUUACGUUGGAAGCUUUUUCCUUUUUCUCUAAGAGGAGAAGCUAGACAAUGGUACAGUUAGAAGGUAAGUCAACAACAAGGUGAAUGGGGAGUUUUACAAGCCAACUUUUGUCUAGAUUUCUAUUCCCUUGACCGUAUAGCCGACCUUAGACUCGAAGUCCUAUCUUUUAAACAAAAAGAUAAUGAAACUUUGGGAAAAUCCUGGAAACGUUUUUCUGAUCUUUUAGAAUCUGACCCAAACCUUAAUCUUGAAGACCCUGUUCUCUUAUUUCACUUUUUUCGAGGUCUUUAGAAAAAUCACAAACAAAUGCUUCACACAAUGUCUAGAGGUUCUUUCUUUCGCAUCCCUGCUGAUGAAGCUAGAGUGAUCCUAGAUAGAAUCCUAGAAGCUGAGAUGGAUAAUACCCUUCAUGAUGAAACCUACGAAGCCGAAGUAGACACUCUGCCAAAUUCUUCAUCUACUUUAGCUAUCCCAAGUUCUGAGCCACAAGAGGAAGAAAUUCCACUACCGGACUUCAUGCUGGAUAUAGAAUCCGAUCUUUUUGCCGAUUUUGGAAAUAUUUCAAACUACCAUUCUAUUGACAAACCCCAAAACGACCAGUUUAGCAUUUAUUUACCAAGUGAAUAUCAAUUGAGAGAGCUUAUCUCAGUAAUGAGUAGCGAAUGGUUGGAGGAAUCAGAGCUUUCCUCUGAUGUGAUCCGUUUGGACACACCCUCUAUAACUAUACGCUGUGCUUAUAAUUCUGAUCGAUUUAAUGCUCUUUAUAAUCUUGUUGUGGGGAUCAACAUCAUGUCUGAAUCUUUUGCACUUAAACUAUUUAAAAAUCUUGUCUUAACCCCCACAACAAAGGUCAUGAAGGAAUCUUCGGGACGAUUAGUCCCCAGUCUUGGAAUUAUUAAUGUCCUACCUCUUACGGUAGAAGGCUCCAUGGUUCAUUUGAACUUCUAUAUCUUUGAUACAUGGGACUUCGACCUGUUGAUAGGACAACCUUUUAGAAGACUCCUUUAUGAAGGUCAUACUGGAAAGCUACACAUUUCUUUUGGAAAAACUUUUAAAUUCCCAAUAAUAAUUUCACACUCCUUAAACAAUAAGACCGAGUCAUAUCUUUUGCCUGAUCCUCUGGAGGAAGUAAAGGCUGCAUCUCUUCAGCUUUUAGAUGAACCAGACUUAGAAGAUGAAACUCCUUUCUUCACAGAAGAAGAAGACGAACCUUCCGAGCCUGAACCCUUAGAUGAGUUUGCAGAAACACCUAGACCCCCCAUAGAGCUUAAAACUUUACGACCCGGUGUCGACGAAAGCUGGUCGGCAGUCUACCUUGGGGUAUACCCACGGUAGUAGUUUAUCGGUAGACGGUGCGCAAACUACAAACUCGAUGGUGACGCAAGACUCGGACAAGCUUUUUAUCCAGGUUCGGCCGCCGAGUUGGCGUAAUACCUACGUCCUGCGUCUGGUUGUAUUGAUUUGUGUUGAGAGAAUCGUAUGUGAUAUGUCCCCUAGGGGACCCCUGCCCCUCCUUAUAUAUCGUGAAGGGACAGAGUUACAAGCAAAGUAUCCUAUUUGGUACAAUAUCUUGUAGCCUUGCGGUGCACGCCGACCAGCCGCGCGCCGUCUUCAUCCUGUGGGCCGAGCCACCUCUGAUGGUGCGGCCCAUAUAGGCCCAUGAGGGUAUAGGGGUUUAUACCCCCACAGCUAGUCCCCGAGCACCAUGUAUUGUGAUGUAACACGCCGUCUUGAGCUUCUUCGAUCAGUGAGGCUUGACGUCUUCAAUAAGCAGGAAAGUCGCCCAAACAGUUGCAACGGUAUUUUGACCAACUCAAAAGACAGUUGAUCAACAUUGACAUCGAAGAAGCAGGUUGUUCGAAGAAUGCAUGGUGCUCUUAAUUAAAAAAGAUUUCUUUCCUGGUGAAGUGUGCCCACUUUACUUUUCUGAAAAGUAUAGUCUUUCAAAAAGCAAGCAUAUUCACCACAAGGUGAAGUGUGCCAACUUAGUCCCCGAGCCUGGUAGUAGGUGACGUAGACACGUGGUGCCAGAGUCAAAAGAAAAGUUCUUAAAGAAAUUCUGAAACUGAGAUGCAUCGCCAGAUGCAUCGUACCGAUGUAGUCCCCGAGCUUGCUGGAAGGCGAAGUAUGAGCCUUGUAGCAAGGUCUAAAAAGUUGAAUUUACCAGUCCGUCUGCAAUUGAAUAGACUAAUCGACCAGUCCCCGAGCAUAUAACGCUCGGUGGUCGGUACAGUCCCCGAAUUCUCAAAUUGGUGGGCUGGUCGACCAGUCCCCGAGCGUAUAGUGCUCGGUGGUCGGUACAGUCCCUGAAUUCUCAAAUUGGUAAGCUGGUCGAACAGUCCCCGAGCGUAUAGUGCUCGGUGGUCGGCACAGUCCCCGAGCACGGCGUAGGGACCAGUGGACAAGUCCCCGAGCGUGGUUGGGAACGUAAACGUGCUCGGUGGUCGGCACAGUCUUCGAGCACAGCAUAGAGAGUAGUCGACAAGUCCCCGAGUGUGGUUGGGAACGUUAACGUGCUCGGUGGUCGGAGCAGUCCCCGGGCACAGCGUAGGGAAUAGUCGACGAGUCUCCAAGCGUAGCUUGUCGACUGGGCCAAACUCCUGAAAAAUAAAUAUAAAGAAUUGGUAGUACAUGAUGUAUAAAUAACCUUUAGAUAAAAAAUCAGUACUAAGAUAAGUUUUAGAUUUUUUGUUAUAAAAUUAGCACGAGUAGUUAAUUCAUCCUAGAGCUUGUACCAGCUCUGGUCUAGCCAACAAUCAGCAUGAGGUGCGGAACCUAGGCACGCGUAGGAUUGUCAGCCACGUCAGAGAGCUACUGCCGACCACCCGGAACGCAGAGGGCGGAUCUCGUGCACGUGUAGGGAGGAGUCGGAGACAGUACCGGCUCUGGAAAGCUCGUGUAGGAGAAAAAACUAGUCGGCUAAGAAUUUGUUUUAAAGAAUAAUAAUAUUAAAAAUAUUAUGCCAAAAAUAAAUAAAAUAUUAGAAGUGUACUUAUCUUUGGACGAAAAUCUGGUCGGUGGUGACAAAAUUGUCUGGCCCUCGAGCUUUUUGACUUGUUGUCAUGACGGUGGUCGCGGUUGUCGUAGCGCCGUUCUCCGCGGCGAUCACCAUUGCGACGUGGCAGUAGUCUGAUUAAGUAGGCCGAGCAGCUUGUUGACAGCUUGGAUGAAUAUGUAUCAAAGUCGUAGACGAUUGCCAUUGUCAACAGGCCGACGAUCGUAUUUGCGCUUGUGAUCUCCGUGCAGGCAUGCUGAUAUGUAUAUAUGUAUAUAUUCGUGACCGUGACAACGGUCCGCUGCUCAUCGUGACGGAAUCCUUGCCGACCACUUGUUUGGCGUAUAUGCCUAUGUUGUAGAUCGUUGGCUUGCAGAGCCGAACAUGCCUCUUGUGAUCUAUUUGAUGUCGGAGUCAAACUCAGAGUCUGCAUCAGCUCAGGUUGGAGUCAAACUCGGCUAUACAGGCCCAAUCUCACACGUGUGGUGCGCCUCGUUGUCGUGCAUGCUGGAUGCUGCUUAGUCUUGCAUAUAGAUUGGAUCUUGUGGCUCGAUGCUGCGUCGAUGCGAGGUUCCUUAGUUGGUUGGAUGUCGUCGAUCAUGAACCAGAUUGGAUCGUGUUAUAGACAAGCUAGCUAGGCAUGAAGGGAUCGGAUCCGGUCAGCAAGGGUCGAGUUGCUUCUUGGUACGCUGCCGCCAGGCUCAAUGACACGUCAAUCAAGAUCUUCACGCUAUAACGUGCUGUCCAAAGAUGCUUGCCUCCGGAAGCGAGUCACCGUGGUUGACGUUGAUGAAUAAAAUUCCCAUCUAGUUCGCCUGGAAGCUGUACGCACACCCCCUACCUGGCGCGCCACUGUCGACGAAAGCUGGUCGGCAGUCUACCUUGGGGUAUACCCACGGUAGUAGUUUAUCGGUAGACGGUGCGCAAACUACGAACUCGAUGGUGACGCAAGACUCGGACAAGCUUUUUAUCCAGGUUCGGCCGCCGAGUUGGCGUAAUACCUACGUCCUGCGUCUGGUUGUAUUGAUUUGUGUUGAGAGAAUCGUAUGUGAUAUGUCCCCUAGGGGACCCCUGCCCCUCCUUAUAUAUCGUGAAGGGACAGAGUUACAAGCAAAGUAUCCUAUUUGGUACAAUAUCUUGUAGCCUUGCGGUGCACGCCGACCAGCCGCGCGCCGUCUUCAUCCUGUGGGCCGAGCCACCUCUGAUGGUGCGGCCCAGAUAGGCCCAUGAGGGUAUAGGGGUUUAUACCCCCACACCCGGUCUUACAUAUGCUUUCCUAAACAAUAAUCUAGAGUUUCCUAUGAUCAUUAGCGAUAAACUCACUCAGGAUCAAACUCUGCGAUUAAUGACCAUUCUUGAGAAACAUCACUCAGUAUUCGGCUACUCACUUCAAGAUCUUACAGGAAUCAGUCCUAUGAUUUGUACCCAUCGUAUUCCAACAGAUCCUUCUGUUUCACCCUCUCGAGAACCCCAACGUAGACUUAAUAACACUAUGAGAGAGGUAGUUAAAAAGGAAGUUAUAAAGUUGCUGCAUGCAGGGAUUAUAUAUCCCGUGCCGCACAGUGAGUGGGUAAGCCCAGUACAAGUUGUGCCCAAAAAGGGAGGCAUGACUGUUAUUAUGAAUGAAAAGAACGAGCUAAUUCCGCAACGCACCGUCACAGGAUGGCGGAUGUGCAUAGACUAUAGAAAACUAAACAAAGCCACGAGAAAGGAUCACUUUCCUUUACCUUUUAUAGAUGAGAUGCUAGAGCGGUUAGCAAACCAUUCAUUCUUUUGUUUCUUAGAUGGAUAUUCAGGGUAUCAUCAAAUCCCGAUCCAUCCUGAUGAUCAAAGCAAAACCACUUUUACAUGCCCAUAUGGAACUUAUGCUUAUCGUAGAAUGUCUUUUGGGUUAUGUAAUGCACCAGCUUCUUUUCAAAGAUGCAUGAUGUCUAUAUUUUCUGAUAUGAUUGAAGAGAUUAUGGAAGUUUUCAUGGAUGAUUUCUCUGUUUAUGGAAAAACUUUUGAUAGUUAUCUUGAAAACUUAGAUAAGGAUUUGCAAAGAUGUGAAGAAAAGCACUUAAUCCUUAAUUGGGAAAAAUGUCAUUUUAUGGUUAGGGAAGGAAUAGUGCUAGGACACUUAGUGUCUGAAAGAGGGAUUGAGGUAGACAAAGCUAAAAUUGAAGUAAUUGAACAACUACCUCCAGCUGUGAACAUAAAAGGAAUUCGAAGCUUUCUUGGCCACGCUGGUUUUUAUCGUAGAUUCAUAAAAGAUAUUUCAUUUAUUGCUAGACCACUUACUCUUUUGCUAGCCAAGGAUGCUCCUUUCGAAUUUGAUGAUGCAUGUCUAACAUCUUUCAAUUUAUUAAAGAAAGCACUCAUCUCUGCACCAAUCAUUCAACCCCCUGAUUGGUCGUUGCCUUUUGAAAUUAUGUGUGAUGCUAGUGAUUAUGCUGUUGGGGCAGUAUUGGGACAAACUAAAGAUAAGAAGCAUCAUGCAAUUGCUUAUGCCAGUAAAACUUUGACAGGAGCUCAACUUAAUUAUGCAACCACUCAAAAAGAGCUUCUGGUUGUUGUCUUUGCCAUAGAUAAAUUUAGAUCUUAUUUAGUUGGAACUAAAAUAAUUGUUUACACUGAUCAUGCUGCACUAAAAUAUUUGCUCACUAAAAAAGAUGCUAAACCUCGCCUGAUUAGAUGGAUUUUAUUACUCCAAGAAUUUGACUUAGAAAUAAAAGAUAAAAAAGGAGUAGAAAAUUCUGUUGCUGAUCACUUGUCUAGAAUGUAUUUUAAGAGUCCACAGGAAACCCCCAUCAAUGAUUCACUCCGGGACGACAUGCUCUACGGGAUUAACAGGUCUGACCCCUGGUAUGCAGAUAUUGUUAAUUUUAUGGUUUCAGGGUAUGUACCACCAGGAGCAAACAAGAAGAAGCUUACUCAAGAAAGUCGUUCACAUAUAUGGGAUGAGCCAUACCUCUUCCGAGUAUGCUCCGAUGGCUUACUCAGGAGAUGUGUGACCACUGAGGAAGGAUGGAAGAUCAUCGACAGAUGUCAUUCGUCACCAUAUGGAGGUCACUAUGGAGCAUUCCGUACACAUUCAAAGAUCUGGCAGUGUGGAUUCUAUUGGCCUACAAUGUAUGAAGACACAAGGUAAUAUAUCAGAAGAUGUGGGCCAUGUCAAAGGCACGGAAACAUAAAUACAAGGGAUGCAAUGCCACUCACCAACAACCUUCAGAUUGAGCUCUUUGAUGUCUGGGGAAUAGACUACAUGGGUCCAUUUCCUCCAUCAAAGAAGUGCGAGUACAUCUUGGUGGCGGUUGACUAUGUCUCCAAGUGGGUAGAGGCAUUACCUUGCAAGCAUGCCGACAACGUCAGUUCAAAGAGGAUGUUUGAAGAAAUUAUAUUUCCAAGAUUUGGAGUCCCCAGAGUAGUGAUAAGUGAUGGAGGAGCACACUUCAUCGACAAACGCUUCAAGCAAUAUCUAUCAAGACAUGGAAUCCGUCACAACGUCGCUACCCCCUAUCAUCCUCAGAUAAGUGGCCAAGCAGAGACUUCCAACAAACAAAUCAAGAAUAUUCUUCAGAAGACAGUAAAUGAAAUGGGAACGGCGUGGAAAGACAAGUUACCCGAUGCACUCUGGGCAUACCGGACAGCAUACAAGACCCCAAUUGGGAUGUCUCCAUACCAAUUGGUGUACGGGAAGACUUGCCAUCUGCCUGUUGAACUAGAGUUCAAAGCACACUGGGCCAUAAAGAGAUGGAAUAUGGACCUAGAUGUUGCUGGAGAUUAUAGAAGAAUGCAACUAUCAGAAUUGGAAGAAUGGCGAGAGAAGGCAUAUCACAAUUCAAAGAUCUACAAAGAAAGAGUCAAAAGGUGGCAUGACAAGAGAAUCAAGAAGGAGUUCACACCCGGAGAUAAAGUAUUACUUUUUAAUUCCAGGGUGAAGCUUUUCGGGCAUGGAAAACUUCGGAGCAAAUGGGAAGGACCAUUCAAGGUAAUCAAUUCAUCAUCCCACGGAGCUAUCACACUUCAAAAUAGCGAAGGUACGUUAUUCAAGGUAAAUGGUCAACGUCUUAAAUUAUUUUUAGAGCCCAAUGAGGAAUUUGAAGAAAUAGACGUAGUCCAUUUUUACCUUCCCAUGGAGAAUUAGAGCCCGACACUUUUGGUCUGAUGGUUUUGGGUCAUAUAUAUAUUUUUCUAAAUAAUUCCGCAUCUAGAAACGCGCUCGGAGAAGUGGGCCCACAGAGGGGCCAGAGAGAGGGCGGGCGCCCAGAUCAAGUGGGCGGGCGCCCAGCCCCUAUUCCCCCUCGGUCCCGACUUUCUCUGUUAUGGAAAAUGCACUUAGGGUGAUCCGAAUAAUCCCUCGGAUGGAAAGUUUCGCACGCACGUCGACGGGAGCAACCCAAACAACCCAUAGAGGCACCCUUUUGACCCCUAUAUAAACAGACCCCUGACCUCAGUUUUCAAACACCAAGCCACCAAGCCCUCUCUCCUUCAAUUAGAGCUUGAUUAGCUCUCCUUCAAUUAGAGCUUGAUUAGCUCUCCUUCAAUUAAAGUUUGAUUAGUUCCUUGCUGCUCCAAUGGCCGAGAAGUACCACGAUGAUUGGGAAGUCCUCCCCUUCAACCUCAACAUGGAGCCUGUGGAAGACCCCGAUGCCCGUGCUCUCGUCCCGGCCAACACAGAGCGAUAGCUAGAAGCCAUGCCAUUACGCCAACGCAGCUCCGCCCAAUCUUACCAUGCUCAACCAGUUCUCACCGCACCGCCACAAUCCCUACUCCUCAAAGGAUCAUCAUCCAAGACAAAGACCACUAUCAAGGUGCCAAUCGGCACAAGGAUCCUUCCACCUAGACCCAAUGAGAGGGUCGUUGGAGUCAAGACCAACCGAAGCGGCGAGAUCAGCAGUAUUCGCUACACUACGGAGGAGGAAAGGCCUUACUUUGAAGGGAUUAGAGCAUCCAAAGUCCGUUUCAUCCCUCCAAAGGUAGCCCCGAAGCACUCUCUCAAUGCUUUUGAGACACCUCCCAAGCGUCGCAAGACUAUAAUGGAUAUUGAUGAGGAAGUUCGUAGGCUAGACAGAAUUAUCAUAGACCUCCAGUCCUCGAUUAACUCCCUCACUAGGCAGCUCUCUAACCACAACACCAUCAUACUAGGCCUUAGGCAAGAUCUUGCCAGUGCCAACAAGAAGAUCAAGAAAUUAGAGCGCCGCUAAGUUAUCUAGAUUAGACCUUGAGGCAAUGCAUCUUAGUCAUUUAUCUUUAAAAUUCGGUUUAGGUUUGCUAUUAUCAUCAGCUUAUUAUUAUCAUCAGUUUGCUAUCAGUCUUUUGUAAUAAAUGCCUCAAGAUCAAUAAAGAGUAUUAUUAUUAUUAUUAUUAUUAUUAUUAUUAUUAUUACUAUUACUAUUAUUAUUAUUAUUAUUAUUAUUAUUAUUAUUAUUAUUAUUAUUAUUAUUAUUAUUAUUAUUAUUAUUAUUAUUAUUAUUAUUAUUAUUAUUAUUAUGUCUUGUGUGUCUCUACUUUAUUUUUGUGCAAGAAAGCAGAAAACAAGUAUGGGGGAGAUCCCCCAACAUGCCAAACACACUCCAACUACACCACUCCACGAUUCAGGUACACACUCUGCACACUUUACACAUACAUAUAUAUUUUUUGGAUUAUGCAGAAUAUUGUUUCCGACAUGAUAAAAUAAAAAGAUUAAAAUAUUUCUAAUCAUGAUUAAUCUCAAUCUAUGAUAUUUCCUGAAAAUUUGCAAUUAUUAUAAAAUCAUUUUAAAACCCUGUGUUACUUAAGUCAAUAUGGAAUAUGUGAUGGUAGAGUAUGAGUUUCUUAUUCUUGAUAUCAUUGUUGCUUGGAGAAUUUAUUUCAAAAUAUUCAAAAUUCUAGCUACCAUCCUCAGUGUUUAUUAUGCCUGAUAAAACUGAAAAUAUUAAUUAUGAUUAUAAAAGCUAUCUACUCUGUAUUGAGUUUGUUCAAAAUGAGUUAGACCCUUGUUGAGAGAUUUAUCAUGCUCCCAAGAUCAAGACAUUAUUUCAGAAAAAUUCACUCUUCCGAAGUAUUAUUGCAUUAGAGGCAUGGGCUAUGCAAAAAUAGAGAUAUUUCGAGGAAAUAAAAAGGAGCAAGUGCUCGACAACCUCGCAGAAAAAUGGACAAGUGUCCAGCAGUAGAAUUAGGGGUACCUCGGUAUCCACUUAAAAAAAGGAGAAAAGAGGAAAAAAUGAUAGCCCAUGGUCCCUCUAAUAAGCAAUAUGCCAGCAAGAGUUGACAAAGAUUUUAAUUUCCAAAGUCUUUGAUCUAAGAGUAUGACAUUCCCCUCCUCGGAUCCCGUUUUGAUCAGGCAAUAAAUGCAAAGUAAGCAUGUUUGAGAAUUUUUGCAAAAUAAAACAACCUCAGUGAGAUAUAUAUAAAAGAUAAUGAGUGAUCUGAGAAGAACCUAUGAGGAUAAAAAGGUAUGCUAAUUUUCUUUCAAAAAUAUACAAAAACUCCAAGUGAUAGGAUUGAGAAGAAAGGAUCUUUACUCUUGAUCAUAAACUUCCCUGGAUUUUUAACACCCUGCAAUUAUAAAGAGAAUGUUUUAAAUGUUUACCCCAGAUAUUGUUCUUAACCAUCCUUUUCUCGAGGACGAGUAAAAGCCUAAGUAUGGGGGUAUUUGUUGACGGUUCUUAAGUAUCAAUUUUAAUUAUCAAAUAAACAUAAGAAAGGACCAAUAUGCAACCAACACCUAGAAUUAGGGUUUGAUCUGACAGAAUUCUACGAGUUUUGUUGUUUAUCUGUUUCUGCAGGGGGUUAUCAGGAAAUAAGGAAGAAAGGCCCACAUGUCGGGAUUACAUAGAGAUAUCAACGCACCGCGCGAUUUUACACCAUCUAGAAGACUCCAGAAGCCACGGGAAGAAGACGGAGGCCGAAAGGGGCCAGGCCCAGGGCGCCCGCCCUGGUGACCUGGGCGCCCGCCCCCUGCUGGAUUCGAUUCAGGACUCUCUUCGCUCGGGAGACAAUCCAGGACGCCCCGUCACCCGGUCUCUAUCAGCAUGGUGGACUUCCUAGAAGCACUCUGCGACCUUGGCUUCAGCGUCAACAUUAUGCCCAGGGUACUCUAUGAAAAAUUCUUUACACAUUCUUUAUUAGAAACAGCCAUGUGUCUGCAGCUUGCAGAUCGUACGCUAAGUUUCCCAAAGGGAAUAUUGAAGAACCUCUACGUCCGAGUUGGUACCUUGUAUGCCUCAGCAGACUUCGUGGUGAUAGAGACUGGUACUAAUGAGAGGGCACCCAUCAUCCUAGGGAGGCCAUUCCUAAACACCUCAGGAGCUGUCAUCUACUCUAGUGCUGCCAAGAUCAGUUUCUACAUCAAGGGGAAGAAGGAGACGUUUUCCUUCAAGAACAAGACUACACAAAUCCCAGAGCAAUCCCGACAUGAACCAAGGAAGAGGACCAACAGGAGGAACAGGAACAAGCAAAUGUGUACCGAGUCAGCUAAGAUGGUCACUACAGCUCAAGGAGGUCAAGAUCGUCAACUCAAGUCACCUUUCUUGAUCAAGAAGGACGACCCUGGUGUUCCAAGAAUCGAGUGCACAAUCAACAGAUAUUCUUUUCAGAAGACACUCUAUGACACCGGAUCUGACGUCAACAUAAUGGCCGCAAUCACUUAUCAGCUCCUGCAUGGAACCAUGCCCCUACAACCAACAUACAUUCAGCUCCAGAUGAUUUUAAGGUUAUUGACAUGGGAGAAGACAAGUAUGAUCCACCCAUCAUCCUUGGAAGACCGUUCCUCAGCACUGUUAAAGCAAUCAUCUACAUUGGAACCGGAGAAGUCCACAUGCACUUCCCCUCUGAGAAGGUACGCUACUAUUUUACUGACCCUAACUAUAUAGUUGAAGACUCUAAGCAAGUCAGGACAAGAAGAAGACGACGCAACCGUAACCAGAGGAGGAAAAUCAUAAAGGACGGAUGGGCAGACUACGAAGAAGAAGUGGUAUUGUCUAAAGACAUACAACUUGAACAGAACGUAGCAUCAAGUCAGAGAGAGAAGAUAGUUAUACACGAAGAGGAGGCGUUGCCGGGACCACCGACUACGCCAUCCAGCGAAUCCCACGACGAAAAACGGAGAGUCCCGUUCGGAGGACUUAAAAACACCGAACGCCUUGCCAAGAGGUAAACUUGGUAGUUAUCUUUUUCCUUUCAAUUAUUUAAAAUAGUUUGCUUAGUUAAUCAGGUUUAUAUCAUCUUAAAAAGUAAAUAAAAAUGUUAAAAAUAGUAAGCCCCAUGUGAGUAUGCUCAUGGCAUAAAACCCAUAAGUACAUUCACUGUGGUGGCAUAAAAAUAAAAUAAAUAUAUUCAUGUCCUAUAAAAAUGAAAAUAUAAAAAUAAAUUUAUGAUCCUACUACAGAGAGUAACAUUUAUUGAGGAGGCUCAACAUGAUAAAGGCUAGGUAUUUACGCUAACCCUUAACCAGUUCCACAAAGCUUUGUUGUCUAUUUGAACUCCACAGAAUUCAAGGAUCAAAGAAGACUAGCAGACGGAGAACAUCCUAAUCGCUGACAGAGUGCUACUGACAUUCAAAUACACCUCCGCCAGCUGCUAGCUACAUCAGAAGAAAUUACGUCAAAAUCCAGCUUGGGGGAGAGCACCCCCAUUUAUCCAGCUAAGUGUUCUACUCACGUUUAUAUUUUACUCAAAUAAUAAAAAGAUGCAUGAUCAUAAAAACCCAAAUAAAGAUUUUGUGCUUAUAUAUAUCUUUGCGUAGUUUGCUAAAUAAAUAAAUAAAUAAAGUUUGCUAUGAACCCUCAUGAUAAGCUCUCAAAUAGAAAUGAUGAAUAGUUGCUCUACCAUGACUAGUUCUUAAAAUUGAAAUCUCUCUUAAGUUUAGGCAUGACUGUUAUUAAUUAAGAUUUGCUCUAAACCUGAACUUGUGGGAAGAGUACUUGAUCUGAAGUCUAAGUCGUUAAUGGAUAUUGUAUGGGAAGGUUGAGCUGCUGUUUAUCCGUUCCUAGAGAUGCUAGAAUUCUGGAGAAUUUUAUCUUUGAAAAUCUUUAAAUUGUUGCAUGAUGAGUUCCUGUAUGAUGAGAGUUUAAAUUCCUACCACAGCCAUAUAUACAUGCUUGCUAGACUUUGAGCCACACAUUUACUUUUUACUGCUUAUGAGCAUUGAGUGUGGUCAAGCUGUGUAUACCCUUAGGAGCUUGUCAUGUGGUUAAAUCAAGAUUCACUUGCACGUUCACUCAUACAUGCUGCUUCUACUCCGGAAGUAUGCAUCCACAUAUAUCCACCCAUUUCCAUCUCCAGAAUCACCUAAAAAUAUUCUACUCCUAAUCCGGGAGAGAAUAGCCAAAAACAUUUCUGUUUUUCCCUGUGAAAUAAAUGCUCAAGUUAUCUCGGUUACUACCACUUUGCUACAUUAUUUCAAGAGAUGAGUGCUCUAAAAAAAAGAGAGAAAAAAAAGAGAAAGAAUACGAGGAAAUAAAAAGGGGCAAGUGCCCGGAACCUCGAAAGAAAAGAAAAAGUGAGACGAGAGGUAAAAAUGGACAAGUGUCCGGUAGUAGAAUUAGGGGUACAAGAUACCCACCUGAGAGAAAAGAAAAAAAAAGAAAAUAUAGAGCAUCUCAUUCUCCCUGAAAGUUUCAAAAGAGCAAGAAAGGUAUGUAUCCCCUCAAAAGAGCACAAGUAGAAUUAGACUUUCACCAUUGUUAUCACCAUCAUCACCAUACACCAUUCAUUCGCCACACAUGCACAUCUUGAUUUGACUUAUUGAUUUGUUUCUUUGGAUCCAUGGUUUGACUAUACAAUACAUGUCUUGUAAGUAUGUAUACUUUAUCUCCCACCUAUGAACUCCAGAUAUUAAAGCCUUAUUAGAGUAGGGUGAGAGAGAAGGCAAUGCCACUAUGCUUUAUACCAUAAAUACUACAGAUUUUGAGAGAAGGCGUAUACCAUCACUGCCUUGGUAAGGCUCCAGAAAUACCACAAAAGAGAGAUUUGAGAGAGUCGUACAAGGAAUCUCUGAGUUUUAUUUGAAAAUCUGCAAAAACCCCAGAGCUAUAGCUGAUCAAGAAUAAGAGACAUGGCACUUGACUAGAUUGUUCUAUCUUUUAACUACUCAAGACAGAAGUGACGGUUACAAGUCCCAUGGUGAAAGGUAAAGUAAGUAAGUUUUAAGUCUUGAUAGUUUACCCUAACCCAGAGAUGAGAUCUUGUUUGAACGAAUGUGUAUUUUUAAGGCAUAAAACCACUGCAGAAACUCUUGAGUCCAUCUUUGCUCAGGGACGAGCAAAGGUUAAGCUUGGGGGAGCUUGUUGACGGUCCUUAAUGCUCACAUUUAACCAUCAACUAAUCAUGGAAAAGGAUCUAACUGGAACCAACACCUAGACUUAGGGUUUUAUCUGACAGAAUUCCACGAGUUUUGGUGUUUGUCUAUUUCUGCAGGGGGUUAUCAGGAAAUAAGGAAGAAAGGCCCACACAUCGGGUUUACAUAGAGAUAUUAACGUGUCGCGCAAUUUUCUACCAUCUAGAAGACUCCAGAAGCCACGGGAACGAACGGGAGGCCGAUCGGGCCCGGGGGCAGGGCGCCCGCCCAAGUCCCUUGGGUGCCCGCCCAGCUACAGUAACCAAUCAGCUUCAACUUCGCGGACCGUGCUCCACCGACCUAAAGGACCAAGGAAAACCGUGCGAUUAAUGUCGGUUUGAUCCGACGGCCCAGAUUCAUCUGAAAAGACUAUAUAAGCAAGCCCCCUGGCCCCUGGAGAUCAUACCUCUUCUACAGAAUCAAAGUUAGGGUUUCAAUUCUUCAUCCAAGUAGAGAGGAUCCCUCUAGUUCUUCUAGUUCUACCUCUAGUUCAUCUAGUCUAGUUCUAGUUCAUCUAGUUCUAGUUCUAGUUCCUCUAGUUCUAGUUCUAGUUAGUUCUAGUUGUAAUCUAGAAAAUAGGGAGAGAGAAGAGGAGAGCGAAGGAGGAGGAGCCGGAUCUGUCGGAUCUUCCUGAACAUUAUACUUUUGCAGCAACUGGUUCAUUCUUCAUCGUUCUCCAGGUUCUUCAAUUCAUAAUUCCUGAGUUCUUUAAUUACUUUUAUUUACAUUCAAGUUAUUUAUUGGAUUCCCACUUGCAUCAAGUGCUCUAGUCUUUAUAACGCUAGAGUAGUAAUUAAUAGAUUAGACGUGGUGUUUAGUCUUGCGAUUACCUGGAGUUGCACCCAAUCCUGCGGAUUGUUGUGGUAGCCUUAGGGUAGUGACAGCCCUAACGGUCGACGUAUUCCACCACAUUCGGAUCGGUGUUUGUAGGACCGUAGUCAGACCUUCCUAGCCCCCUUCUCAUCUCUUUCUGUGGUUAGUGCUCUGAUGUCCCGAUAUAGAUAAUCUUGAAGUAAUUCUUGAUUCUUAGAUCAACUAGAGAACUCUCAGGAAACUUCCUCUCUUCCCACCAAAAAAUAAUUAUAUAGUUAUCCUUGGGCGAUCUUGGAUCUUAAUUAGUACACUCACGUUCUCUGUGGAAAAUCGAUACUCUGGAAAACUCCCGGGUGAAAGCUACAUCGGUAUCCGUGCGCUUGUGGAUUUUUUCUGUUUGCGUUUAAAAUACCCAACACCCCCUUGUCCUGUACCCAGUAGUCGUGUACUAGUAUCCAGCCUUCGUCUUCCUCAGCACCUUCAAUCCCUCAACUUCGAGUUCAAAGCUUUCCGCAGGAAGAAAAUGGCAAAGAGCGACGCAAAGAAGAGGGCCGAGAUGAUGACCAAGGAGUGGAAAAAGUCUCGGAGCAACACGAGGUCCCUCAACGACCUCGUCGAGAUGGGACUCCUCCACAAUCAGGAGCUCGGCGGCUGGAGAGCAUCGGAAGGGGAGAGUUACCCAGACCCUCGCGCUGGUGAGAUUGUAGUUUUUGAAGAUUAUUUCAAGAGGGGAUUUGGGAUUCCAGUUCAUCCUUUUGCUUCAAGGCCUUCUUCUUUACUAUGAGAUCGGGAUCUGCAACUUGCACCCGAACUCCAUUCUUCUUGUUUCCACUUUCAUUCAUUUGUGCGAGGCCUAUGUCAGGAUAGAGCCGCACUUUGAUCUUUUCCGCUACUUGUUCUGUUUGAGGAAGAAGGGGGCGGUUGCAGGCUCCAAGAUUGCAGGUGGAGUAUACCUCAAUCUUCGUGAUGGGAUGAAAAACCGUUACCUUAGUUGCCCAUGGAACACCUCCCUCACCGAGUGGUACAAGAGGUGGUUUUACAUUAGGGAGGAGCCGGGCAGUGCCACUUUUUGUGAUGUCGGCUACAUUCCCGAGAAGAGGGUCAGCUGGACAGAUCAGCCCGAGUACAUUGGUCACGUGUCGGAGUUGAUGGGUCUGAUCGACUGGUCUCGCCUGGAUGGACCAGGGGUGGUCAGGAACUUCCUUGCUCGCCGAGUGAUGCCUUGCCAGAGGAGAGUGCACUCGGUGUAUGAGUACGCAGGAAGCCAAGACCCGACCAGGAUGCACCGGGAUAACUUGGAAAAAUCAGAGAUCUAGCGGAGGAUGAACGAGCUAUUCAACCUAGCUGACAAUAGCUUCGUUCGAAGUGAUGACUGGAUGCACGCCUUCAAGCUAGGGCAACCAGCCCCUAAGGUAAAUGAAUACCUUUGUUUAUUUGUAAUGCUAUUGAAUACUGUAACCUUUGGCUGAUGACUUGUCGCCUUUGUAUCGUAGAUAGGAAAUAUUGACCGGUGUGUUGACGGUCCUUAAGUAUCAAAUUUAAUUAUCAAAUAAACAAAGAAAAGGAUCCAAAUGAAAUCAACAUCUAGACUUAGGGUUUUAUCUGACAGAAUUCCACGAGUUUUGGUGUUUGUCUAUUUCUGCAGGGGGUUAUCAGGAAAUACGGAAGAAAGGCCCACACGUCGGGAUUACAUAGAGAUAUUAACGUGCCGCGCAAUUAUCUUACAUCUAGAAGACUCCAGAAGCCACGGGAAGGAAGCGGAGGCCGAGAGGGGCCAGAGGCAGGGCGCCCGCCCUGUUUCCCUAGGCGCCCACCCUCUGUUGGAGUCCAAACAGGACUCUAUUUCUCGGGAGAUCUCCACCGACCUAAAGGAUCAAGGAUAACCGUUCAAUCUAUGUCGGUUUGAUCCAACGGCCCAUAUUCACUUGAGGGGACUAUAAAACCAGACCCCCUGGCCCCUGGAGGAGGCACCCCUUGAUCAUUAUUCAUUAUUCAUAGACAGAGCAAAAGCUAGGGUUUGGAGAUGAGAGCUCUCCUCUCUUCUCUAAACUAGAGUAGAUCUAGAUAGUAGCAAGAUGGAGAGCGAAGGAGGAUUAGAGGAGAGGCCGGCCUGUCAGUUCUUCCUCUGGUUGUACUUCGUCAUGAUCAAGCUCUAAUCAAGCUUGCUCAUGGGAUGACUCUGGUAAUCUACUUCUAAUUCAUUAUGCAAUUACUAAUCAUGUAUGUUCUGGUUCACAACUCUUUUGAGUACUUCUAAUCUAUAGGACGGUAUAGGUUAGAGUUGUAGUAUAGGUGUAAGCGUGGUGCUUAGACCUAGAUUACUUGUGGAUAUCCCCUGUCUAGCUGGAUCGUGUGGUAGGCCGCGUAGGUGACAGUUACGUUGGUCCUCUGUAGUCCACCUCUCGUUAGCAGGACGGGUAGGGUUUAUCGGCCUAAGGAUAAGCAUCCUUUGUGGUGUAAUCUUAUCACGUGGUUCGUCCCAGACAUAGACAUACCCCUUUGAAGUAGAGAAACCAUAGUUAUCCUCUCUAUUCUGCUACCAUCGCUCAUAUACUAGAUUGCUCUACUCUCUACUCUAUAUUUACCCAUUGUUAUCUUACCUUUAAUAUUGUUCUUAUUCAAUUCUACCAUCUUUCCUAUUUACACUUAUCUAUCUAUCUUGGUUAAGUUAGAGCGUAGUUAGUUCUCCCGUUUCUCUGUGGAUACGAUAAAACCUUUAACCGGGUAAAAGCUUCAAUGGUAUCCGUGCGCUUGCGGAUUGUCUGUGUGCGUAUAAAUACCAUAGUACACUCUAGUGCCAUGCUGGGGAUGACAACCUAGUAUUCAAGUGGUAUUAGCAAGUGUCAACAAGCAUUUUUGGCGCCGUUGCCGGGGAGACGGUUGCUGACUUGACUACGAACUAGCUUAAUCAUUUUCUAAAAAAAUAAUAAAAAAAUAAGAACCACCAAAAUCUUCAAAGCCUAUCAUAGCAUCUAGUUUUGAGAUAGACCCCGAAUACAUAGAAUUUGUUCAAAAACAACCUUUCUCAGGAGAAGGUGAGGAAAACCCAUACACACACCUAAGAGAGUUCUAUCGAGUCUGUGACCUCCUUCGCAUAGAAGGCAUGUCCGAUGAGACCCUUCAAUGGAAGCUCUUUCCGUUCUCUUUAAUGGGAAAAGCUAGACAUUGGUACAAACUCAAAGUAGGGAGUGUUCAUGGAGAUUGGAAGGAGUUAUAUAAUAGUUUUCUUUUUAAAUAUUUUCCAAUCUCCAAAGUGGCGGAACUUCGGCGUGAGAUUAUUUCUUUUAGACAACUGGAAGAAGAAUCUCUUGGCAAAUCAUGGGACCGCUUUAUUAACCUUACUCUCAGUGGCCCAAAGCUUUCUAUUCCAGAAGAAGUUCUUCUAAUUCAUUUUUUUGAGGGCCUUAGUGGGGAAAAUAAGCAAACCUUGAAUACAGCCUC